This 103442-nucleotide long non-coding RNA is filed under the name Octopus vulgaris (common octopus). The record is from RNAcentral. Lineage: Eukaryota; Metazoa; Mollusca; Cephalopoda; Octopoda; Octopodidae.
UGCAGACAGAGGCAUUGGGAUAUAAAAUGACGUCAGUUUCUAACUGGCCUCAAUACUAUUUAGUAGCAUCGUUAAUGUAGUAAGCUCUAUUGAGGCUACGACUAUUACGAUACCAGCACCGAACACCCAACACUACAUAUGCAAAUAAGGUAGGAGUCGCGUCGACCAAUCAACAGCGAGUAGAUGCAUGUCACGUGCACCCGGUGAGUCGGUAAUUGUUAGAGAGAAAGCUUUCUUAUAAACUGUGUGUGGCAAAGUUACAGCGAAAGGUAAAAAUUACUUAAUUUUAUUUACCGCAACAACUAUAAUAAUAAUAAGUAAGAGAAAAAUGAAGUAAUUAUCUAAUGACAGUAGCAUUUUGUGGUGGUGCGGGGUGGCGUUUUCUUUUUUUUUUUUUUUUUUUUUUUUGCUCUGAUAAAUGAUUAUUUGUUUAUUAUGACCACCUCCACCCUCAAAGGAAUUAGUAUCAGAGGGGAAAAGAAAAAAUAAUUAAUUUAAAAUGUGUUUUGUAAAUUAAGAAUGACAGCAAUAAUUAUAAGGGAACCGAUUUUUGUAUUAGGAGAGAAGGUGGGGGCGAAAAGCACGAAAUAAAGAGAGAGAGGAAAAAAAAAACAAUUACGAAUAUAUUUUUGUUUGAAAUAGUAGUGGCAGAAAUAUAAGUGAAAGCAGGUUUCAAUAGUAGUGGAGUUCGCAAAAGCUGUCUUUCAACAUACACACGUAAAUGUAUACAAUUAUUUAUUUGUUCAUGCAUAUAUAUAUAUAUAUAUAUAUAUAUAUAUAUAUAUACAUAUUUAUUUAUUUACACUCAUAUGUACAUACAUAGAUACGUUUGGCUCAGUUCAUGUAGAAUUUAUAUAUAUGUUAUAUGUAUAUAUUGCGUGUACAUCUUUAUGCGAGUGUACAUCUAGUGAGCGAUUUAUAUAUAUGUAUAUACGUUUGUGUAAUGUGUUUGUGUGUGCAAAUUGUAUAUCGUAUAUAUGUGUUAAUUAUAUGCCGUACAUGUGUCUACUAUUCACUCUUUUCUAAAUAUAGGAUUUAAUUAUUGCUGGUAUUUAAUAUGUAUAUUUUAUCUUUGCUUGUUCACAGUUUCUCGGCUAUUUCGUUAUUGUGUACCUCUUCCGAUUCUAACAUCACCAAACUUUCUAUACAUAUGUAAACCUCAAGAACAACUGGAUUAGCAAUUUUUAACCAACAAGUUUGUGGAUUAUUUUUUCCGUUUACACUUAAAUCCUUAUACAACAACUCUGCUGGAUGAACAACAGCUAAAACCAUAUAUAUAACACACAAAAAACGAAAGGUAAUACAAUUAUUACUUCUAAUAACGAUAACCAAUAUUUAUUCUACGAAUAUUUAUUUAUUACAUGUGUGUCGUAUGUAGAGUAUAAAACCUGAUGAUGUGGCCUUCACACCAUAUCCAGUUGUGUAAGCACUAAUAUUUAAAGUAGUAGCAAUUCGGGAUUAAUGCCAUGUGUGUUGUUCUCUCGAUUAUUUUACUCAAGACAAUUUGUGUGUGUGUUUUAUAUAUAAUGUAUGUAUAUAAUAUACAGUUCAUUGGAGGUUAAAACCUAAGUCGUGACUCGGAGAUUUAAUUCUCAUAAAAUAUAAACAUUAUCCAACUAUUAAGUGCUCUCUUUACCCAAUGUUGUUCGUAUAUAUAUAAUGGGGAAGGCCGGUUUAUGGGAUUUAAUUUUAAUAUAUACUGCUUUACAUAUUAGAAUGUGCUACUUUCGGAUUUAUGUUUAUUUUACAAAUUAUAUAUAUAUAUAUAGGUGUAAGCGUGGCCGUGUGGUUGUGGAAUUUGCUACCCAAUCACAUGGUUUCGGGGGUACAGUCUCACUUCGUGAUACCUUGGUUAAGUUCCUCCUAUAGUUUCGAGUCGACCAAAGACGGAAACUAAAAGAAAAUUGUCAAACUGUCAUCUAUAUGUGUGUGUUUGUGUGCGCUCUUGUCUUGAUAUCGCGUGAUAAGAUGUAUAUGAGUAUCACUGUCACACACGCAAUGUGCGACAGUGUCAUCAUUUGCAGUUAUUCUACAAAAGCAUGUCUAGCCAUGGGAAUGUAUUACCUUCCGUGAAAACAGGUUCGGAAUGGAGAUAUGAAGGGCAUCUGUCUAUAGAAAAAAAUUCUGCCCCAGUGAAAGUGAAAACUCUGUCCAACUCAUGCAAGCAUUGGAAAAUGGACGUUUAAAUAAUUAUAUAUAUAACUGAUUGGCCCUAGGUCAGCCUUGAUAUACAACUCUAAGCAUUCCAGCAGGAACUAUCUUGUCUUAGCUUUUAAAACAGUGUUUCGAGGACUGCAUUAUAUAAGGUGUCCUUGGCUUUAUAUAUACAUAUAAAGUGUGGUUUGAAGGAAAUUUGGCUGCUAUUUCUAGCUCGUCAAUUCAUUACACAGUCUCAUUCGUUGGCUCUUGUAUAAAAUUACUUAUAGGGUAUGGUUGGUUGUCGUUUUAAUCAACUGUACUUUAGUAAUGCUACUUUCAUUAUUGACUUACUGACGGGAUUUGCGAUAAUUAACAUUACUCAUUUGCCAAGAUUCGUGUCCUUUUUUUUUUUUUUUUGUAAGAAUAAUUUUUGAACUUCAUUAAAAAACAAAUCAAGGAAAAGCAUUAUGACUAUUCCUACGGAUAGAAUAAAAAUACGCGUUUGCGGGCACAACACACAGACAUAUAUAUAUAUAUAUACAUAUAUAUAUAUAUAUAUAUAUAUAUAUAUAUAUAUACACACACACACACACUUAUAUUCUUUAAAUUAAUACAUAUAGAUAUAUGCGGUGGUGGGAGAGAUGUAGGUGUUUAAAAUGUGCCUAUACGCAUAAAAAUAGGCAUAAACAAAAUGUAAUAUGUAUGUAUAUUUAUGUGUGUGUGGAUCAUCGUGUAAGACAUACAUAGAACUGGAUAUCAAUAUGGUUAUACAUGUAGAUAGAAAGAUAGGGGUUGUUUAAUUCAUAACCAUGAGUAAGACAAUACAUUUUGUUUUGCCUGAAGGCCUCUUUAUAGUGUCCUGGCUUUGAUCGUGUAAAUUUGUCACCUCCCAAAAUAUGUGUAUAUAGAUAGAUCGAUAGAUAUGUAGGUAUGUAAGUAUAACUGUAUUUAAUAUACAUAUAUAGGCGCAGGAAUGGCUGUAUGGUGAGAAGCCUGCUUCCCAACAACAUGGUUCCGGGUUCAGUCCCACUGCGUGGCAAGUGUCUUCUAUAGCCUCAGACCAACCAAAGCCUUGUAAGUGGAUUUCGUUGACGGAUACUGAAAGAAGCCCGUCGUAUGUGUGUGCGUGUCUGUGUUUGUACCCCCCUCCAUCACUUAACCGAUGUUGGUAUGUUUACGUCCCCGUAACAUAUCGGUUCAGCGAGAGAGACCGAUAGAAUACUAAGCUUACAAAGAAUAUGUCUGGGGUCGAUUUGUUCGACUAAAGGCGGUGCUCCAGCAUGGCCAUAGUCAAAUGACAAACCAGUAAAAGAAUAUAGAUGCAGAAAUAUGUGUAUAUACCUACAGACACAUGUUUAUAUCUAGAUGCAUGUAUAGUUUUAUUUUACAGAUUUGAUGUUUUAGUAAAGAAGUCCUGCUUUCGUUAAAUCAUAGCUAAUUCCUCUGCAAAAUAUUUUGUUUCAGAAGAGUUAUUUAUGAAUUAGCAAAAGAUACGUUUCUCUGCUCAGACAUUAAAUUCUAUAAAACAAAGCCAGUUGCUUUACAGAUAUAUUUAAUUUGUAUAGAAUGCCCUUCAGAUUUCUGGUUCCCACCCCAAAUAUAUAUAUAAGCAGGUAUGGUUUGGCACAUCUGUGACUGUUGUUAAGCUGUUCGCUUCUAACUACAUAGCUUCAGGUACUGUAAGAGUCAUUAUUAUAGAUCUGACUGACCAAAAACUUGCAUGCAAAUUUGGUAGAUAGAAACUAAAAAAUUGUUGUGCGUGUAUAUAUACACACACACACACACACACACACACACAUGUCUUCCUGCUUGGUAUCAUGUGUUAAUUAUAUAAAAGUACCAUCCUCAAGUAAGCAAUGUUCCUUUAUUAUCUUCUAUGUCCAGGCUUGGGGAAAUAUUACCAUGCAUGAGAACAAGUGAGGAUUUCCAACAAGAAUAGUAUUUCGUCCUUACAAAAUCUACCUUGAUGAAUUUUGUCAAACCCGUUCAAAUAUGGGGACCCAAGAGUGAGUGUGCUAACAUGUAGUAAAGUACAGGAAGCAAGUACAACAGGGUGGAGUUAGUAUGUUGAUAGGUAAAAAGGAUGGGCCUGUGCAGCCUCUCAUGUAGGCCUAGGGUCAGACUAAUGGAAAACAGAUGGUAUAUAUAUAUGAAACAUAUGUGCCCAUGUGUGUAUAUACAUAUUUGAAUAUCUUUCACAUAUUCAUCUCUAGCCACCUGUCACUCUCCUCUCACUCUCUUGCAUAUAUAAAAUCAAAUAAAUUAGAUGUUGUGGUUAGAAUUUUCACCCAUAAUUGAAUGUUCAUUUAUUCAAACAACUAAACUCUCAGGUUCAUUAGAUUAAUAUAUGUGGAUGAAUAUUCAUCAGGUGUGUACCCUAAACGUAAUUCUCAGGCAGAAUCAGCAUGACAAUAUGUGACAGGGCUGAAACUUUUGAGUUACAUCUUUAGUGUAACUGUAGCAGCCCAUCAAAUAGAUUAUGUAUGUGUGUGUGAGUAUAUAUGUACAUAUAUAUAUAUAUAUAUAUAUAUAUAUAUAUAUACACACACACACACACACUCACGUGUGUGUAGCUAUGUAUGUAUAUCUCAAAACCUUGCAAAUAGUCACUUCCCUCUCUACUAUAUUCCUAUUCAGUCAGCUGUAUCUUGGCUUUGUCAGUGGCAUGACAACCUCACCAAUGCUGGUGCCACAGAAAAAGCACCUAGUACAUUCUGUGAAGUGGUUCAGAUUGGGGAGGAUAUCCAGCUAUAGAAACCGUGCUAAAUCAGAUGUUCAAGCCUAAAGUUGUCCUUAUUGGACCCUAUCAAACUUCCCAAGUUGUGUCAGCAUGGAAGAUGGACAUUAUUAACCCUUUAGCAUUUAAACUAGCCAGAUCCAGCCUCUCACACUAUCCUACAAUGUUACUGUAAAAUUAAACAGGCACAUCUUUGAAGUGUUGAAGCUACAAGGUAAUGCAUGGUUAAUUCAAAACAAUGUGAAUAAAUAAGCAUUACAUCUGACUGUAAUCUCAAUGAUAAAGGGUCAAGUAUAAUGAUGAUAAUAUAUACAUAAUGAUAUAUAUAUAUACACACACACAUACAUAUCUAUUAUAUAUAUAUAUAUAUAUAUAUAUAUAUAUAUAUAUAUAUUUAUAUACACACAUACAUAUCUAUUUAUAUAUAUAUAUAUUUAUAUACACACAUACAUAUCUAUUUAUAUAUAUAUAUAUUUAUAUACACACAUACAUAUCUAUUUAUAUAUAUAUAUAUAUAUUUAUAUACACACAUACAUAUCUAUUUAUAUAUAUAUAUAUUUAUAUACACACAUACAUAUCUAUUUAUAUAUAUAUAUAUAUAUAUAUACACACAUACAUAUCUUAUAUAUUUAUAUACACACAUACAUAUCUAUUUAUAUAUAUAUAUAUAUACACACAUACAUAUCUUAUAUAUAUAUAUACACACAUAUCUAUUUUUAUAUAUAUAUAUACACACAUACAUAUCUAUUCAUAUAUAUAUAUAUAUAUAUAUAUAUACACACAUACAUAUCUAUUUAUAUAUAUAUAUAUAUAUAUAUACACACACACACACACACAUACAAACAUUUUAUUAAAAAUAGUUAUGUUCAAGUUGUUACAUUUUUAAUUAAUGCUUUUUCAUAUUUCUGUGAAAGUUUCUUGCAGUCUGUUUAGAACAGUAAAAUUCCUAGAUCCAUAACUAACAUUUCUAUACUUUCACAGUCUCAUCAUCAGGAUAUAAAAUAUACUUAGCUCUGUAUUUAUUGCCUCUUUUAUUGUAGUGAAAUUUAUGUAGAAUUUACUGUCAAGAAUUUUGAGUAUUAAGUUUCCACAUCAGCAAUCACAUGUUAAUUUUGUUUUAUUAUAGUCAAAUUAUGGAGGGUUACUGCCCCAAUUUUUCUAACAUAAAGCUUCUAAGUAAGCAGUCACAUAUUAAAUUUUUUGAUGUGAGUACUGCUUGUGUGUUUUAGUGAUGUGUUGCUAAUAUAUGUAUGUAUAUAUAAUCAUUCUUUUAAAGCCCACUUUUCUGUGUGUACAUAUAUAUUAAUGCUUUUUUGUUAUUGAGUUAUAAUAAAAACAGUUUAACAUUAAAUUGAUGGAAUACUCAAUACUUUUUUUUAGAGUACUUUUUAUACAUUUAGAAGAAUAGUAGUGACAGUGACUUCAAAGUUUGGCCUCCUAGCCUUCCUCUUUUAACUAAAUCAUCUUCCCAUCAUCAUGACAACCUUUCCAAGUAGACCUUUCUGGUUUCUUGGAUACCAUUCAGCAACUGCUUGAGUCCACCUGCUCUCUGUGAACCAGUGGAACCUGUGCUUUUGAUAUUGUGUGAUCACACAUAUGUGUAAGUGUGCAUGUUCAUAGUAGAAAUGUGCUGAGAGAAAAACUGGUCAUAAGAGGAGUCAGAUGUGAUGUAUAUGGCCAUAUAAAGAAGUGCUGAUCACUUACUGUGAAUAGAUCUUGCUGGAGAGGAAGACCCAGAAUACAUGGGAUGAAAGGCUGAUCUCAGGAUCUUGAAACUCAUGGAGGAGAUGACAAGGGACCACACUGACUUGUGAUAUUUGAUUCCCAAUAAGAAACUCCCAACUCCAAGAAACUAGGGUUCAGAAGCACUGUUCAUGUGUGUGUGUGUGUGUGUGUGUGUAUAUAUAUAUAUAUAUAUAUAUAUAUAUAUAUGCACAACUAGACCCUUAACUCAAAUUUCCUCACUGAGACACUUCCACCACCCUUCAUACCUCUAACUGCAGCCUUUCCUUGAUACUGCUAACUUUUCUCACUGUCUGAAAUCAUUUUACUUGAUAUCCAUCUCUAAUCCUUCCUUAAAACUGUCCUCUCCACCCUCAUUUUGCAUUACCCACCCCACCAAGUCCAUUACUAUUUUGCUGCUCACCCUGUUAGUGGUCGCCACAAACCCUUAUCCACCGUUUACUACAUCAAUUCCUCAACCUUACUCAAUCUCUGCAGUUGUCACCUACUCUUCUCUACCUCCCCUACUCAAUAUUUAUUGUUCAUUCAUUAUAUCCACUGCCUCACCCAUCCCUCAUCUCUUUGUUCAAUCCACCUUUGCAACUGUCAACCACCACAUUUCUGGUUCCUCUGCCCCGUUCACUUCUACUCACUUUGUACAUUGAGGAUCCACACAAAUGCUUCAACUAAAUUUUACAAUUUUACCCACUCCACCCCACCCUCCUGAUCUAUUCUAAAAUAAUAGUAGCUCUAUGGCCUUCUUUGUAGCAAGAAACUUGUUCUGCUUUGACCCUCUUCUUUCAUACUUUACACCUUAUCUCCUAACAAAUAAACUCUUCUCUCAGGAAACAGUCUUGCAAGCAGCAUGGCAACCUCAUUAGUGCUGGUGGUGCAAAAAAGACACCAGGUGCAUGUGUUGUAAAGUGGUUAGUGUUAUGAGGGGCAUCCAGCCAUCAUAGGUAAAGGGACAUAAUGCAGUUCUUGGACCCCUCAGAUCCUAUCAGAUCUUCCAAACCAUGCCAGCAUGGAACAGACAUUUAAUGAUUAUGAUGAUAUGCAAGUGUGUGUGUUUGCAUAUAUAUAUAUGUUGUGUUUAUACGUAUGUAUCAUACUGACAACCCUCAUUUAUGGUUAUCACAAAUUACAGAAUUUCAGUCACAGAAAUUAUAAUAUAUGGCCACUUACUUUGGGAUGCAGUUUGUAAUUUCACCCUUGUGGGAACUCAUAUGAAACCAUACUUUCUUCUUAGCCAAAAAUUUGUUUCUUGGCAUUUUAGGUGAGAUCAAAGUAGUAAACAAUUUGAAAAACUAUAAUCAUAAUAUAUGCAUGUAUGUGCAUGUAUAUAAAUAUCACUAUCCACACCACAUUUAAACAACAAUAUAAUUAACAAGAACAAUAUGACCAUUGCUACCAUCAACAAAAUCCCUACCAAAACCAGUACAAUCCACCACUACUGACCCACCAAAUUUUUAAUAAGCAACUUGAAACAACAAUAAUAGUAUCAGCAUUAUAGCAAUGUCUGUAGCUACAUAUUUUGUAUGUGAAACAACAGUAUGAAAGAGAGAGACAGCUUGUGUGGUUGGCUUUUGUGGCUAAAGUCAGAAGUGCAAGUGGUGUAGUAUCAUGUACCUGAUGACCCUUCAACUAUAAUCUUACAGUAUUUCCUCUCACGUCAAUCCUUCACCCUUUUAUCUUCUCAUUUAAAUCCUUACAUAAGACAACAUAUUUUGCUGUUACACAUAGUUCUUUCUUUGUGCUAUUUAUUACUGCAUAUUUGUUGUGGAUAAUUGAUUAUCACUUUGGCUGUUAAAUUUACCUGCAAUUCAAGGUGUUUGGAAAGAAGCCAUCAGGCGGAACUGAAGCUAAAAGUGUAAAAAGAAACAGUAAAGGAUUACAUUGGAUAUUAAACUUGCAGUUUUAAAAGAGGUUUGAUGUAGGAGAAAAAAUGUCAACUAGAUUGCAAAAGCUUUAAAGCUUUACAACAUUCACAGUUUGAACAAUACAUGAGAAUGAAAAGAAAAUUAGGUCAAGUAGAAGCUGCUUCUUUUACUACUUAUUUUUUCAUAGAUCUAAUAUCAUACUUAAAUGGAACAGUUCCUGGCUGUAUAGAUCAAGGAUCUCUUACCAAUAGUCAUAAUGGUGAUUUAAAGAAAAACAAAACAAUAGUCUUUAUGACAAUUUGCAGUAAAUAUUAGGUAAAACUUCUAAUGUAAAACCAUUUUUUUUUUGCUUGUAAAGGUUUGCUUUAAAGGUUUAAGAAGUACUUGAAUUUGUACAACACAAAAAUGAUUGAUAAAACAGUUGCUGCUGAUACAAAGGCUGCUACUAAUUAUCCUUAGCAGCAGAAGAGAGCUACAUACCAGAGCAAAUAUACAAUGCACUUUUCUGGAAAGGCAUUACCUGCUAGAAUUUCUGUUUCUUGAAGAAGAAAAAACUAACACCAAAAAUCAUCCGGUGCUUCUUCUGGGAGGAAAUGCUGCUGGUGAUACAAAAUUAAAUCCUCUAUUUAAGUAUUACUUUGAAAAUCUAAGGGCUUUCGAGAAUUGUGUAAAGUUUAAUCUCCCUUUUUCUGUUCAAAUAAGGAAGUAUAUAUAGCUAAAUGCCUUUCUGGAGGGUGGUUUACAAUUAUUUUUUGAUCUGCUAUAAGAAGGUAUAAUGUCACACAAUGCCACACAUAUUUCCAACAAAGCAUUACUCCUUUUAACAAAUGUACCAAGCUACACAGUGAACUUUAAUGAGUUUUCCAAUAAUGUGAGGAUAGAAUGCUUCCUCAUGAAUACUUAUUUGCACCAGCAAAUGGAUCAAGAUGUGACACCUCAUUUCAAUGCAUAUUAGCAGAGAACUUUCUAAUAACUUAUGAAAGCAGUUAAAUGGGAGAAUAAAGCUACUGUAAGAAACUUUUGGAGGAAGUUCAACUCAGUGGAUGCUAUGGACAGCAUUGCUGAAUCAUGGGAGGAAGUGAAACCCUAAACUUAAAAUGGUGCUUGGAAAAUAUAUGACCAGACUGUAUAUGUGGCUUUACAAGCUUUCCAUACACAUAAUGUCUACAUCAGAUUUGGAAAAAAAAGAUAUUGUAAUACUUGCAAAUGAGGAUGGAUUUAAAGAAGUCAUUGAGGAUGAUAUGGUUUAGUUGCUAGUGUCCCAUAGACAAAGCAAGUUGAGAAUAAGGAAAUUCCACCAACUCCACUGAAAUUAACUGCAAAGAAUAUUGCCAAGGAGUUGGCAUUUAUAGGUCUGCAAGUUUUUUCUCAAUUAUCCUAGUCAUGAACAUAGCAAAAAUUACACGGAAUUUACAAUAAGCUUCUUUCUAUCACUGUGUGGUAAAAAGAGAUGAUAUACCAUAAACAGUAGUUUUAGAUAAGUUGAUGAUGAAGUAUUAGUAGAUAGUGUCCCUCAUCCUCCCAGUAGCCCUCACACAAACAUUUUUUGUAGUAAAAAUAUAACCUAUUACAAUAUUACAUUCUUAUUUAUCUUCAACUGUUUUCAUGUAUACAUAUUGUACUAUGUUUAGAAAUUGUUUACAUGCAUCAAAGUGGUUGUGUUCCUUGUAUUUUUUGGUGGUGGUUAUUUUUUCCAAAACACAAAAAUUGAUAAGAAUACAUUAUCAUUUUAUUAUACGGAAAUGAAUGGGGAAAAUUAAUUCCACAUUACAUCAAACUCUUCCUCAUAUAUAUAUAUAUAUACACACACUCUUUACUCUUGUUUCAGUCAUUUGACUGUGACCAUGCUGGAGCACCGCCUUUAGUCGAGCAAAUCGACCCUAGGACUUAUUCUUUGUAAGCCUAGUACUUAUUCUGUCGGUCUCUUGCCGAACUGCUAAGUUACGGGGACGUAAACAUACCAGCAUCCGUUGUCAAGCGUUGUUGAGGGGGACAAACACAGACACAAACAUAUACACACACACAUAUAUAUAUGACGGGCUCUUUCAGUUUCUGUCUACCAAAUACACAUGCGAAAUGAAAAAGAACAUCUCAUAACCACUAUUGGUGUAAUUAUCAAUAUUUCCAUACCCCCGCUCUCUCUCUCUCUGUUAAGUUUUGAUGAAUGAUGAUACUGGAUAAUACUUCUCUCAUUUUCAUUUUUACCUUGAUGCUUGUGCAUCUGGUGCCUCAGAUAAAAACUGAAGUAUUUUUAAAGUAUAUCCACAUCUUUGCUUUGUAUAUCUUUGUAUUUUAGUGGGCUAUUUAAAAUGUCUUCUCUUAAACCUUAACUUUUCUUUACUUUAAAUGGAAAUUGGCAUUCAGUCCAUAUGGCUUUCAAUCCCCAAGUUAGUUGCUAGACCCUUCAAGAGCUUCCUACUAUAUAUAUCGCUGCAUAUCUUUUAUAUCUUUGCUCUGGGAAUUAGAGCUUCAGUUCUUCUAUUGCACUGGGACAGUCUUCUUGUAACAGCAUUCAAUUUCAUGAAACUCUGCUGUUAGUUUAACGCUAUGUUGUCUAUAAUUAAGAGCAGAAGCAACCAAUGUUUUCUACUGGACCAACAUAGUUUUCUUCUUUUGUUCUGAAUUAUCUCAAAAUCCAGCCAACCAGUUGCCCACACGUUUCCAUUUUACAAAUAUGUACUCAGUAUAACACUAUUAUUCAUGUGGAUACCCAGAUCACACACUGAUGGUAAUUCCAGGAUUGCAAAACCUGUGGUCUUGUGUAUUCAGAUUGCAAUCUGUGGACUGAUGGCAGAACACUUAAAGAAUUUUGAACUGCAUGUUGUUUUCUUCAACUCUCUAUAAAUUGGAUUCAGGUCUGUCUAACAUUACGUUAUCAGGGUGCUGAGAGACUCUGCAAUGAAUUGAUAAUUCCCCAGGGACAGUCACUCACCAAAUUUUCCAACUAUGGCAAGGUCAUGUAGCUUGUGACAUAUCAACUUUAUUAAAGGCUAUGGCAGACUCAAAAUAUUGAUUGUGCUGCUGUCUUUCUUACCAUUCAUAAGGCUAUAGUGAGCUGUGUUAGGCUAAUUUGUGCAUGGAAGCCGUACUGCAUGUUUAAGCCAUUUUCUUUGUGAUCAGCUCCUUUCUGACAAUGUGUUCCAUGACUUUGUUGAUGUAUGAGAUCAGAAAGAUAGUUCCAUGACUUCUAACAUGUUCUACUUCCUUCAUUUAUGGAUAGGGCACAUACCAUUCUUUAACUUCUUGAGAUUCUGUGCUACAUCCAAGACAGCUUUGAAACAGCAUAUGCUAUUGCUUUGCUAGAGCCUUCUUAUGUCUUUAAAAGAAUUGAUGGCAAAGCAUUAGGGUCUGUUGCUAAGUUCAAGUUUAUCUCAUCAUUAGCAAAUAUUACAUACUCCUCUUUUAUGUUACACAAUCAAUGGAUUCCUCUUCACUGUGUAGAGCUGCAGUUUUGAAGAACUAUUCAGGCUUGUUUAGCUGCAUAUCUUUACAAUUUAGAGUUGUUUUUGUAUUUAACUUAUUCUUUCGAGGUCUUCAGUUAAUUUUCUUCAGUGGUACUCUCCUGCAAAGCUCUAGAGCAGAUUUUUUUUUGUGCAAGGGCUUGGGGUUUUCUUAUAUAUUUCCGCUAUCUUGUUUGUUUGUUUUUCUUCCUCCUUUCUUUUUCAUAGGAGAGCCUGAUUUUCUCUUUGAUUUCUAAAAAUACUUUUUUGGAAGUGCAACUCCGAACCCUUAAAUUAAAUGAUUUGGAAUCUUUAUUCUUUCUCAUAAGGAUUAUCUUGUCUCUGAAAAUAAUGUUUUUGUGUGUAUUGGUUCUUUGGGAUAAAUUUAAUGAAUAUGGCAUGUAUUGACUUACACAGGAAAACUUUUAGGAUCUCUUAUUGAACUAAUUUUCAAUCAGCUUUGUACAAGUUUAUGCUGGACAGGGUUCAGGUGUUUCCUGUGUGAUAUACAUCUUCAAUUUAAUUUGGGCCAUACAUUGUUAGUUUAAGUUAUAUGAGAAAAUCAUUUUGUGGACAACUUCCAUGUUAUUAGUAAAGCAAUGAUCCAAGAUGUUGUUGCUCUUGGUCAGGCACAACAUUGUCUCCCUUGAGCAUCAAUUUAGUGUGAUCAAGUUGUAUUUUUGCUUGAUUUUGCUCUUGGCAUGACAUUCCUGAGAUUACAUCACCUUUAAGCCAUUUGAUGUAGGAGUAAAUUGAAACCACACCACAGAUGUGUUGAUUUAGUUUCGUUAGUACCUUUUUUAUCAUUCGAAUGUUUUCCUUAAAUUUACCUUUAUGAUUUAAGGAGUCCUUGAAUGAUGUAAUAUACAUAUUAUCACAUCAAUUUGCUUUAUGUGUACUAUUAUUUGUGAGUCACAGACCAUUUGAAUAUGAUAGCAAGAUUAAUGACAUGACAUCUUUGUGGUUGUACAUAGCGACUCCACCAUUAUUUCUUUUUUCCUCAUUCUUUCGUCCCCGUAUCUCCGCAUCAACUGUGUAUAUAUCUAUAGACAUGUAGUAUAUGUGUGUAUAUGUAUAUUUAUGUGGUUACUGAUAUGUAUAUGUGUGUGUUAUAUAUAUAUAAGAUCCUAUGGGAUCCAGCCACAAACUUAUGGGUGGAAUGAUGUUUCUUAUUAGCAAACCUUAAACUGUCACUACUGCAUAGUACCAAAAGUUCCACCGUCCCUCUGCUGUAAAGCUUCAGUUUCAAUGAAUAGCCCACAUUUUUCUACAUUAACGGAAAGUUUUAAAGAUCUGCUGUGAUAGUUGUGGACAUUUUCAAGAGACACGUCUUAGAUGCCAGAUGGACCUGUGACAUGGCAUGAAACCGAAAUGAGGGUGGCAAUGUUCCCCACUCUCAGAGAAAUGAAAAGAAUUAAAAAUCACUCCCGUGGUUGUGCUCCAUCAAGCCACGACCCCUAGCUAGAACAGGUAAAAGUAAUGUGUGUGUGUGUGUGUGUUUGUCUUUCAUUCCUCCGGGGUCGAUGGUUCGACUGGCCCCCUCCUCUUAAGAUUGCUGGCCUUGUAUCAAAAUUUGAAACCAUUAUUAUUACUGUCAUCAUCAUCUCUCUCUACUUACAAGACUGAUGUUAUUUAUCCCUCGUUUACUUUUAAUAUUUUUUCUCAUUCCCACGUAUUUGGCUGUUGUCUAUUCUGUCAUGUCUAUAAAUGUAAUAAAGAAUGUCUCGCAGAUUGCCCAUACUAUAAUUAAGAAAUAGAGCUCACUAAUCGCUCAUAAUAAUAAGUAAGGAAUAUCUCACACAUCGCACAUAAUAAAUAAGAAAUAUCGCUCACACACCGCACACAUAUAAUAAUAAUAAGUAAAUGGAGAACGCGAUGAGGAUAGUAAGAGGAAAGCAGCUCUGAUCCGGGUGAGUAAUGGGAUAUGGUAGAAAUAUGGCUGCCACUGGUUGUUGUGUGUGCCAUUAUGUCUAUAUCUACUAUACUCUUACAGAUAAAUUAUAUUUUCUAUACAAAGCAGAUUAUAUAUGUAUAUGUGUGUGUGUGUGUGUAUAUAUAUAUAUAUAUUGCAUCGAGUCAAUAUGUCGUCUACGCUGGUGCCCACUUUGCUAGAAAUAGAAACCAAAAUCUGCCUGAUAUUACAAAGUCUAUCGCCCUAAAAAAGAAAGAAAAUGACGUUAGAUAAUGUGCUCUGGAAUACCGUCUGCUUCAGAAGAAUAAAAAUGUAGGAUGGUCACGGUUGAAAGGCCAUUCGUCAUGCAUCUUGCUCAUGACCUGGUGUUAAAACAGCAACCUAGUUUCCGAUCUAUCUAUCUAUACACUCGCGCGCGCGCACGCACACACACACACGUAUGUAUAUAAUGCGCGCAUCUGUGUUCUUUUGUCUCUUAAUUAUUUUUAGAAAUGUCUAUGUACCAAUUCCUUCUCUGUCUCUUUCUAAUUUUAUUGAAGGUCUUGUUUACCACCAUUAUUUUUUUUUUACAUAUCUCUCCAUCCCUCCCUCUCUCUUUCUGCCUCUCUCCAGUUAUUGUUUCCUCUCACAAUCCUCUCUCUCUCUCUCUCCAUGCUCAUAACUUUUCUUCUGCCUUUCCUUUAAAUCUUCUCAUUAUUUCACCAAUCUUCCGGCUAACGACGAUCCACCGAUUCUACAAGUUAGUAAUAGAGAUGUAUAUAAAUCAUGUCUGUUGUAUAAACGUGUGUGUAUUUGUGUCAAUACCAAUAUAUACAUAUGUGUGUGAAUAUAUAUAUAUUUGUGUGCUCGUAUAUAUAUUUAUGUAUGUAUGUGGAGGUGUUAGCCCGCCUUUCCAAACUAAUAAUAAUAUUCCAUGUCUCAUAUAAAUGUCUGAAGAAUCAGCCGAUUACACUUGAAUGGUUUUUUUUUAUUAUUUUACCCCAUUUUCCGUCUCCUAUUCCUUUAAUUAAACCAAGUGAUUUUAAAUUAUAUCCCCAACGUCUGGGAACUAGAUGGACGUAACUAUCAUUUCUUUGGUGUUUUCGCCCAAGCAAAUUGUCAGCCCGUGUUUUCUUUCCCAAAAUUUAUUUUAAUAUUUCUGACAGCUCUCUGCUCGUUCGUCAAUUCUUCUUUCUCUCCACAAUAAUGAUAUUCCAGUGAAUUAAGAGGCAAAGUUGUGUAGGUGUUCAGUUGAAGAGUUUUAUACCUAUUGCUUCCGCAACAACACAGAUUUUAGAAUCUUUUUAGCUGCUUCAUUACAAUGUUGAUACACAGGGCUUAAUAGGGACUUUCGGCCCUAUUUCAAUAGGGCUUGUACACACACACACACACACACACACAUAUAUAUAUAGAUAGAUAGAUAGAUAGAUAGAUAGAUAUGUGUGUGUAUAUAAUUUCGGUAUGAACCGAGGGGUUUACUUCAUUAAGGUCAUCUACAGGUAUUGGCUAUCAGAUAAGACAGUAAUCUGGAGAUUGUUUUACCAAACAUAUCUGAAAAUCCAAAUAGCCGUAGUUUUUAUUAUGACAAACAAAAAGAGUGAAGUGAGCAAGUCUUUAUUUCAUCAAUUACAAAACACUUUCUCAUUCCGUUUUUCCUUGUCAUUAAUAAUGUGUGUGUAUGUUCAGUGUGUAGAAGAUAGAUAGAUGUACAGACACACGCAUACGCACAAAAUAAAUUAUCUCAAUAAUGACGUUUUAAAUAACCUAAUUGAAAAUGAUUUUCGUGUGUGUGUGUGUACACUUUGAUUCUUUGUCGGAAUAUUUCUUGUGUAUAUGUAGAUGUUACUCCUGAACAAUGUUGCACUCGGAUCAGUCUUACAAGCUAAAACUCUGAGUGGGAAUUUAACUCGAGUGCGUGUGCGUGUGAAAACCUAGAAAUUCCUUGUUGCCUUAAAUUACUCCGAUUUACUGUCAGAAUCCAAUACAUUUUGGAUGUGUGUAUGUCAUUAAUUAAUGGCCUUCCAAAGGCAACUUGAAAUUUUACUCUAGCUUUUCUUUCUGUUCCAAUUUAUUAUUUUAAAUCUCCUUUCUUCGACAACGUUAAAUAGCAUGUAUGUAUAUAUAUUUAUACACACACACUAACACGUGUGUAUGCGUGUGUGUGUAAUAUAUAUAUAUAUGUGUGUGUGUGUGUGAGAGAGAGAAAUAUACACAAACACACACGCACAUACAUCUAUCGUUUCUAGCAUUCCACCAUCUUUGUACUCUACUGUUGUAUUUCGCACCAAUUUCUUUGUUGAUAUCCUACAUUUUCACUUUCAUUUCGUUAUUUUAACAAAUAUUAAUCCCCACGUCUUGUUAUUUUUACUCGUUAACACUAAGAAAGCCUUUCUAAAAGUGAACGUGGGAAGAUAUAUAAAUAAUAAUAUAUAAUGUCUUGGUAGGGAGGAAAUGGUUUUCUGUGUUGGAAUUUUCGAUUCCGCUUCAUCUCGGAAAGCUUUCUCUCUGGAUAUGUUUACUGAGCUGCUAAAAAUGAUGCAAUUCUGUGUUUAAUGCGGAGGAGGAGAACAGUAGAAAAGUGUUUGGUGCUUUUGUCGUAUUGCAUUAUGCCGCAGAUCAAACCAUUUUCUUCCUGACCUAUUCCGCUUCUAUGGAGAAUAUUGUUUUUUUCCCUUUCUGUUUCUCACGUUAUAUAUAUAUAUAUAUAUAUAUAUAUAUAUAUAUAUAUAUAUAUAUAAACAUUAUAAUUAUUCAUUCUUAGAAUUACCAGUUCUUUUUAACUCGUUGCCAAAUGCUGGGGAUCUUAUAUAUUCUUUUGCUUCUAUCUCUUUUUGUCGUGUGAGGUUCGCCUCUUGUAAUGUAUUUUGGGAUUUAUAGAAGAUCCUUGCUUCUUCAGCUUAAAUAUUGUUUAAAAAUUCCUGUUGACCUCCACCUCUCAUCAUAAUUACGACAAGUAGGGGAGAUUUAUUGUGUAUUAACUAUUUUUACAUAUGAUGCUGCUGCUGCUAUCAGCAAAUUUUAGUCGACUCUGCUGGAGUAAGGAAGGAAUCAGGUUCUUUGGUAAUAGCACCAUAUUGAUACUGUAUUGUGUUCUACACCAUGUUAUCGUUAGUUCAGCUAUAUAACGUUCUGCCUGUGAAUUUUAAAUCUAGGUCUUGUAGGGGUUUUUUUAGAGGUUCCUUUGAUCAUCUAUUUGUUACACAACGUGGAACUCCUCUUGGAUGAAUCACGCAAAUAUCUUCUGUGAAGCUUUAAAAUUUUUAGUUUUUGCCUUCAAGGCCUCAUGCAAAAACGGUUUCGAGUUUGCCAUUUUAUACACAAUAACAUACCGCCUGUAUGUAUGUGUGUGUAUAUAUAUACACAUACAUAUAUACACACACAUCAUCAUUGUUUUAACGCGCAUUUUUUUCAUGCUUGCAUGGGUUGGACAGAGAUCAUUGAAGCAGAUUUUCCUGUUGCCAACCCUCACACUGUUUCUAGACAAGGUUAUAUUUCCCCAUUGCUAGAGAUGUUUGUACAAUAUAUUUGAAAUGAAUGACACUGCUUGUAUGUCAAGUUGUCAAGACAAGGAGACAUACAUAAACACACAUGUUAUGGGUUUCUUUGAAUUUCCAUCUAUCAGAUCCACAAGGUGUUGAUUGGCUUGGAGCUGUAGAGCACGAAAUUAAUUUUCCCAUUGAAUUUUAUGUCAUAAAGUGUGAUGUGUUCUACCAGAUCAAGCAAUAUUACCAUUUUUAUGCAUGAAAAUAACAAACAUACAUAGUAUUAUAUGUAAGCAUAAAAACAUUGGAAGAGAAAUAUAUAUAUAGGCACAGGAGUGGCUGUGUGGUAAGUAGCUUGCUAACCAACCACAUGGUUCCGGGUUCAGUCCCACUGCGUGGCAUCUUGGGCAAGUGUCUUCUGCUAUAGCCCCGGGCCAACCAAUGCCUUGUGAGUGGAUUUGGUAGAUGGAAACUGAAAGAAGCCUGUCGUAUAUAUGUAUAUAUAUGUAUGUGUGUGUGUUUGUUCCCCUAGCAUUGCUUGACAACCGAUGCUGGUGUGUUUAUGUCCCCAACACUUAGCGGUUCGGCAAAAAGAGACGGAUAGAAUAAGUACUGGGCUUACAAAAAGAAUAAGUCCCGGGGUCGAGUUGCUCGACUAAAGGCGGUGCUCCAGCAUAGCCGCAGUCAAAUGACUGAAACGAGUAAAAUGAGAAUCAUAAUAUAAUAGGGUAUGUUCUGUUUUCUGAAUGAGAAGUAGUAGUUAAAUUACUGGGGGGAUGGCCAUAUUUUGCAAAUGCCAUUUCAAGUUGAGGAUUUCACUUUCUCUCAUCACUCGGUUGUGUUAACCACAGCAUCUAUUUUGUUAAACUUCAUCUCUUACUGUACAUUUAUCCUCCCUAUUAAUUUGCUUUUAUAAAUUGUUUGAAAGUUCUCAGAUAAUAUACCUGGAAAUUGUCAUACCUUGAUCCAUUAACUGGAUCAAAGAAGUAUUCUUGGGGAUAUAUUCUACUCUCACAUUAUGAGAAAGCCCAUUUAAGUUCACUGGUUGACUUGAUGCUUUGUCUAAAAAGUGCAAUGCUUUGUUGGAAAUAUUGUGUGUGACACUAUACUUUUCCACAGCAAGACACAAAGAUAUUUGUAAACCAUUCUUUAGAAAGGUUCCUAGUCAUCUAAUCCUUAUUUGAGUGUUAAAUCAGAGGUAGAUUAAACUUUGCAUAACCCUUGAAAGCCCUUGGAUUUUUCAGAGUGAUCUUUAUAUAGAGACUUUAUUUUCAUAUCACCAACAGCAUUUCUUUCUUGUAGAAAUGUCGGACAAUUUUUGGUGUUGAUUUUUCUUGUCAAGAAAUAAAAGUUGUAGUGGGCAUGUACUUCCAGAAAAGUGCAAUUUCAUCAUUAUUUUGUAUUUGUUCUGGUGUAUAAUCUUCUUUGGCAGUCAUUUUCUUCAGCUGCUCAGAAUAAAUUGUAGAUGCCUCCUGUAUCAACACUGGCAGCUUCACCAGUCAUUUUCACAUUGUGAGAAUUUAAGUGCUUUUUAAACCUUUCAAGCUAGCUUUUACUGGCCAGAAAUGGUUUUUCAUUAGAAGUUACAUCUUCCCUUUUUUUUUUUUUUUGCAAAUCAUCAUACAAAUCAUAUAAACUGUAUUUUUUUUAAAUUACCAUAGUGCUCAAGUCUAUGCUGAGCUUGACCCUUAAUUUAUACACUAAUGUGCUUCUCACUUUAGAUCUAUGAAAAAAUAAGUCCAAGCAUUCUAAUUAAUUUUCUUUCUAUUGUCAUGUAUUGUUCUAACUGAAGAUGUUGCAAGCUUUAGUGUUUUGGCAAUGUGGCUGACUCUUCCUCCAGCAUCAACCUUUUUUAAAACCUUGAGUUUAAUAUCCUGUGUAAUCCUUUUACUGUUUCUUUUCGCACUACUAUCUUCUGUUCCACUUGAUGGCGUCUUUCCAGACAUCUUGAAUUAUAGAUAAAUCCAACAGCAGCUGCUGUGAAUAUUAUCAAAAACAUAUGUAAUAAAAAAAAAUAGCUCCAGAAGUAUGGAAAUGAAAAGGUGAAGAAGUGAGGUGGGAGGAGAUACUGUAUGAUUACAUUUAACUGAAUGAUUACCAGGUUUAUGGGUAUUAUGCCCCUUGUUGGCUUAACACCUUAAAAUUCCACACUACUUUCACACACAAACACACACCAUUGUGUUGACAUAUAACAUACAUAGCUAAAGACAUUUCUAUCAAUCUGAUACUAUUAUUGUUGUCAAUUACUUGUGGGUUGGUUGUGGCGGUGCCGUUGGCUCUUUUGGUUUUGGUGUUGAUAUUUGCAGUGGUGAGAGUAUUGUUGCUAAUGGCAGAGGUUUUAUUAUUCUUGUUAAUUGCAUUGUUGCUGCUUAGUCUCAAGUCGAUCCUCAUUGACCUAAGAUCAAAAAACAUUUCAACUUUUAAAAUAUACUAGGCUACCACAUUAUCUUAUAUCUUUUAUUUUAAAUUGAGCUGCUUAUCUUCUUCAUGUUGUUGUUGUUCCUUUAGGUAUUGGUGGAUUGGUGAUGAUGGUAGUUGUAUAGGUUUUAGUGGUGGUUGUAUUGGUGUUGAUGAAAUACAUGUAUUUAUAUGAUUAUAGUUUUCAGAUUGUUAACUAUACUUUGAUCUUGGUUACAAUGCCAGAAAGCAGCCAUUUGGCUGAGAAGAAAGGAUAGUUUUUAAAUUGCUUAAAUUUUCUGAGCCUUUCAUAAAGGCAUAAUGACAGACCAUAUCCUGAAAUUAGCGAUCAUAUUUCACUGAUUUCCAUAACCAUGAGAUCCCAUAACCUGAGGUAGCUGUAAUGCAGGGGAUGCUUGCAUGUAUGUAUGUGUGUGUGUAUGUAUAUAUAUUACAUAGUGGUCAAUAUUUACUGACCACUAUUUACCUGCAAUAAGAUUUAAAUGCAAUAUAUGAGAUAAAGAUAACAACAUGCAAAUUCAUCAUUAUCAUCAUCAUCAAAUUAAUGUUAAAUUUCAAAACCUCCUCAACCCAUUAAUAAAAUAUAUUGCAGCCAAAAUACACUGGAUCGCAAGGGAUUGCAACCCCAGCCAAUGUCGCAACCAGUUUGUAACCUGGUUGUAAAUGUGAGCACUGACAUAUCAUUUCAUGUACAUAUCAAUGGCAACAUGUAGGCAACUGGCUGGAUGGAUUGUAAGAACUUUCAGAACAAGAGACCAGGAAACAGUGCUGGUCUAUUUGUCCUAAUUAUCUAAGGACUGUGUCUGACCUCUAAGUAGUAAUGAAGAAAAUGUCAAUUCCCAUCAUGUAAUGAUGGUUUAAAAUUCUUUGACCAGUGAAAUUACAGAGGUUUCCAUGAAAUGUAAAUAAAAUUAAACUUGAAUGUUCAAAAUAACAUUUUACUCUGCUUUAUAUUCAAUCAUAUUUUCAGUGGAAUUAAAAUUAAUUUUUUUCUCACAUUUUGUAUUUAGCUUAACUCCUUUUCUAUUUCAAACCCAAUGAUAUAUGUCUACACUGAUUGAAAAUUUUCAGCUUUUAGUAUAUAGUUAACUCCCUCUUUAGUAUAUGUUGUAUCAUCCUUCUUUCACAUGGCCACUUCAUUGUUAGAAAGUCGAUUGUAAAAAUAUGCCUAUGGACAAUAUUUCUUUGAAAUAUGUUUGUAAAUUAGAGCUAUAUUAGAUCUAUUUACUGAGCCAACAAUUAAGGUUUUCUAGUUCAUCUUUGUCUUUAAUAGAUUGUUGAUUCAUGCUUUCUUAUCAGAGAUAUUUAAAAAAGGCAGAAUGGAUGACUUAGUGUUUAUUGAUCUUAUGCACGUAUUGAAAUAUAACUUCUAUUGUUUGCUGUAUUAAUUUUUAAUUCUAAUCGUAUAUUACUUUCAGGCAAUAUUCCUAAGCUUUUGUGCAAAAUAAUACAAUCUUUUCUCGCAAACGACUGCAACUGCUUAACUUGCUUAACAGGAUGUUGUUAUUGUAAGAUAAAAAAAUCAUAUAGAAAGCUCUUUCUUUAUGGUCUUUAGAAAGGAGGGGAAAAAAUAUUUCCUUAAGGUUUCAUGUUCUCUGAGCCAUAAUCUCAGGAUCAGUCUAGGCUACCUUUGAUUAGAGCUUCCAGAGAUUUUAGUUGAAGGUGACAAAAUGAAUGCCCUUUCAUUUAUGUAAUCUUAUUCAUCUUUUAAAAUGGCUCCUGCUUAAUACAAUUUGUGUUUUGUAGCAACUGUGUUUGUUUUAAACCACAGUUGGCCCAUUUUAUGUAUUUGUACUUAAGCUAUAUUCACCUUGAGAAAUGAUCACUAAAUAAGACCAAGUAAAUGAUACAAGACAGAUAUAAACACUGAUUUGGAGCAAAGCAGUAGCGGGGGGAGUCAUUGAGUCAGUAAACUGAGAACUGCACUCAUUUUCUAUGUAUAGUUGUGACUUGUGAUAUAUGUGAUGUAAAUGAAUGAUAUAAAAGGGUGAAGGCCCCCUUCGAUCAGGAAUGACCAUGGGAUUGCACCCAGAAAGUGCCUCCACAGUACAAGUCUGGGUAAGAUUGUUUAUGGAAGACCAGCAGUUACCUAUGCAUACCAGCCUCCCCUUUCCACACCGCCAAUGUUAUCCAAGGGAAAGGUAAAAGCCGGUACAGCUUGGCACCUGUGAUGUCACAACUCAUUUCCAUAGCUGAGUGAACUGGAGCAAUAUGAAAUGAAGUGUCUUGCUCAAGAACACAAUACACAGGCUGGUCCAGAAAUCAAAUACACUACCUCUUGAUUGUGAGCCCGACACUCUAGCCACUGAGCCUUGUACCUUCAUCAUGAAUAUAAAAUCAGAAAUAUACUGUACAUUUCAAUCUAAUUCACUUAGCACAUUUUCCAUCUGUAAGCUAUUGAUUUUAAAUAUGCUAAUUACUUUAUAAAUGAAUUUUCAAGUAAUCCAAUAAACCAUAUUAAAACGAAACUCUAAAAUGUAAAAGGUUUUGAUUUUGUACUAGUUGUGAAUGUGUGUUAAGAAGUUUGCUUACCAACCACAUGGUUCCAGGUUUACUCCCACUGUGUGGCACCUUGGGCAAGUCUCUUCUACUGUAGCCCCAAGCAAACCAAAAGCCUUGUGAGUGGAUUCGGUAGAUGGAAACUAAAAGAAGCCCAUCAUACUGGUGAGUGUGUGUGUGUGUGUUUGCCCCUUCCUCCAUUUUCACUUAAUUAGUGGGGUUGGUUUGUUUGAAUCCCUGUAACUUAGCAGUUCAACCAAACAUAAAAAAAAGUACUGGGGUUGAUUUGUUACUGCCAUAACAAAUGUGACAGCCCUGGCUUUGCUAUUUCACUGAAUAACUAAAAAACAAGCAACUAUGCUUCAAAUGCCAAGCAUUAUUAUGAUUACUAAAAGAUCAAAUAUUAUUUUAAAACAUUAAAUCCUGUUCAAAGAAAUUUCUGAGUUAAAAUUCUAGAAUAAUAAUAUUCAUCAUGAGAUAAGCGCUAUUACAAUCAUGGCUGUUAUUGAUCAAAUGUUAGGCUUCAGUUAAUGUUAGCCAAAACUAACUCAAUAAAUAAAUUGGUGAUUUAUCUUUUACUUUUUUCAGUCAUUAGAUUGCAGCUAUAUCAGGGUACUGCCUCAGUGGAGUUUAGUUGCACUAAUUGACCCCAGUAUUUAUUUUCUUUUUAAGCCUGAUACUUAUUCUAUUGGUCACUCAAGCUGAACCACUAAGUUUUAGGGAUGUAGACACCAACACCAUUUGUCAAGCAGUGGUGGAGGAUAAUAUUUACACAUAUGGGUUUCUUUCUGUUUCUGUCUACCAAAGCCACUGUCAGCCUGAGUCUAUAGUAGAAAAUACUUGCCCAAAAUGUCAUACAGUGGAAUUGAACCAAGAACCAUUUGGUUGAAAAGCAAGAUUCUAACCACACAGUCAUGCUUGUUGGUUCUGUUCUUUUUGUAUUUUGGUCUUUUUGUUUAGAAAUUCUUUAAAUGUAUUUGCAUAUGUAUUGAUGAGUGUAAAUUACAGCAGAAGGUUGGGGACUUCUCACAUAGAGGAAUCCUUGUUGCUUAGAAGUUUUAAUUGUUGUUGUUUAGCUUGAGUCAGCCAUGAUUAAGCAGGUCUAGGAGGAAAGCCACCUAUCCAUGACUAGGAGGCUUUAUAUAUCAUGACCUGCAUUUGCUAAUGUGUAUGUGUGCACACGUGUGUGUGUAUAUAUUCUUUUAUUUGUUUCAGUCAUUUGAGUGUGGCCAUGCUGGAGCACCACCUUUAGUUGAACAAAUUGACCCUUGUUGAACCACUAAGUUAUGGGAACAUAAACACACCAACAUCGGUGUCAAACGAUGGGGGGGGGCAAGCUCAGACACAAAUACAUAUAUAUAUAUACACACACACACACACACGGCUUCUUUCAGUUUCCCCCUACGAAAUCCACUCACAAGGCUUUAGUCAGCCUGAUAUAUAUAUAUAUAUAUAUAUAUAUACAUACAUACAUAUGAAGUGUAUAUUCAGUAUGGAGCAAAAGUCUAAGGUCCUGAUAGUGUGUAAAGUUAGCGUAUUUCCAGAGAAACACCCAACCCAGAUACUGGGUUAUCAGCACUGUUAGGUUCCAGGCUAAUGCCAGAAUUCCUCAGGUGUAGAAAAUCCAGGUUUCACGACGAUCAUACCGUAAAUUGGAUUUAGUUAAAAAAUUCUAACGAAUCAUUAAAGAUGUGUUAAAAAAUUUUCUGUGUUAUUAUUUGGUAUAUAUAUAUAUAUAUAUAUACACACGAUCUUGUUUCAGUCUUUCGACUACAGCCAUAGUGGGGCACUGCCUUGAAGGAUUUAGUCCAACAAGUUCACUCCAAUACUUAUUAUUUUUAAACCUGGUAUAUCAUGGGCUUCUUUCAGUUUCCAUCUAUCAAAUCCACUCACAUGGCUUAUCUGUAUAUAGUCAAGCUGCUGCUUUGUACCAAACUUAGAACUGUUACUAAUCCAUCUUUUUAACCACACAAAUUUAUGUGUAUUAUUAGGUGUGAUCUCACUGUGUGGAAGCUGUUGGCAAGUGUCCUUUGCUAUAGUCCAGAGUUGAGUAAUACCUUGUUAGUGAAACUGGUAGACAGACUGAAGAACCUCAUAUGUAUGAGUUCCUAUUUACCCUCAUCUUUACAUGUAUUCACUGGUUUUAAAUAGAAGCAUUGUUUGCUUACAGUUCACUGCAAAAGCAUGUUCAGGCUUCGUGACAUAUCUUGAUAUGUUAUAUGAUCUGUAUAAACAAAAGGCUCAAUCAAAUAGUGUUGUUUGUUUCCAGUUUUCAAUCUAACCAUGUUGAGGCUAUUUACUGUCUGCAUGGAAACAGGUGAGUUAGCAUUACAAAAUACAUCCAUCCUUAGAAGCCUCUGCUCUGGCUUAGUCUCAUCUGACCCAGGAAAGCAUGGAACUGUUAACUUUAACCAUUUAGCAUUUAAGCUGGCUAUGUCUCGCCCAAAUAUUCUACCUGUGAUAUGUUCAAACUGGCCAGAUCCAGUCUCUCACACCAACGCCAAAUUGUCAUUCUAAAAAUAAUCAUAUCAUAGAAAUCAUGAAGGUACAAAAUAAUGCAUGAUUAAUUCUAAUCAAAAUGAAUAAAUAAGUUUCACAUUCAACAUUCAACCUUAAUUUCAAUGCUAAAAGGUUAGAAAAUAUUGAUGAUGAGGCGGUUUUCAACUGUUUAUAAACUGGUGUAACACAAACUGAUAGCAUAUAUUUCUGUAAUAUAAUGAUAGGUGUCUUUGCUAAUUCAGGUGCAUUUUGAUAGUAGUUGUUUUACAUAUCUCUAUCAGUUGACAAAUGAUCACAGCAUAGGGCAAUAUUAUGUUAAGGUACAUCUUGAUCUUGUUUGGCCUUCAGUAUAGAAAUUUAAUUCAUAUUUCCACUGAAUGUGUACAGAUAUUGAAUUUUGUCAUUCAUUGCUAUGCCAUACCUUUUGUACUUUGUUCUUUUCACUGUUAUAAACUCCACAAUAGUCUCUAGUUUCUAGUGUAAUUAUAUAAGAUGUUUAUAACUAAAUGAGAGGUUAUGUGACUCCCAACAACACCACAGUCAGUAAUUGUCUCUUCCUCCUCCUCUUUAUACGGAUUCAAAUCACAAAACUGUAAUUAAUGACCAUGCAUUCUCACUUCCCUUUGGUCUUUGUAUCAAAUAAAUUACUGUGAUGUUUUCAUUUAUUUCUGCCUGAAGACGGGGUAGAGACUUUAAAAUAUAUUUUUUGCUUCAUUUCUUUAAUACUACUACUUUUUCUCCCACACAGUUGCAAGCAAGGCUGUGUGGUUAAGAAGUUCACUUCUCAACCAUAUAGCUUCAAGCUCAGUCCCACUGCCAUACACUUUAUGCAAAUGUUUUUGUGCUCUAGGCCACCCAAAGCUUUCUGAGUGGAUUUGGCAGACAGAAACUGAAGAAGCCCAUCAUAUAUGUGUGUUUAUUUUGUUUGCUUACACCUACUGCUCACUUUUUGAAAAGUCAUGACAUUUGCACUGUGUUUAUUGGCAUUUUGCCUGUCGAUAAUUCAUUUGCUUCUUAAAAACAGACAAGGGUUUUUACAUAUCUCUAUUGAAAACAGACAAGGGCAUCUAGCUGUAGAUCAGUGCUUCAAUAACAUAGCAUGGAAAAAGCAGACAUUACAUUUACAAACAAAAUAAUGAAUUAAAGAACAUGCUGGGCUGCUGUAUCCCUCUGUCAUCACUUUAUCCCUUGGAUCACAGACUUCUGUCCCUUUUGCCAUCUCAAUCAUAUUACCUUGAAUAUUUGAACUUAACUCAAGAAUGCUAAGUACUCCUGUCCUUCAUCCCACAGUCACACUCCCUUUCGUUAUUAGCAUUUAUACUUCCAUCACUCAUGCUUCUAACUCUGUAAAGAGGUAAAUGAACAUGCAGAGACACAGGGUUAUGAUGUCUGUUUAGUUGAAAUGAGGACAUGGCUGCUUCUCAUGGCAUGAAAGAAGCAUCUAGUAAACUCUGUAAAACUGUUGGUAUUAAGGACAUUCAGCUGUAGAAAUUAAGCCAAAAUGAAACCUGAGCAAGAUAAGGUCCCUUCAACCUGCCACAGUGAGAUCUGUCUAACCCAUACCAGCAUGAAUAGGGGUCAUAAAAUGAUGAUGAUGAUGAUGAAUAUGCAGUGAUUUUCAGUUAUUGCUUAACUUGUAUUUUUCAGUAGCCCAAGUAAUAUUGAUUAUCUUAAGUAUAAUUGAGUAUAAUUGAACUUUGAUUAUAGUAUCAAAGAUUUACUUUUGAAUUUUACAUGGUAAUCAUACUUUCAUUUUAUUAUUAAUGCUUAUCAUUAUCGGCUUCAUUAAGUGAUUUUUAUUUUUUUAAAUAAUGUAUAAUUUUAUCAAAGAUUUUAUUACAAAUUGCUGACUUCAGAUAUAUGUUAUAUUUUCUGGCUAUCUUUUCAGCAAUAAAACAAUAUUAAUGAUAAAAAGAGCAUAGUGUCAGGUGCUACAGCACAAGGCCAAGGAAACUUUCAUUUCAGCUAUGGACUGUGAACAUGUUAAGGUACCAUGUUCAAGAGCUUAGUCAAUCAUAAUGACUUCAGAAUUUACUUCUUCAGUCUGAUAUUUUAUCAGUUUCUGCUUAUCAAACUAGCAAUUUAUGAGAAUAAAGAGAGACAACACACAUUCACAUGCUCAUACACACAUGAUAAUUAGCAAUGUGUAUUUAUUUAUUUACUACCAUACAAACAAAACAGAGUAGAAGCGGGGGUUGUCAAAUGGCAACAGAGUGUGGGUAACAAGGAAGUAUAAUAGUGGAAGGAUGAGUUAUUCAUCACUCUACAGAGGGGGCAAACAUGGAAAAGAAUGGAUGAGAAAACUGAACAUAAGGAUGGCUUGAAGUAAGAGGUAUUAACAUUAUGUUUGUUUUUAAGUAGAGAGUGAAACAAACUUAAUAUGCUGGAAGUCUGGUACUUAUUCUAUUGGUCUCUUUUGUUGCAUCACUAAGUUUUCGAGGAUGGACAUAAACCAACGCUGGUUGUCAAGCAGUGAUUAAGACACACAUGUAUAAAUACACACUGGGCUUCUUUUAGUUUCCGUCUACCAUAUCCACUCACAAGGCUUUGGUAGGCUUGAGGCUAUAGGAGAAGACACUUGCCCAAAGUGCUAUGCUGUGAAACUGAACCCAAAAUCUUGUGGUUGGCAAGCAUACAGCCAACCUGUACCUAUGAAUAUUGUGAUAAAAGAACUUAUGGAAUACUGAUAAUUACAUAUAAAGCUUUCAGUAUUUUGUAAAAAUUAAAAUAUUCUUCUAAAUAUAGAUCAUUGUUUUUAAUUAAAUUUUUAUUACUGUCAUUAAACUGUUCAGUGAACAGGUAAAAGUAUGGUAAGCCAAAAAGUUGUCAUCCUUGAUGGUACAAUUGCCUACAUGCUUAUAUACUAUUGUAACCCAUCAUUUUCAGCAUGACAUGCACUAUCACUUUUUCAAAUUAUUGAUAUGAUUUUACAAUUAAAAUAAGUGUGAAGCUUUAGAUAAGAAAUUUACCAAUCGGGUCAUAUGUCAAAAACUAUCAUUUUUUUUUAUGACAUUGGUACUAGCUUCUAUGUGUGUGUAUAUAUAUAUAUAUAUAUAUAUAUAUAUAUAUAUAUAUACACAUACACACACACACACACAAGGUUGGCCAAAAGUCACCUGGUGCUUGAGGAGACCUAUUGAGUCAAGUACAUCAUCAGCGAUAUAAAAAUCAAAUCAAAUGGAAAUUGUAGUUGUGAGACCCAUGCCAGUAGCACGUGAAAAGCUCCAUCCGAAUGUGGCUGAUGCCAGUGCUGCCUUGACUGGCAUCUGUGCUAGUGGCACAUAAAAAACACCAUCCGAUCGUGGUCGAUGCCAGCUCCUUGGGCUCUUGUGCCAGUGGCAUGUAAAAAGCACCCUCUACACACUCGGGGUGGUUGGCAUUAGGAAGGGCAUCAUGCUGUAGAAACAUUGCCAGGUCAGUUUCCAGACUCCAGUCGAACCAUCCAACCAAUGCCAGCAUGGAAAAUGGACGUAAAAAUGAUCAUGAUUUUAUAUAUAUAUAUAUAUAUAUAUCACGUGACCGACCAGACCAUCAGAUGUUGUUACACAUCGCUGGUCACAAUAUGUUCACAUUGUUUUAGCCUUUGAAUGGUGCCACCCCGCUGGCUGAGCGAGCAGGCCAUAUAUAUAUAGACUGCAGCUGUACUGAGGUACCACCUUCUUGAGGGGUUUAGUCAAAUAAAUCUACCUCAAUACUUGGGUUUUUUUUUAAGUCUGACACUUAUUUUGUCAGUCUCUUUUUUUUUCUAUCAUAAUGUCAUGGGGGUGUAAACAAAUCAACACUGGUUGUCAAGCGGUGAUGGGAAACACACACACACACACACACACACACACACACACACACACACACACACAUAUAUAUAUAUAUAUAUAUAUAUAUAUAUAUAUACAUGACAAGCUUCUUUCAGUUUCUGUAUGACAAAUCUAUUCUCAAUGUCAGCUCUGGGUUAUAAUAGAAGACAUUUCUCCAAGGUGCCACACAGUGGAACUAAACACAAGACCACAUGAUUGGGAAGCCCAUACAGCCACAUAGUAGUUUGGAAAUUGUCAAUAAAGCACAUGCACUGGUUGUAUUUCACUCAUUCUAUUCUGAAUUAACUAAUUAAUCAGUUAUUUAGUUUCUCAAAGCUUUUUUCUAACACACUGUGACCUUAUCAAUAACAUGUCCCUUGUGUGCAUUUACUCUGUGCAAGUAUCCACUUGCUCUAUGCUCUGUGUUACUUUCUGAAAACAUGAUAGGGUAAGUUCUUUCUUUUUUUUUUUUUUUUUGUAUUUAUAAAGUAGGAACUUUGUGUGUGUGGAUGUGUGCAUAGUAUAAAAAUAUAUAAAAAUGAAAAUGUAAUUCAAACAUGUCACUUAAAUACCCCAGCCUCACUGCAACCACCAUCCAAAAUAAUGAUUAUAAUGGUAAUAUAAAGAGCAAAAAAGACAAAAAUCUGCUGCACAUUACUGUAACAUAUUCUGUGGAAAUACAAAAUUACAAUAUUGCAAUAGAAAGUAACUGACUAAUCAGAAAAUUUCUUGAAUCAAAGAUCAAGGAGAUCAGAAAUCCAAAGUGGAAACAAUAUUAAUUAAUUGUAGAGCAAAUAUCUAUAGCUUACAGAUUUAAUAUUUUAGCAAAGGAACUUCACUUUUCCCAUAUCACUAAUGAAGCUGCUUUAUUAAAAGAUCAAAUCUGCAAUAUGCACAGAUGUGUGUGUGUUUAUUGAUGUAUCAUUUUUAUAUUCUCUUUCCAUACUAGUAUGGGUUGGAAAGGUCAUCACAGUUCUAGCCAGUUCUUAUUUGAAGUCACUGCUCUUGAUGAGUACUACAGCUGAUAUGUUUCAUUUUCAGCAUGACCUUUAUGGCAGGAUGCCCUUUCUAACAACUACUACUUUACGAACAACUUUCUAACAACAACUACUUUGUUAUUAUGAAGAGCACAAGCUUCCUGAACUUUUCCCUAUCUUUUUACUCUAACUAGUAUGUUUUUAGAACAAUCACUUCCACUACUAAUUAGGUCUCCUAGGUAACAAAAGCUAUCCACUGUGAAAGGAACCUCUUGGGUAUAGGGAAGGAAUCUAUUUCAUGGGUGUUUACUGCUCCUGAACAUCUGCUGCAUAUAAAAAUCUUUCUCAGCAUAUGGGUCAAUAGUUAGUGUCGGGGGACACAAUCAUGAAGUAGUGAGUUUGAUUCCUGAACUGGACUGUGUGUUGUGUUCUUGAGCAAGACAUUUCAUUUCAUGUUGCUCCAGUUCACUUAACUGUAAAAAUGAGUUGCAGCAUCACUGGUGCCAAGCCGUAUUGGCCUUUGUCUUUCCCUUGGAUAACAUCGGUGAUGUGGAGAGAGGAGGCUAGUAUCCAUGGGCAACUGCUGGUCUUCCAUGAUGAACCUUGCCUGGAUUUGUGCCUUGGAGGGUAAUUUUCUAGGUGCAAUCCCAUGGUCAUUCAUGACCGAAGGGGUUCUUUACCCAUUAGCUUAUGUGUGAUCUCAGUAUAUCUCUUGUGUAUCUAUAAUUUACACUGGGUAUCCUGUAUGGAAUUUCAACCUUACUCCUUUUUCUGCAUAUCAGACAUGGCUAUUUCCCUGGUGGUAGCAUGGUUCUGUUUGUUUUCCUAACCAAAAUUCAAGUCUCUCCUAAGUUUACUGUGAGACCUUGCUUUUCUUGAUUUUACUUCCAUUUCUAGAAUUUCAUCUCUUUCUGUAUAUAUCUUCUAUAUUUUCAAGUCAUCAGCUUAGAGAAGUCCCCAAGGAGAGCUGGUCUAAAACUCUUAAAAUCUGGAGGAAUGCAAUGAACAGGAGGGGGCUGAAAACUGAAUCCUGGUGGUCCCUAAUCUGCAUAUUUGUUAUAUUAAUUGCUAACUCUCACUUUGCUGACUGCACUUCACAAACCAAUCAUCUGCUGUUCAUUUCCUUUGUAUGAAUAUAUGCAUAUGUAUCUCAAUAUGUAUAUAUGCAUAUGUAUGUGUGCAUGUAUUUAUACUACUGAGUGUGCAUGUAUGUAUGCAUGUGUGUAUAUAUUUGUACACUAGUUGGCACUUGCCCAGAGUAAGUUGAGCUGGUUCCACCACAUCACGGACAGAAGCCAACCUUGCUCACCAAUCACAGAUGUUCAAUGAGGAAAUUUUCUGCUAGUUGCAAUGUCAACAGUAAAUAUCAUACACUUGCGAACUAGAUAUUGAUUCAAGACUUGACUAGGUCAUAGUAAUCCACAUUUUCAACUAUUCACCUUGUAGUUAAUACCAUUCCAGAGACAUUGACACAGCUGCAUUGCAGCAAUUUGUAAGUAAACCAACAGAAGCACUUCUUAAGUAAGAAUUGUUGUUGGAAAUUGAUCCAACAAUGCUAACAAACUUCAGAUUUUAAUACGAAAACAAAACUCAAAGAUUCAGUGAAGGCAAAAGUAAUAAAAAGUUUUCAACUGGCAUAAAUUCUCUGCUCAUUUGCUUAUGUGCUGUAGCCAUAAAGCAAACUGGUAUAAAUGAAUGCUUGGUAGAUGUAAAUUUAUGUGGCUACUCAGAUCCCUGGACCUAGAUCAAAGCUGGUUUUGAAAUCAACAGGACUACAAUAAAAAACAUUUGCUUGAGUUACUGCACAGUGAUACAAAACCUGAAACCACAUAGUUGAGAAAACGAGCUUAACUGCACAGCCAUGGCUGCUUGUUAUUUAAAAUACAUGAAAUAGAACUGUGAAAUAAUGAUUUCAAAUUUUGGCUCGAGACCAGUAAUUUUGUGGGAGGAGUUAAGUCAACUACAUUGACCCCAGUGCUCCACUGGUUUCUUAUUUUAUCAGCCCCAAAAGGAUGAAAGGCAAAGUCAGCCUCGGUGGAAAUUGAACUUAGAACAUAGAGACUAACAAAAAUGCUGCCAAGCAUUUUGCCCAACACAGUAACUAUUCUGCCAGCUCACUGAUAACUGGGAAAAAGAAAGAAGCCCCUUGUUAGUUAAAAGUCUUGUUAACAUUUAUCAAGGAACUAUAUUUUUCUGUACAACUCUAUUUUUUAUUUAACUAGUAUAUGUCAAUAAAUGUUCAGCAUUUAUUUUUCUAGAAAAUGCAAAACAUUCUUUUUACUAUCAACCAUUAAGAUUAGUGCCUCCUGACAGUGUGAUGUAAUUUACCAUGCUAAAAGAAAAAUUGAAUCGUAUUGAGCUACCAGUCAAUAAAUUAACCACACCCUAGUGUUUUGGAGUGCCUGCUAUACUUUUUUAUGUUAUAAAGUUUUAAAAAAAAAACAUGUAAUUAAACUCUCUGACAUUGUAUUAAAUUAUUGCCAAAAUCUGUAUUCAGAUAAAAAUCUUUGAUUGAUUACUGCAUGAGAGGAAGUGUAUUAUUUUACCCAAUAACAUUUCAUUCACUGCUGAAAUGUUUUUAUUUUUUUAUGAUUAAAAAUAGGUUAUUAAGUGAUAUAUUUGGGUCCUAUUUCAACUAAUGGGCUUCAAUGCAGUUUGGAAUAACUCUGUUCUAUGUAUUCUAAAACAUUUCAUAUCCUAGAUUUUUUCUUUUUUUUUGUGUGUGUGUGUUUACCAAUAAAUUCCAUCCAUAUUUACUUGUUUCUCUCAUGCCUUUCACAGUUUUCGGUUGAUUUUAGGUUGGAUGCUAUGGAUAUGUCUAUUUUGUUCUUUAAAUUCAGUGUGCCAACUUGUAUUGAGUCAAAAUUUAAGCUUACCCUUAAGGUAAUCACAAUCUUUUCUUAAAUAACCACUUAUUAAUUUAUGGUGUCUAGCAAUUGUUGUCACAGAGUGCACUGUUAUGCUGAAAAAUCUACUGCUUUGAUAUAAAGUUUGCUCAAAAUUAAAUAUACAAGCUUAAGGCUGUUUCUGUACAUAUGACUUCAAAUUAACUUUUUUUCUUUUUUUUCUUUUUGUAGUGUGUGUCAUUUAAUUUGAAAACAAAUUAUGACCAAAUUCUAUCAUAUAAAAGCAGAAUUAUUAUAGAAAAUUUACCAUCUUUGGUGAGUGAGCAGCACUCAAAAUACACACCUCAAAGUUUAACAUCCAAAUACAUAAAUAGCUCUAAAUGUACUCUUCUAUUGUUGAUUUAUUUAUUUGGGUAACCUUUUUGUGCCAAAUGUUAGCAUUAUAUUGUAUUUUUAAUGAGACACCCAUUUUAUAAUUUUACUGCAAGAAUUCCAUUGACUAUAAAACAGGAAUCAUCAGUAAAGUUGUUCACGUGACUGUUAGACAAUAUUUUCUUACCAUUCAUUUAUUUCAAAUGAUCAUUUAACCCCUUGCCUCCAGUUAGGGCUUGUCCAAACAAAUAAAAUUCAUUGGAGCACAUGAAAUGCACAUGAAUGCAAUUGUUCAUUGCAGCUAGUUUCUCAGCAAAGAAUUCAUUUGACCUUUUCCUGAAGACUAGCUGGUGAGAGCAUCUGUACUGAUCACUUAGUAUUCUCUCUCUCUCUCUCUCUCUCUCUAUAUAUAUAUAUAUAUAUAUAUAUAUAUAUAUAUUCAGGGUGCAAGAGGUAUUUCAGAACAUAUUUGGUAGUUUAAUAAAACAACUCUAAUCUAGCUAAAACCAAAUGUAUUUUGAUAAUAAUUUGUGUAUAUGUUCUUGAUAAGCUCAUUGACUGCUUCAAUGCCUGACCAAAUCAUUGAUAUGCCUGCACUAAGUGGUCCUUAUUCAUUUCUGACAUCACUUGGGCAAUGGUAACCUCCACUGAAGCUAUGAUAUUAGGAGAAUGUCAGCUAGUCUCCCUUUCAGCAAUGCUCCCAAUAUAGUUAGCCAGGAACUAAUUGAACUUCUUGUUAGCAAUUGAUCGAAUCGGUCACAAAGACUGGGAAAAAGUGGAGCAGUCUUGGUGAACACACUUCUUCUUGGCUGAAAUCUUAUAAACUAAUACAAAUGUUACAAUAAUACUGUAAAGAAUGAACCUUAAGUAACUAAUCAUUCCCUGUGGAUAUUUUCUGACUCUUCAGAAAAAUAUGGUUGAAAAUGCAAUUCUCUCUUUUCUUAGAUGUUUCAAAAAUAGUACAGGUUGAUUUGAAAAGCUGCACUAUGAGUUGUAUACCAAGAGAAAAAAAAAGCUGUACCAUUAAUUUUUCUCCUCGGUGUCUUCUCCACUUUUCUCAUGACAUUUUACAGUUGAGUUACUUUACUUCGAAAUAUGCUCUUGAGAUAACAAAUUAUUCACAAAGCAUAUUUAGUAUAUCAACUGAAAUCUUAAGUUGUAGAAGUUUCACUUUAACUUUAUAGAACACUAGAAACUUCCUAUACAAUAAAUUCUUCCCUCUCCACACUACCAAUGUAUUUUAAGAGAUAGACAAUGGCUGAUACAGCUUGGCAUCAGUGUUGUCACACAUGAACUUGGAAUGUAAAGGAUGAAGGGCAACAUUAACUCAGAAUGUAAAGAUCCUCAAAUGUUGCAAGGCAUUUUGGCCAAAACUCAGAGGAUUCUGCUAAUUUACAUUUCUGGGUUUGGUACUUUGUUUUAUCAACUUCAGAAGGAUGUAGGGCAAAGUUAACUCUGGGAUUUGCACUCAAUUUGAAGAGCCAGAAUGAAUAGAGCAAGACAUUUUGUUCAAUGCUCUAAUAAUUCAACUGAUCCACCAUCUUGUCACUUCCCCAUCCUAAGAAUAAUAAUAAUAAUUUCAAAUUUUGGCACAAGGCCAGCACGUUUGGGGGAGGGUGUAAGUCUAGUAAAUCAAACCCAGUGCUCAACUGGUACUUAUUUUAUCAAACCUGAAAGGAUGAAUGGCAAAGUCAACCUUGAUGGAAUCUGAACUCAAAAGACGGAUGAAAUGCCACUAAAUAUUUUACUUGGUCUGCUAAUGAUUCUGCCAGCUCACAGCCUUAAUAAUAAUAUUAAUAAUCUUUUCUACUCUAGGCACAAGGCCCAAAACUUUUGGGAUGGGGGCCAGUCGAUUAGAUUGAUGCCAGUACACAACUGGUACUUAAUUUAUCGACCCCGAAAGGAUGAAAGGCAAAGUCAACCUCAGCGAAAUUUGAACUUAGAACAUAAAGACAGAUGAAAUACCACUUAGCAUUUUGCCUAGUAUGCUAACAUUUCUGCCAGCUCACCACCUUAUUAAUAAUAAUAAUAAUGAUGAUGAUCUCUAAUAUAAGAACAUAACUGGAAAUGAUUUGGGAUCGGGGCAGAGUAUGGCCAAACAUCUCAAUCCUAGUAUUUCACUAAUAUCUUACUGACUGUGGAUGAACAAACAGCAAUGACAGCUCCCAGGUGAGAUUUUAAUUCAGAACAGAAGGAACUUGAAUAAAUCCCAUAAGGCAUUUUAUUCAUAACUCUACCAACUGUGGUGUAAUCCACUACCUUCAUAUACCAUGAUAGAAAUCUAGUAAAAUUUGGCAUUGUAUGUAGCAAGUGUCAGUGAUAAUUUGUUAACUUCCAAUAAUUCACAAUUUGACCAUUGUGAAUGAAACAGCUGGGUUAUGUGCUUGACUAGUUGUUUUUAAUGAGGUUACAUUUUCUUUUCCCCAAACAACAAAGUUUUUUUUUUUAAAUUAACAUCAUUUUUCACAGUCUACUGGAUUGUGUUUUGUUUAUUGUAGAAUGUUAUUUUGAAUACAUAUCAAUAAGAUUAACUCUAUAAUUAUUCCUGAAAUAUAUAAAAGAAUAUUCUAGUAGAAAAUAUUUUUUUAUAAAUCAUAUCAGUUUUCUUAACAUAGAUGACGAGCAUAAGAACUAAGUUAUAGGACUUUAGAAAAUAAUUAUUACUAUAACAAUUCUUUCUACAAUAGAUACAAGACCUGAAAUUUUGGGGGAAGUGGGGCUAGUCAAUUACAUCAACCUCAGUACCUGACAGGUACUUAUUUUAUCAACCUCAAAAGGAUGAAAGGCAAAGUAGACCUCAACAGAAUUUGAACUCAGAACAUAAAGACAGAUGAAAUACCACUAAGCAUUUUGUCCAGCAUGCUAACAAUUUUGCCUGCUUGCCACCCUAAUUAUUGCUAUUAUAAUAUGUAGAAGAAAAUUUAUAAAUGCAACAGUUUUAAUAAUACUGAGGAAAUUUAACUUGUUUCUCUACUUUAGUAUUUAAACUGGCCAUAUUCAGCCAAAAUAUUCUAGCUGUUUUAUGUUCAAACUUGCAAGUUCUGGCCUCUUGCACCUGCCCUAUAAUAUCAUUCUAAAAAUACACACUAUUUGAAUCUCAAAACUACAUGAUGAUACAUGAUUAAUUCAAAACAAUUUGAAUAAAUAAACAUAACAUUUGAUAAAGUAAUCUAAAUGCUAAAGGGUUGAGUGGAAUUUGCUUUGAUAUAAGAUUUUUUUUUUUAUCUUCUGUAUAUUUUUUCUGUUCCCAUUCCCCUUGAUAGGUAAGACUGCAGUGUCUUGAUAGGUAGUGAUGUUGUGCCAAAUAGUGAAGCCCAUGUUAAAUUUCUAGUAUGAUCUAUUGAAAACUAAUCAAGGUGGGUUACUUUUUCAAAGAAAAUAUUUCAAUGAUGGUGUUAAAGAGCUGGGAAUUUAAAGCAAGGUUCAUUGAGGUUCUAUCUAACAGAUUUGGGCUGUUGUCAAAUAAACAAUUUAUUUACAAAAUACCAAUGUUUGAAAGGGAAUUGAUUUUUAGAGAACUCAAGGAAUUCUUUGAAUGAUAGCUUGUCAGUUCAUCAAUGGAAAUUGAAUAUUCAAAGGAAAUCAUCAAUGCAGAAAAAACAAAUAGAAUGUAUGCCAUAGAACUUUUAGAUUAGAAUUCUCGAGAAUAAUAAUUAUUAUUUGAAGCAAUCCUGAGAUGACUAGUUCAAUUGUUUUGAUGAAAUCUAUGUCAAUUUGAAUCCCAAUUGCUGACAAGAACUAGAUAUACUUAAUGCAAGAAUCACAAACAUUUUUAUAAAUAUUUGUGUUUUUGAUGCAAUUCAUAUUUAGAAGAAAUUAUCAAGAAAAUAUUUUGAUAUUGAUUUUGUAACUAGGAAGCUUAUCAGAAAACCUCUGUUUGAGAUAAAAGCAGUAUACAAACCAAAAUGUAUUGCCUAUAGCUACUUUAUUGUGGCUGUCAUCUAAGAGCUGACAAUACUGUCAGUUAACCCUAAGAAGACCUCUCCUCCAGCUAGUUCAUUCAGUGCAUUUUGUCCCACCCAAUAUGUAUUGCAAGUGAGAGAUAACUCCUGCCACCCUAGCUUCAAGACCUCCAGACCAUGUGGUUUCGAUCUGCAUCAGACCUCCUCAGUGGUGGGUACUCAUUGCCAGGCAUGGCAGCCAUUUACCUCGCUUGUAACAUAUAGAAAACAGUGUCAUACAGUCACUGAUUUUGUAACUAGGAAGCUAGUCUGUUAGAAAAUCUCUGUUCAAGAUAGAAACAGUAUAUGAAGCAAAAAGUAUUGCUUAUGGCCACUUUUAAUAUUCUUUUUACUAAAACAAUAAUUUGCUGAAACAUGACAGCAAGGUAAUAGUGACAUAGGACAGUGAAUUGUCUUCUCUUGAGUGUAUAUGCGCGUGUGUGUGUGUAUAUAUAUAAGGCAAAACAAAAACAGGAAAAACAACGAAAGUGAAAAGGCCAUACACAGUGAAGAUUGAUGCUCAGAGAAAGUUUAAUAUGGAAAAAUGAUGGAGUGUGAUAUUUCAAGCAUGGCUGUUCAUUAGAUAGAGAAAUGAAGAAAAGGGAUAGAAGGAAAAAGAAAAUAAUCUGAGAAAAGCAUGUCAUUACAUGGUUCUCUCUCUCUCUCUCUCUCUCUCUCUCUCCAUAUAUAUAUAUAUAUAUAGUAAAUCCAAACAAAGAACAACAAACACAAAAAGCAAUAACGCCAGGAUGUGGUACAUGUAAAGUAUUAGCAGACGCUCAGGGAAAGAGAGAAAGAUGGUUUAAUGUUUCAAGCAACGCACUUCUUCAGAAAGAUAGGAAGAAAAUUGCUAACGAUUAACAUGUGGCACAAGUCUGGGCAAGGUUGUUUGUGAAGACCAGCAAUUGCUCGUGCAUACCAGUCUCCCCUCUCCAUAUCACUGAUGUUGUCCAAGGGAAAGACAAAGGCUGAUGCAGUUCAAGAAUGCAGCAUAUACCCCAGUCUGGGAAUCGAACUCACAAUCUUGCAAUUGUAAGCCCAGUACUAUAACCACUGAGCCAUGUGCCUUCCACACACACAUAUAUAUACAGGAUAACUUUUAACCUCCCCCUUUACAUAACCUACCUUAUCACCUUUACAAAUUUAUCCCUCCAUUUUUUUUUCAACCUUGACAUCAAUCCCUUUUCUUUCUGCUCUUCUCUUCUGUAGCUUUCCCUCCUCUGUCUAUCAGAGACCAUUUAUUGUCCAUUUUCCUGUUCUCUCUCUGUUAAAUGAGAUCUCUUUAGAGCCUUAGCCUUGCAACUUACAAAGCACUCAUCACUUGUACUGGAGCCAUGAAGACAAUGCCCAGUAUGCUCUAUAAAGGGAUUUAUAUUGUGAAGAGCGCCCAGAUGUAGAAACCAUGACAAAGUAGACAUUGGAGCAUGAUGUAGUCCUCCAACUCAUCAGACCCUAUCAAACUGUCCAAGCUAUAUCAACAUAGUAGCCUAAUGUUAAAUAAUUUUAUAUCUAUGCCAACAUAUUGUAUUCAAGAAGACCUGUCCACCACAACAAAAUUGAUACCAGUGCUGGUACUACUUAAAAAGGCAUUUGUGCUGGUGUCACAUUAAAAGUACUGGCAACCAGUCAUAGAAACCAUGGCAGUGGAGCCUGGUAUGGUUUCUAGCCUUACCAGCUCCAGUCAAACUGUCUAACCCAUGCCAUCAUGGAAAACAUGUUAAGUGAUGAUGAUAUAUAUGUAGAUGGUUAAUUUCAUAGGACUAAAUUGUCAAAAACAUUUCCUUGUCUUAGACAGUGUAAUUGCAAUUUUUUUUUAAAAACCACUAAAAGUUUGUAAUUACUUUUUGUCUUUUGUAAAAAUCCUACUAGUGGUAACUGUUAAUUUUCAUCAUUAAUUGUGGAAAAGUUGCUGAAAUGAGAUAUAUUGUGCUAUUGUUAUUGCAGGAAUGAAAUAUCCUUUAUCUAAAUGUCUAUUGAUUAGGUAGGUUUUUGUUUGUUUUUUUUCUUAGCUAUAUUAUGUCUAAAUUAACUUCAGGUUUUUUUUUCUUUUAUGUAACUAGUUGGUUGUUCAAUAUAACCUGCAUAACAGGUUUUCCCAUCUUCACUAGGGGUAGGAAAAUAGCUGUUCCCUUCCAUCUCAUGCAUACGCAUUAGUACAUGCAUACAUGUGUGUUUGGAUGGGGGUGUACACUCCCCUCAUAAAUACACACUCCAUAGAUACAUAUUAAACCUUUUUCUAUUUAUCAAUUCAUAUCCAACUAUUUUAUAGCAUAAUCUGUUUUUCAUAGCAACAUGUUAAUCUGUUCAGAGUUUGUGUACAACUGCUUCUGUUUUUUUGUUUUCUAAUAUAGUAAAUCAUGUGAAAUCAUUGAUUUUAUUUAAUUUGAAUUAAUAUCACUGAUCUCAGUGUUCUUUUAUGUUCUAUUUUCAAUUGACACAUUGUUUUAAUUGCUGCAAUAUCUGCCUGCUUCAGCGUUCACACAAUUGUCUCCAAUAGAAGCAGUAUUUCAUUCAUAUAUCUUCUAUAGCUUUAUAAUAUAACAAUUUCCACCCCCAUCUCCUUUCCCACUGUGAGUUCUUUAUAUGGUCAAAAUUUUUAGAACAACUGACAUGUAAUUUGAUAUGGAAGCUUUGAGACAAGACACCUGCUCUUGACUUUUAAUAUCGAUUUAUUUUGGCACAAGGCUACACAUUUGUAAGAAAGGAAGUAUAAUAGACUGCUCUAAAUGCAUGAUAUUGAUUUUGACCCUGGAAUGACAAAAGGUAAAGUUGAAAUUAUCUGAACUUAAAACAGGAGUUAACCAAAAUUGUUCAGUAUACUCUAUACAAAAGAUUGAAAAAACUUUUGUUUGCACCAUUUAUGGUUUAUCAGUCUUUUAGCAAUAGAUUUUUAAAAAAAACUGUCAAAGAUUUUCUGAUGGUUCUGUAGAAGUGUUAGUGAAAACAGAAAUGUUAAGUUUCGUGGUUGAUGGAGGAAAGAAAAGUUUAUGAAAUUAAUGCUUUUCUUGAAAGUAUGUGUAAAUUUUAGUAAAAGAUGUAUGAAAAGGUUGACGCUGAUACAUACAUCAAGCCUGAUGUGUAUGACAUGACAGUAAACAAAGGAAAAAGCUAAAAAAGAAACCUUGCAAUUCAGAUUAAAUUGUUUUGAAUUAAUCAGGCAUUAUCUUGUACUUUCAAGAUUUUGAUGAUAUGAUUGUAUAUAUUUUUAAUAACAUUGUACCAUAGGUGCAAGAGACCCAAUUAGGUUGUUUUGAACAUAAAACAGAAUAUUUUGGCUGGAUUUGGCCAGUUUAAAUACUAAAGAGUUAAAAGAAGAAUUUGAGAAAGGUCUCUUAGUAUCCUUUGUGUGAGGACAUACAAUUUUGAGAUAUGGUAUAGUAGUGUAUUUACUCAAACAUUUUGGUGCAUUUUUCUGAAUUUGAUGCAGUUAAUAUAGAAACAAAAAUAUUGGUAUUAAAGUAAUGGUAUGGAUAUGUAAUAUAAAGGGAUGAGUAUGCUAGAAAAAAUAUAUAAAUUUGAAGAAAACUGCAGAUGAAGUCAAUUGGUGUUUAGCAAAUAUGACUUGUAAUAGGAUACAUAAUUGGGAUGCCAUAACUUAUGCCAGCAUAGAUAAUGAUCUUUAAACGGAUAUUAGCAAAUGAUAGAUUUAUUGGAAAAAUGAUCUAAAUACACUUCUUGUUGAAGUUGUAGUCAGAGAUUUGCAUGAUUUUCAGUUUGCAUAAGAAGUUCAAUAAUAGGAUAUUGUUAAACUUCUUCAUUCUUAGGUCUAGAGUUAAAAUCCUGCAACAAAAUUAUAUAAGCUAUCAUCAUUGUUUUAAUGUCCAUUUUUCAAUGCCUACAUGGGUAGGAUGGAAUUUGUCAAGGCAGAUUUUCUAUGGCAAGGUGCCCUUCCCUCAAUCUGUCGCCAACACUCAUCUGUUUCCAAAUAAGGUCAUAUUUCCCCUUUAUUGAACAUGGAGAUUAGAAAUGAAUGACACACCUUGGAAAAAUGAUGCGUACUUACUACUAUCAUGUAAUGUCAGGUGAUGAGACACAAGCAUACAUGCAAACGCAUAUACAUAUAUACACAUACAAUAAGCAUUUUUCAGUUUCCAUCUAGUAAAUCCACCAAGGUUUUGGUCAACCUAGGACUAUAGUCUACUAUAUCCAGACUAUCACAACAUAGAACUGAACCAGAAACCAUGUGGUUAAAAAGUAAACUUCUUUAACUACACUGCCAUUCCUGUACAUGUAACAUAUAUUUGCCAUUUUACAACUGAAUGGUUUAGAUUAAGAGUUUGCAGCUGCUUCAUAACACCUGCUCCUAUUCCUUCUUUUUAGCUGUCCAAAUUUGUGAAAUCCAUCCAAAUGUAAAGGAAUACAUGAUAAAAGAGAAUGAUUAUCAACAGGUAUUAGUUUGAAUGUAAGCAAUGGCUCUUAAUUUAUUAGCAGCAUUUUCUUAAACCCUUAUUUUAAUUUUUUUUUUUAUUUGUUCACUUAUGUUGAAGCAUAAAUUAAGAACUAGCAGCAGUGUCAGGCCUUACCCAAGUUAAAGGGAAAAGUUAGAUAAUCUUUGACCUCUCCUUGAAAAAUGUAUCUCCAUACAACAUUUUUGGUACCUAGAUAUACAAAAAUGUGACUUACAACUUGAAACAUACUAAAUGUAACCCUAUAUUAUCUUGUAACUUUGAAAUUUCUAUGAUCUGAUUGUUUACUUUUUGAACAACAUUGUAGGGUAGGUGUGAGCAGCUGGAUCUGCCUAAUAUAAAUAUAAAAUGAGUAGAAUAUUUUCACUGGAUAUUGCCACUUUAAAUGCUAAAGGGUUUAAUUCAAGUAAAUUUGUCUGUUUCAAAAGUUUGAAUCUAUUAUGCCAUAAAGGUAUUAUGAAUAAGCUAUGAUCAUUACGUGGCAACUGUUUGUGUAUACUGACUGCUUUUGUUUAAAUCUUGUUUAAGAUGCUGCAAAGUGAAAAUUUAAGAUAAGUAUACUUUGCAAAUGAACUUAACGAACUGAACUAGGAGAACUCUACAUCCAACUUUUGGGUUUCCAUUGAUCAAUGAGAUAAAAACUUGCUUGAAAUUAGUUGCCGGUGAAAUAGCUACCUGCCUCAAGAUCAACCCUCAUCCUGUACUCAGUGUCUUGUCAAGCAUCACCAAAAGCAGUCUGAUUUGAAGAGAAGCAAACAUUCUGUUCCUUUUAUCACAGACCAAAUAUAAAAGUUACUUAGACCAAACUAGCAUAUAAUUGGUUUAGUACUUAAAUAUAAACAUAUAACUUUCUAUUUUUUCUUUAUAUUAUUAUAUCUUAAUCUAGUUGGGAUUUUUUUUCAUUUCGUUUUGUUUUAGAAGAAUUUUACACAAAACAUACAAAUAUCUGUAUGUUACACUUGCUGGUAUAUAAGGCACAUAAACAUUCACUUCUAUGUAUUAAGAUGAUAUAUAAAAAAAUACAUAAUAGCAUAUAAACAUGCAUUUAUUAACAUUUAAAUUAGGUUUAUCUCCCUUUCACUUUGUGUUCUUUUUAAGUCUAAAGCUGAAAGACAAAAUGCAACAUUUAAGGUUAAUGACAGUUGUUUUCUGAUAAAUUUGGUGAAUGUCUAAAUCAGUAAAUGACUGAUGAUCUAUUCACUUCUUUUAGUGUUACUAAUUUAUUCUCUCUUCAUUUUUAUGUUCUGACAUAUCUUUGAUAUUCUAGUGUUGGUAUUUACAUACAUGAUAGUUGUUUUCUAAUGGCAGUAUGAAUUACAAUGACUAGUUAAGGUUCUUGAAACCAGAAAAAGAAACAUACCAAGAAAUCCUUAUUGGGUCAUUAACCUGCUCAAACAGGCCCCUGGUUUUGUAAUGCAAACUUCCUCUUUUAAAGAUAACUAAUUAUAACCUUAAGAAUUUCAUGUAAAUUUAGGCCCCAAGCACUAGCUUAACAAUGGCCUAGCUAUUUUACUAAAUUCUUUAUUUUCAAAAAUAAAUGAUACAAAGCCAAUGAAUUUCAAUAGAAAUAUGGCAACAAAAUGGUUAAUAUAUAUAAUUUUUAAGGAUAUUAAAAGUGAGUUAACAUGGCAUAGCCCAUUCCUUACAUCCAGUAUUCACAACUGAAGUGAAAUGAUUCAACUGAAAAUCAAAACUCUCUACUACUUUAGUCUAUCUAGGUGCUACUGUCAUUUUAGCGAUUAAGAAGAGCCUUGAGCAACUAUCUCAAUUUGUAAGCCUAUCAAACAAAAGUUAACAUACAUGUUGAGAAAACAAAGUACGUAUUUUACUAUAUAGUAAAACAACGUUUCUACAAUUGUAACUUGUUGGGAAUUUGCUGUUAAAGUUACAGCUUUUAACUAAAUACUUUUGUGUAUCUUUGAUGAAAUUUAUCUAGAUUCCAGUUUCAAAUUCAGUUGAUAUCUACCUCACCAGAAAUAAAUUCAAAAUUGAUGGAAAUAUCAUCAUCAUCACCACUAAUAAUUUAAUCAUAGUUAUAUCAUAAGGUUAAUAACAAAGCAAGGGAACUUAUGUUACCACUACCAAACACAUUUUGAACAUGUUUACUCUUUCAAUUUAUACCACUUUAUUUUCCUAGUGAUUUCAUAUAUAGAUGCAAGGUUAUAUAGAGGAGACCAAACAAAUUUGCUUGUUGUUUCCAAAGAUAUUAGUAAUGGAAAUGACUACAACCAGGAAUCUAAAAUCAGCUGCACUCAGCUUACUGAACAUGUUUAUGAGAUUCUCUGUUUGUUUAUUUUAAAAUAUAAUAAUAUUCUGCUAAGUUCUAUAAUGAGUUGAUUUCAUAUCAGCUACAUUUUGUUUGAGGUUUGCUUUGGCAAUUUUUUUGAGUGUUUUUUUUUAUUUAGUGUAAACAUAAAACUUAAUGAAAUUCUAAAAUCUAACCUUUUGAUCUAUUCUUAAGUAUUUUAACCCUUUUGUUGUCAUUUUUCUGCCUUUGAUUCAGUUAAUUUUGAAAAUAACGAAGAAUUUAAUAAAAUAACUUUGCCUUUAUUAAAAUUGUGUUUGAAACACAAAUUAGCAUGAAAUUUAAUGGAAAGUUUUAAUUUAGAUUAUUUUAAACAGGAAGUUUGUUUCAUAGAACCAGGAGCAAUUUCAGGCAGGUUGAUAUCAAAAGGGUCAGAUAAAAAGUUAAGCAAACUGAAGUUCCCUUUGAGAAAAUAUAUAGCAAGAUGAAUGAUAAACAGAGUGUUGUAGUGGGUGCCAUGACACAAUUGCUAUAAGAGUCAAUAAUAUAAGGAAAGAAAUUAAAUGUAAUUUGGUAUCUUAAUUAAAAUUCCAAUCUCAGAUGUAUUACCUCCAUUAUAAUUUCUUAUUCCAUAUCAAUUAACUCAGUAAUUUAAAGAAUUAGCAACAUCCAAAAUUAUGUUUAUAGCCAAAUCAUCUGAAAUAAUGUUUACAACUUUUCACCAUUACUUAAACUUCAAUUAACUGUCAUGAUAUUUACAGCUGCUGUACAUUUGAGGCUAAACUUAUGGAAUAAAGCUCUUGUGUUUUUAUCAAUGCAUUUAUAGGGUUAGAAUUGGGUUUCAUGCCUUCUCCAAAGCAUGAGCAAUGAGAGAAAUAUUUGUGAAAGAACAAUAUAAAUAUUAUUGAGGCAUUGUUUUAUAGCUGAAUGUCCUUCCUGAUGCUAGCUCUUAUCUGUUUUUCAAGUAAGGGAUUGCUUAUUCCACAAAGACAAUUUAUUGAUGGAGAAAUGAAAUUCAUCACUGCUUGCAGUUUAGCUAUUUUCAGAAAAGUACAAAUGUAAACAGGCACACACACACCACAAUGAGCUUCUUUCAGUUUCUGUCUACCAUAUCCACUCACAAGGCUUUAAAUUGCCUAGGACUAGGGUUAUAUAGUAGAGAACACCUGUGAUCAUGUACAGUGAGAUUGAACUGGAAACACAUAGUAAGAAAGGGAACCUGUUAACCAGAGAUGGCCAUGCCAUGAAUGUGUACAUACAUACAUACAUGCCUGCAUGCAUAUAGAUAGAUAGCAUUGCUGGAUUGUAGGUAAGGUAAUCAGUAUUACAGCUGCAUACUUUUAUUUGAUCUUCCUAUCAUUUGCACAAGGAUUGGAUUCCUUUUUAUUUUUUAAUCAAUUGACAUGGUCAUGUUGUCUCUCUUCUAUUGUAGUUUAUCCUAAGGCAGACUAAUUGAUAAUUAAAUCUUUCACAUAACAUUUGGGAUUGUCUAUUCAGUGUUUGUUGUCUCACAAACUCUGUUUGACAGCUCCCUUACUAGACUCUGAAAUGGUAACUGACAAGAACAGUUACUGGAUAUCAACUAGUUAACCCUUUAGCAUUUAAACCAGCCAUAUCCAUACCUGUUUUAUGUUCAAACUGGCUAGAUCUUGUUUCUCACACUAACCCUACAAUUUCAUUCUAAAGCUUAAGUUACCUCAUCAAAAUCUUAAAGCUGCAAGAUGAUGCAUAAUUAAUUCAAAACAUGCGAAUAAACAAGCUUUACUUUUGACAGAAUAAUAUGAAUGCUAAAGAGUUAACCCUUUCGUUACCAACCUGGCUGAAACCGCCACUGGCUUUGUAGUACAAAUGUCUUGUUUUCAUAAGUUUUGAAUUAAAAUCUUCUACCAAACCUUAGUCACAAUUUAUGUUCCUAACACUUGUUGAAUGAUAACUAAGUUAUUUUACUAAAUUCUUUGUUAUAUUCAAAGUAAUUGAAAGAAACACAGAGCAUCUCAAAAUAAAUACAGUAACAAAAGGGUUAAAGAACUGAAUAAGUAUUUCAUUUCUUUCUGGUAUUUCACUAAUCCCUGAAUGGUAAAUGUGUAUUUACAUCCUUUCAAACAGUGUUUUCUACAGAUAUUUAAAGAACAGUUGAUUGUGAAGGUCUGUUGAAAGUGGGGCUUCUGCUUUUGUGAUGCUUCAGUGGAAUUACCACUUGUCAAAGAUACUACUAUGAGUAUCAGUCACAAAGAAAAGAUCUUGCUAUGAAAUUUGAUAUAAUUCAUUAAUAUAAACACAGGAUCUGAAAUAAUUACAGACUUAAUUGUUUAGAUGUGCAGUCAAAUCUUGGUUAUCUGAAUUUCAGAUUGUCAAAACAGAAUCUCAAUGUUGUAUGAAUAUUUAAUUAGCCAUAGUGUUUGUUAUCUGAAUUCAUGAAUAAUAGUGGUGCUAUACUAUCAUUUUGUCCUUUAUUUACAAUGAUUAAGAGUGAAUUCAGAAUAUUGAAGAAUAUCAAAAAAGUUUUUCUAACAUUGGUCUUUUGGUUAGAAUUACAAUAGUACCAUGUACCAGUCAGUUUGCUGGUAUGAUCUGGGUUGAAAUAAUUUUUAUCUAACAUACUGAAGAAUUUAAAAGCAUAGCAAAAUCAGCAGUAUUUUUAUUCACUCUGCAAUUUUGUUCCAAGUUUUUGUUAGAAGCCUUCCAGUUUGUUGCUGUUACCAUGUGCAUGAACACCAUUAAUAAUCAGACUGAAAAGGAAGAUUUUACAGCAUCUAGAUUGUGGUGAAAGGCAUCAAAAAUUACAGCUUAUAACAGUUUAGCAAUUAAAUGACAUAAAACUCUACAGGCAGUUUUUUUUCUUCUUUUUUUACUUAAUGUUCAAAUGGCUUCCUCUGUUUAUGAUCAGAUUGGUUAUCUGAACAAAAUAUUCCCUGUCCAUCUGGUUAAGAUAAUUGAGGUCUAACUAUAAAAGUGUCAGCAUGUAAGCUGGUAUUUGUUUGGCUUAUAACAAUGAUUACAUGAAGGCUUCAAUAAAAGUGUUGUAGUUAUAAUUCUUAUGUUUUAUUAACCUUCACAUUGAGUAUCUGUGCAAAACAUAUGGUUUGGAAUAGUUAAAACACAUUGCAAAUUGUAAGAUUAACAGAAAUUACCUACAAAAAGAAUAAUUUCAGCAAAAAAUGAAUUCCUGACAGAGUAAUAAGAAAAAGUUUUCUAUUUUUAAACAGAUUAUUUUCUUAUGCAGUUUUUGAUGUAUUGAGAUUCCAAGGUUCCACUCUACAAUACUUGCAGCAGGGUUUUUAUUUGUUAGCCAUGACUUAACCUUUAAGCAUUCAGGUUACUCUGUCAUAUAUAAUGCUUAUUUAUUCACAUUGUUUUGAAUUUAUCACAUAUUAUCUUGUAGCUUUGAGAUUUUGAUGUUGUGCACUUAUUUUUAGAAUGACUUGUAGGCUAGGUGUGAGAAGCCAGAUCUGGCCACUUUGAACAUAAAGAUAGAAUUUUGAGCCAGAUGUGGCUAGUUUAAAUAUUAAGAGUUAAGUGAUUUAUUUGACUUUUGAUAUCAAAUUUUAAUGAAAUAGUGUUUGAAGAAUUUCUGAUUAAAGGUUGUUAUUUAAAAACCUUACUUUGUAUUUUACUUUUAUGGUCAUAAAAGUACUUGCUUCAGUUGAAAUAACUGGGAAAUAGUUAGUACUCUAACUUUACAAUCUAUUGGGUUGUUUUAAUUAGUGUAAUUAAUUAUAAAACACUUGCUUCAAGAAUGUAUGCAGUUGUCUCCAAUUGUUUGAAUUAUGUUUUGAAUAUGUAUUAGUUAAUUCAUAAAUAAUACUCAAGAUAAGAAACUCCAAUGAACAUGACAAAUCAUGUAGGAAGCUGAACUUUUUUGUCAAUGUUUUGAAUUUUUUGAUAAACCGGUUGAAGAAUUAGACAUCUGGUUUCAGCAACCUUCAUGAAAACUUUGGGGCGCGGAUAGAUUUGUUGAAGGAUUAGACAUCUGGUCCACUCAACCUUUAUGAAAUCAAUUUUUCAUGACUUUCAGAAAAGAGAUGAAAUUAUAAAGAGAUGGGAUAACUUAGACAAAAGUUUCUUAAGGUGUUGCUCUUUUUGUUUUCAUUUAUAAUCAAUUGAAAAGGGGACCAAUUUCAUAUUAUCACAAAAUUAAAACCAAUCAGAAUGCUAGAAUUAAUGAGCUAACACUAUGUUAAUUUUUGCAAACUACUUCUUUACAGUGUGACUUACAUUUAAAAGCCUCUAAGCCAUGGUAUUUGGCAAAGUUAUUUAUCUAGUUUUCAGGGAUUAGAGAAAGUUUCUAAAGCAGUUUUAAAAUCUUGUUUUCAGAUGGAGUCUUUAUCUCUUAGGUUGGUUUAUAUUUUUAACAUUAAUUUAGAUAGAUUUGUAAAUUUGUACAUUGAAACAGGGUUGUUCAAAGUUCAAUAUCUUCUUUAACACCAUAAUCCCACAAAGUGAUAUUAAGUCUAUUUUCAUGAUAGAUCAUCAAUGAUUGUCAUUUUCAUAGACACUAUACCGUGAUUGUAUCAGGAUUUAAACUUUAACAUCUUUACCAGUCAGUCACCAUGUCAUCCAAAUAGGAUUUCUUUACUAUUUUCAUUUAUUUUAAUUACUAAAUGGCAGGACAUUUCCUCGAAAGGCAACAAAUAGUUUCAUAAUUAAGCAAUAGACAGCGUUCAUUUUCUGCUGUAUCUCUUGUGUGAUGUAAGGUAAACUGUUAUUAGUAAUGUGUUGGAGCCAUCGCUGUAUUGUAACAAUUCUAAACAAAUGUCUUUUGCUUUCUCCCUCAGGGGAGAAAAGUUAAUCUACCUGACUGGUUUCAAAUCUCAUUUGAUUCUCAAUAGAGAAAGAAUAUCAUUUGGUAUACACACAGAAAGAAAUAUAACUACUGGUUAUAUUCACUAAAGGUAGUAAGUUUACUCAACCAAUUACUUCAAUUUGCAUAAAUAGUACUUUGAAGCAAUUUAUUCCAAUUCAGGCAAGGCUGUGUGGUUAAGAAGCUCUUUGGAACCAUACAGUUUUGGGUUCAAUCUUACUACGUGGCACUUUGGGCAAGUUUCUUCUACAAUAGCUCAUAGCCAGUCAAUACCUUGUGAGUGAAUUUGGUAGAUGGAACUGUAUGGAAGACUGUUGUAUGUGUCUCUCUUUGCUCUUGUGGUUACAAAAGAUUGAAACUGCUCUAUUAGGUCCGACUUCUUCUGUCCAUGGAGAGAAAAAUAAUCAUUUGUAUUCUGUAGCUGCAAUAUUGCAAAAGAAUUGUUUGAUUUGCACAUGUAACAAUUAUUUAGUAGGAAGCUGAACUUUUUUGUCAACGUUUUGAAUUUUUUGAUAGACCGGUUGAAGAAUUAGACAUCUGGUUUCAGCAACCUUCAUGAAAACUUUAGGGCGCGGAUAGAUUUGUUAAAGGAUUAGACAUCUGGUCCACUCAACCUUUAUGAAAUCAAUUUUUCAUGACUCAUUCAGACAUUUAACCAUAUAACGAAGUGUUGUCAUGAAUGUUAUAUACUGUAAAUGUUUAUCAUUGAUGAAUAUUUUCCUUCGCAUUUAUGUUAAACAAAUACACUCCUUUCUUGUGAAGGUUGUACUCUUCACAUCUGUUACCAUUAAAAAAAAUAAUUAUUGUGUUUGUACCAAAUAGUAUGUAAUUAAAAAAUAAUCUGGAUUCAUUUUGCAAAUGCAAAUGUAAAAAAUACAUACUUUAUUAAUUGAAACUUAUUCCAGAAGUACUUAUUCUGUUGGCUUUUAGAAUACCUAAAUACAGUAUAAUUUGCUUUAGUUUUCUUCUCUCUUUCUUCUUUUCAUGGCCGGUUUACACAGAACAAAUCUACAGCCAAAUUUUAAUUAAUACCAGAUAAUAUUUUCUUAUAUUCUGCUCCAGCAUUGGCAAAAAGUUAAGACACCCACCCAACCAACCUUUCCACCGUACUGUUUAAUGUCUUGGAAGGAAUUUUAAACUUUGUUUUAUCAGGACCCUUGGUCAAAUAGAUAUUUCUCCCCCCCCCCCUUUCUUGUUCUCUCUCAUUCACAUGUGUGUGCUUAUUUUAUCAACCUGAAAGGAUGAAAGGCAAAAUUGACUUUGGCAGAAUUUGAACUCAGAAUGUGAAGACAGACAAAAUGCCACCAAGCAUUUUGCCCAGUAUGCUAACAAUUCUGCCAGCUCUCAUCACCUUAAAAAUAUACACACACACGUUCCUGCGAGUUUACUUCUUGUGUGAUAUUGCAAAGGCUCCUACUACAUCUUUGUGGCAUUUACUGUUUUAUGAAGCUACAAUAAUCUCCUCUUAGCACUGCUCAGAUGAACCUGAAAAGUAAUUAGAACUGUGUCUGGCAGUAACUACCAAAAGACAUCAGUGCUAAAGUUUUUUUGUUUUUAUUUCUUCCCACGCAUCACAAUGAUCCACAUAGGACUGGUGCUCAAUUUUGACUAUUCUAAAUUUGGUAUAUGAGAGAUAAAUUUAUGCCUGUAUAAAAUGCUAAUAAUUCAAGAUUAUUUAGCAUAAGAUGAUGAUAUAAUGGAAAGAACAGACUUUUAGUGGGGAAAAAUAGAUAUUUCAUGAAUUUAUUUCAUAAACUUAUCUCUAUUUUUUUUUUUUUUUUAAGGUAUAUGUACCAACUGUUUUUGUUCCUAUUUUUAAUCAGUUGAAAAGAGGACGAAUCCAACAGCAUUAUCACUAAACUGAAACGAAGCAAGAUAAUAAUCUUUACUGUAACGACUUGUAUCUAAAAGCAUCUAAGUUGUUAUAUUUAGAAAUGUAAUGGAAUAUUUAACUAGGCAACAUUCUUUGUCUAGGUUAACUGAGUUAAUGUAAAACAAAAUGUACCCUGAAACAACAAAAUGCAUAUAUAUAUACACACACAUACAUAUACAUACAUACACACACACACACCUUAACAUUUCAAUUGCUAUCAUUUCUGUACUUUUUAGCAUAGAGACAAUUUUCAGUAACAUUUUUAUGUGUUAAUCUCUUAAUGCUUAAGUCUAAGUGGAGGAGGAUUUCUCUCAUUGUCAUUCCUGUCAUCAGACACAAGAAGAAAAAAAGAUUUUUAAUUAUGCUGGUGGGCAUUUGAAUUAGAAUAUGUAAUUUUAAAAGAUAUUUAAAAUAUGUUAAUAAUUUUGCUUUUUUUUUUUAUCAUGUGAAGCAGCACAUUAAGUAUAAUCUUUGAAUGAAUGUAUUUGAAUGAAAAGUAUUGUUUAAUAUAGUUUAUAUGAGUAUUUAUGACACUAUUGUUGUUUAAAGUUGUUUUUCCAUGCUGGCCUGGAUUGGACAAAUGUCUUAUAGAGGCAUUGUUUUACAACUGGAUGCCUUUCUUGUUGCUAACCUGAUUUUCAUGUUAGAGAUCUCUCACUCCAAGUGGUUUUGAAGGUGUGAAAGGAGCAGAUGGUUUGUUGGCAGAAGAACUGUCAACAGUAACACCACACACAUAAUCAGUCUCCAUAUGAUUGCAAGUACACACAUGCAUGCACGUGAACAUUUUUCAGUUUCUUUGUACCAAAUCCUAGGUCAGAACAGGGCUAUAGUAGAAGACACCACUCAUGGUGCCACACAGUGGAACUGAAACUUGAGCACAUAUUUGGUAAACAAAUUUCUUAAUCAGAGUUAUACCUGCACUUUUUUAGCUUCUUCAUUUCAUACUUUGUUUUUACAAAUUAAAAAUAUAUUGGCUCACUCAGUAAUAAUCAAUGUAAAAUACUCCAAAUUAAUUUGACAAUCUAUUAUAAAUGAUGACCAAUUUCAGUUCAGUACAGAUUAACUUGUUAAAAAAAAAAAAAAUACAGUUAAUAAAAAUAAUUCAACAAAGUGCAACCAUGACUUUGGUUAAGAAGUUCACCAAGGACCAUGUAGUUCACUGCUGCUACAUGGACACUGGUGGCUAGUAUUUUCUGCUAUAGCCACAGGUUGACCAAUACCUAGUGGGUGAAAUUUGGUCGACAGAAAAUAGCUCAUCAUAUAUAUAUAUAUAUGACUGUGGCUAAUUACCUUUGUCUUAACAUGUGUAUACUGAUGAUAAACAAAGCAUCACAGUUCAUACAAACAGUGUUGUUUAUUUGCAAUCUGUAAGAAAGCAUGUCCAAGCUGUUCUUUGUUUCAUUAGAGUUGGGGGGGAAAAAUUAAUUUGUGCCCCAGCAUGACCAUAAUCUGAUGACUAAAACAAGUAAAAGAUAUAUAUACAUAUAGAUAGAUGUUAUAUUCUAUCAUAGCAUCAUAAAGGACCAAAUAUCUACAUACUAUCAGACCAUGUGCCCAGUUAAAAAUUCUUAUCAGAUAGUGAAACAAGAUUCAGGAAUGAUUUCAGAGCUGCAACACUAUGGCUUUCAACACAUUUUAUGAUGUUGUUAGCUUAUAAAAUUAGCUUAGAACUUUGUGCAUAAAUUUCUAACAUAUAGUGAAUAAUUUGUGAAAAUUCUGAAGUAUAGUGAACAGUUUUCUCUUGUUAGUUUCUAUUGAGAAUAACUUUUUAAAAAUGCAUUCUCUUUUGGAAGCUUUUUUUUUUAACAGGAAAUAAGUUUAGAAAUAAAAAUUUCGGUCUUGAGUACAUUAAAGUCUUUUUCAUCUUUUUUAAUUGAUUCACUAGUAGAAGCAAGAUAAAUUUAUCAAACUAAUUUUCUUUUUUCCAUCCCCUACACAGUGAAAUUUUGAUUGGUUGCUUAUUUUGUUAGCUAUCUUCAAUCACAAACUUUUAUAUUUUCACCCCACUAUCUAUUCUCAUCAACAGUCUAGACCUAAAUUACAUUUCAUACAUAUCUAAAAUACUUUAGAUGCUUUUUUCAGUAGACAACUGUGGACAUAUUUGAACUUGAAUUCCAUUAUAUCUUUUCCACAUGAUAAAAUCUGAUUUUUUUUUUUUUUUUUUUUUUUUGCUAAAUGAAGUAUGAGAUCCUUAGAACUUUCAUUACCAUAUUUCUGUUGAAAUCCAUUUCCUUUCUUUCAAUUAAUUUUUAAAAUAAUGAAGAAUUUUGUAAAUUAUUUUGUCAUUAUGAAGCUGGUAUUUCAAACAAAUUAAUGUGAAAUUUUGAUGGAAGAUUUUAAUUUAAAUCACUUUAAAGCAAAGUUCAAACUUGAUAAAAUUGGGCAACAUCUUGUUCUUGAAAGCAUAAUAAACUCCUGCGUGGUUUAAAUUUGAAAACAAAACACUGUGUGCAUUCAACUCCAGCUAUCUUUAAAACUUGUGCUAACGUCUCUUCAUGCCAUCAGUAUGUAAAAAACAAUCUUUAUCUUUCACUUGUUUCCUGGAGCCAUGAAGGGUUUUACUUGAACCCCAGUACUUAUUUAUGAAUCCUGGUACUUAUUCUAUUGAUUUUUUUCUUUUUUGUUUAACCUCCAAGUUAUGAAGAUGUAAACAAGCACCGGUUGUCAUGUGGUGGAUUACUGACACAAAGAUGCACACAAACACAUACAGUGGGCUUCUUUGAGUUUCUAUCUACCAGAUCCUCUCACAAGGCUUUGAUUGGCCCUGGGCUAUAGUAGAAGACAUUUGCUGCUCAAAGUGCCAUGCAGUGGUACUGGACUAGAAACAAUGUGGCUUGGAAGCAAACUUCUUAACAUGGAGCCAUAUAUAUAAAAAAAAAAUCUAUAGGUGCAGGAGUGGCUGUGUGGUAAGUAGCUAGCUUACCAACCACAUGGUUCCAGGUUCAGUCCCACUGCGUGGUAUCUUGGGCAAGUGUCUUCUAUAGCCUUGGGCUGACCAAAGCCUUGUGAGUGGAUUUGGUAGAUGGAAACUGAAAGAAGCCCAUCUUAUAAAUAUAUAUAUGUAUAUAUAUAUAUAUAUAUAUGUGUGUGUGUUUGUGUUUGUCCCCCCAACAUCGCUUGACAAUCGAUGCUGGUGUGUUUGCAUCCCUGUAACUUAGCAGUUCAGCAAAAGAGACCGAUAGAAUAAGUACUAGGCUUACAAAGAAUAAGUCCUGGGUUCGAUUUACUCGCCUAGAGGCAGUGCACCAGCAUGGCUGCAGUCAAAUGACUGAAACAAGUAAGAGAGUAAAAAGAGUAUCUUUUUCUUUUAAUUUAAUUUUAACCUCAUUAAAUGUGUUUUAACUACAAAUCACCAUAGAUUCUCAAAGCAUCGCCAUUAUCAAUGAAUUGUAUCAUAGUUUCUAUUGUUUAAAAAUGAACUGUUCAGUUUUUUUCUAACUAACAUUUAAUUCAUGAUAGUGUUAAUGAAGAUAAUAUUUAAUGGUUGCUGUUUGUAUUCUGUUUAAAAUACUGAGAUUUAAUCAUGUGCCAAUUUGUUCAAUUGGUUCCAAUUACUAGUAAUUGAUAAGAGUAGGUAGAAGUUAACUUAAUGAAUUGUAUGCAAGGCAGAACUACAAUUUUCUUUGAAACUUUAAAUAUUUAAAUUUUCUUUGGCUUUUUUUUUUUUUUUUUUUUCUUAGCUACUCAAUGAAUGUUCAGUACAGAUAGAUUUGAGUUUAUGUGCUUCUGUUAUUAACAUAAAUUUAUUACAUUACUAUUGCAACUACUUACUUAAAAUAUUGCAUAUUCACGGGCUGUAUCAUAUUUAUGUAUUUAAUAGUUUAGUUGAUAAAAUGUGAUGUAAAUUGUAUUUAGGUGAAAGUUUUUGUUUAUUUGUUUCUUAGUCAGGAAAAAAAGCAUUGUUUCAAGACCUGCUUUUAGGGUAUCUGAAACUCUUGAGAGGGUAUCUGCAAACUGGAAGCUUGUAGUGAAUGCAGCAAUGGGGUGAAUUUUACUUAAGGCAUCCAAGGUAUCGGGUAAUGAUAUUAAACUGGGCAUCCAAGUAGGCCAUAGCUGGAUUUGAACUCAGAACAUAAAGAAUUGGAACAAAUACUGCAAGACAUCUGGUUUUAUUUACAUUCUUACAGUUUUGCUUAUCCACAGAUUUGGAUUGGUAAUUUUUUUUUAUCAAUUCUAAAAGGAUGGAAAGCAAAGUUGACCUCAGUGAGAUUUGAACUUGAAACCCAAAGAGUCAGAAGAAAUUUUCCAUAACAUUCUGCCUGAUGCUCUAACAAUUCUGUCAGUUUGUCUUUUUUUGUUUUUUUUUUGAGAGAUGAAUAUUAGCUAAAAGGAAAAAUAUGUCUUUAGUUGAGAAUGUCCUAGAAAGGUAUGGGGGUAUUAUUUGUGAUAUAUUACUUGAGUAAAUACAGAUUUCAAAACUUGCAAUGAUAUAAAUUCAACCAACUUGUUGCAUGAGAAAAUGGGUAUAAAAUUAGAAUAAUCUGUUAUCUCUUACCUUUUAUUCAUUUCAGUUAUGCAGCCAUGCUGAGACGUCAUUUUAUGGGUUUAGUCAAACAAAUCAAACCCAGCAUUUAUUUUUAAGACUGAUAUUUUAUUCAUCUCUUUUUGCCAAACUACUAAGUUAUGGCAAUAUAAAACAAUCUAAUCCUGGUUGCCAAGUGUACAUGGGGGAAAGAGGAAGGCACACAUAAACAAAUAUGUAUAUGUACAUGGCAGGCUUCUUUCAGUUUCCAUCUACCAAAUCUACUCACACAAAUUGUUUUCUGAUAUAUUGCAUGGAUGUGCAAUAUAUUGCUGUUAUAUUACUGCACUUGUCUACAUGGAAACUGGUACCAGCUUCAUUUCCAAGUAGUAAGGUUGAUUGGGAGGAGGACUGUAGAAACACUUCUCGGUAUUGGAAAGACUGAUAUAUUGAGAAUAUAAUAAAUAUUGAUUCUUAAUGCAAAGAAGAUACAAUUUAGCUUUACAUUAAUUUAGACAGAAAUAUCUUUAAAAUGUGUGUGCUUAUUGUUUAUCUAUGUGUGUAUGUUAUCUAUUGGGAUUUUGGGCUGCUACAGUAGAAAAUAGCUUUUGCUAUCUUCCAGCAUAGCUUUUACUUCAGUGGAGAGAUACACAACUAUAAUGUCCUACAUGACUCUAAAUUCUUACUUUAAAAGAAUAGUAUUCUGUCCACUACUACUAUUCAGAUAAGUUUUAACAAACUAUACAGCUGUAUAAAUUAAUGUACCUAAGGAAUUUAGAGUUUAUCCAAUAAUGUUGUAAUUUUAUAUAUGUAUAUAUAUGUGUGUGUGUGUGUAUAUAAAUAUACACACACACAUAUACACACACAUAUAUAUAUAUACAUACAUAUAUAUAUACAUAUAUAUACACACAUAUAUAUACAUGCAUGUAUAUUAAACAUAUAUACAUAUAUAUAAUUAUAUAAAUAUAUAUAUAUAUACAUACAUAUAUAUACAUAUAUAUAUAUACAUAUAUAUAUAUGUAUAUAUAUAUGUAUAUAUAUAUAUGUAUAUAUAUAUAAAUGUAUAUAUAUAUGUAUAUAUAUAUACAUAUGUAUAUGUAUAUAUAUAUAUACAUAUGUAUAUGUAUAUAUAUAUAUACAUAUGUAUAUGUAUAUAUAUAUAUACAUAUGUAUAUGUAUAUAUAUAUAUAUAUAUAUAUAUAUAUAUAUAUAUAUAUACAAGAUAAGAAAAUGGAGAAAUACAUCUAAAUCAAAUAUCAAUUACCAGAUAAUACUCAAUCACAUACUUUAUUAAACCACCACAUAAGAGACUGUAGGGUUAAACAUAAAAAAGCAGAACAAAUCAGUGUACAUAAAAGAAUGUACAUAAAAAGUGUACAUAAAAGAGUAAUGUUGUAUAAUAAGUAGAAUAUAUAUAAAAGAGAAUAUAAAUAUAAGUAAAUAUAAAUAUAAGUAUAGAUUACAUCUUACAGCUGUUUCGGCCAUGUAGAUAAGUAUGUCUCAUUUUACCAAUAUUAGCCUUUUAUGGUAGGUCAUAUAUAUAUAGAUAUAAAUGAGACAUUUACAAAAAUAUCAUAAGGCCUCUUCGGAGAUUAUGUGAUAUAAAACAUAAAAAUAUGUGUAUAUAUAUGUAUGUAGAUAUGUAUGUGUAAUUUGGUACGGUCGUUUCACACUACAUCAUUUUAUUAAAUGUAAGUAUUACAACAGUUUUUAAAUGCUGAGCACUCAUCAGCCAUUAAUAGAGGUUUUCCAUUAAUACAUAAUUUUCAUAUCAAGUGGUAACAUUAUAGAGAAGGUGAUAUGUUAUUGAGAUCUGACUACUAUUUCUAGCAGGUUGAACAACAUAAUAUAGACACAUCAAAUGAAUUAGCUAAUUAUUGUUCUUAAUUGUUUUUUUUUUUUGCUUGAAUUUCAUAUUUUCUGCUUGUUAUUUUGUCCUUCAGUUAAUUGUGUUCUCUGUUCUCAGCAGUUGAGGUGCCACCAUAAUGCCACACAUUGUUUUUGAAAAAAUGGUUCAAUAUGUGAUGUUAAUAUGAAGUGCACACACACACACACACUCUGAAUAAUUAACAUUUUUUAGAAAGUUAUGUUCAGGUACUCGACUCAUAUAACAGCUGUUAUAGUGUAUCUUUUAAUGUUUGUUAUGCUACUGUCAGAGAUAUCGAGUAGUUAGGAUAUAGGUACCAAUCCUGUUUAAUAAUAAUGGUUUAUCACUUUACAAAUGCACUAUGAUUAAAAAUACAUGAAAAUGUCAAUUUACAAAACCUUUCAGUCUUUGCCAGUACCCACACAAAACCUGCUCUAUUAAAGGACUCAGGCAUUGUCAUUGUUGAUUGAUUCAGUCAACAUUUCAUAAAGGAACGAUGAAAAUUUAUCAUUAAUUCAGGUUUAGCAUCCAUCUAUCUAUUCAUCCUUAUCUAGAUUAGAUGAGUUUGCUGAAUGCAGUUGGCACCCUCUCAGAUAGACAUUGUACAAGAAUGGUGAUGGGGUGGAUUCUGAUUGUACAAUGGAUGUGAUAUUUUGUGUACAAAAGUAGAGGUUUGAGUGGCACUGCUUUAAGUGGUGUGUUUUUCUAAUUGAUGUGGCUUUAUUUGUCCUUUUUAUUGUUUUGACACAUUCACUCUAGCAGAGCAUCCUUUGUAAUGAAAAUUAUUAGUUUUUCUCUUGCUUUUUUAGUUUCUUUAUUUGGUAACUGUUGUUUAAGUUUAAGCAGCAGCUGCAUUGAACCAGUGAUAUAAAAAGUACUGUCAGUUUGACUUGUGAAAAAUACAUCUGCUCUUUAGAAAAGAAAUCUUUCAGAUUUAUAACAAAAUAAUCAUUGUUUUGUAUUCACUAAUUCAGGAAUUGUAUGAUUGUUGCAUGAUUCAGGAACAAGAGAGUUCAUACCACAUUAGACUUGUGAUUAAAAUUCAUCUUUGUGGAUAAUGUAAAAGAUUGUGAAUAGUAUUAUACAUUUAAAGGAAUUUAACCCUUAUAUGACCAUAUUUCUGUUGAAAUGCACUGCUUUUAUUCCAAUCAGUUUUGAAAUGGAUGGGAGCCUGUGUUUGAAACAUAAAUUAACAUGAAAUUUUGAUGGAAGGCUUUGAUUUAAAUUGUUUUUAAGCAGGAAGUUUGUAUCCUAGAAUGAAGGACAGUUUCAGACUGGUUGACCACUGAAGGAAAUGAAUUUUUGAAAAUGUUUAAAUUUGACUUUUACUGUAUUUUUUUUUCUUGGAGAGCAUCCAAAAGAAACUUUUUAAUACCUCAUUUGUGAAAUUUGGAUGAAUAUUUUAGGAAAUAUGACAAUUUGAAUGGUUACUGAAUUGGUCGAAAUCUUGCCUAAUGGUCUUUGAAACUGAGGUGAUAAUUAUCUUCAAAUUACACAAAUUAAUAUUGUCCAUGGGAUAGUAGUUGCCUCUUUUUUUUUUCAAGUUCUUGGAAAUGAAAUUUUUUUAAAUAUUUGUUGCAAAGCCUAUUUUGUUACAUUGUAAGAAACAGUCAAGUUUGCAAUGCUUUCAGACCUAACUAAAUCCAAAAGUACUUGGCACAUUUGUUGUAGGUAUAGAACUAAAUAAGCCCUUCUGAUUUUAGGACAUGACACCAUUUCAAUAUAAUUGUAAUGGACCAUUAAAAAUGGCUAUAAAUGGUAGUUUUGGAUCAGGACACCCACACAAGUUGAAUUUUUUCCAUUUUGACCAGUAUUUCCCCAAUUUUUUUUCACCAUGGCCAUGUAAAGGAUGGGAGGAAGCUUUUUAGGAAAAAAAUUUUUUUGAAAAUUCAUGUCUUCCCCCUACCCAGACUGAUUUUGGCGAAUUUCUUUUUGCAAUAUGCACUUAAAAUCAAUAGAAGUCCUUUUGAAAAAUAGAAAGAAAAAAAAGUGAAAAAAUUUUAGAUGAAAAGGUGUGUGAUUUAAAGAAGAUUUAGAUGUUGUUUUUAGCACAUACCAUCACCACCUGGUACAUUUCUCAGAACUGCAUGUAGACCUAGAUUUAAAAAAGCAAAAUGUGAAAAUUCCUUGCUUUUGCAUUAAAAACAUCUGUAACUUACAGCAAACUUGUAGGAGAGAGAAAAAAAGACAAAUAUGUAUACACAAUCACAAAUUAUCUGUAUUCAAAAUUUAGAAGAAAACAACAAAAAAAAAAUCACAUCAGACUUUAAUAGUCUACAAAAUAAUAUUCUUUGCACAGUAUAGUUUUUAUGGGCAAAAUUUGACCAAUAUUUCUUGAAGUAAAAUUAAAUUUACAUGUACAAGAAUAUCUGCUAGGUAAAAUUUGGACCUCGCACACCACAUACAAAAAACAGCGAAAGAGAAUAAACAACAUUGACAAAUCCAUGUUAAGUUUUGUCUCUAGAAGACUUAUUAUGUAGCUCAAUUUAGUCCAUUUUUGCAUAGAAAUUUGUUCAAUUAGCUUGUCUGUUUUUUUUUUAAUUUUGGCUCAAACUCAAUAUUUGAAGCCUUGGAUUCAUGUUCUGUUUCAGCUCUUGCCAUGUGGGAAUAUGUCAGUUUGACAAGUAGCAUCAGUACGUGCUAAUCCUAUAGAACAGCUGUGGUCCCCCCCCCCUUUUAUUGACUUUGCACUUUUACACCAUCUCAUUACCAGAUUUAGUAAUGGCUGUAUCAAAUUCGCAAGAAAUUUUUCUUUCAUAUGGUAUAAAAAUCUUGAAGGAAAUUUUUUUUCCUAAGUGAAAAUCAAUGAUAAAAUUUUCACUUUUAUAUUUCAUAACAAUUAUCUUUUUUACCCCCAUUGAUUUCUAUUGCAAAAUAUAGCAAAAAAAGUCUUCUUUGUGACUAUAUCAUUUUCAACACAAAUUAAGUUACAGUGCUCCAGCACAUGGUCCCGUUUUUGCUUUUGGCUGCUGAACAGUAUUCCUCAUUCUGGUUCAAACUUUGUGAAUGGUCUGAAAUACAAGGGUGACUGAGGGAACCUGACACGAUAUUUAAGAUUUUGAUCAGAAGUAUAUAAGAAAGUUCACAUCCAGUACUUCCAAAUAUUUAAUUGUCCUCAAAUUAUGUAUUUUGACAUGAAAAUGAUCAAGCAAAAAGGAUUUUUUUCAUAGUUAAACUACUUGUCUCCAUUCUGCAGAGCUCUACUGUGAUACCUACUUAAAUUAUAUCAUACAAAUCUCAUGUUCAUAUUUAGGCUUAACUAAAUUUCUUUCUAAUAUUUUUGAAGCUAUGUUUAGAUAAAAUAGGUUUUUGAGCUUAUUAGAAGCAGCUAGUUUAAGACUAUUAACAUCUGUGGAGAGGGUGUAGGGUAUUGGCUUUGAAUGUUUUACAUAUAAUUGUUUCUAACCAAAUUAAAGAUCCAUAUAACAUAUUAGAACAUGAAAUCUUUUGCUUUUUAAUCGAUGAAAGAAAUAAUUUAAUGUAGAAUGUUUAAUACCUUCAAUUUUCUUUUGAAACCAAACCAAACUGCAGCUCUGAGUUGUGGAUGCUAGUAUUCAGACAGCUAUAAAGCAAAGUUUAUGAGAAGCUCAAAAGUUUUCAGAUAUGGGGAAAUUUAAGAGCUGUUCAUUUAUGUGAACUGUGUAGUGAUUUACUUUUUAUUUGUUUGUGCUGAUAUAUUUUCAAUAACUUUAAAAUUAAACAGUUAGAAUGCUUCGUUAAUUCCAAUUAAUUUAAACUACUUGCAAGAAAUUAGUUUUAAGCUACCUGGAAAUUUGCUUUCUAGGUUUAAUCCUGCUUUCAUCUUUACUGCUAGAAACCUUUCAUGUCAUUAAAAAAAUUUUUUUUUUUUUCACAAAUUAGGUCAACCAUUUCAUGUUUUACUGUGUUGUGUAGGUGGACAUUCCUUACAAGUUUGUCUGCCAAGCCUUUCAUUUAAAAUAUUUUAUUUUACCCUACUUUUUUCUUCUUUCAUUUCAUUUUUUGUCAAGUAACAAUUAAAAACUGAUCAACUGUUUCAUUUUUAAGUGACUAGAUGGUGAUAUAUAAACACCAACUGUUUUAUCUAAAUGGGAAUGUAAUGUUCUCAUUUAAAAUAAUAAACUGCUAAUUAUUUACUGAUUCUGUCGCAGAAAAAAAAAAUCAUGCUAUCUGCUCAUAUCAUAAACAAACUUUAGUUCUGUGUAAGCACAAAUCAUUUCCAACAACAAUAUCAUUAACAAAGCUUUAAUUACUUAAACAGCAAAUAUAUAUAUAUAUAUAUAUAUAAUGUGUGUGUGUUUGUCCAUUAUGCCAUCAUCAUUUAAUGGUUACUUUUUAGCUGAAACAAAUUUUUUACAAGUGGAUGAUACCAACCAUCACUUAUUUCCAAACAAUGUAAUAUUUCCCAUGGCUCGACAUGUUUUUCACGGAAGACUGGAAACAAAUGAAUUUGCUUGUGCGACACUACAUAUUUUACAAGUAUCAUGUGAUGUCAAGAGUACACACAUUCAUUUAUAGAUAUAUAUUUAUGACAGGUUUCUUUCAACCUCCAUCUACCAAACCCACUAACGCACUCAUAAGGCUUUGGUUGGCUCAGGGCUAUAAUACAAGACACUUGAACUGAACCUGAGAUCACAUGGUUGGAAAACAAGUUUCUUUACUACACUGCCGCACAUGCUCACACACAUACACACACACACACAAAAUUAAAUAAAUGACAAGGGAAGAGGAAAUUAUGUAAUGAACUUCAGUAGCUUACUGCUGUUUCUGCUAGAAGAUGCAGUGCACUCAGAGCAGAGCACUUAUUCAUUUCCUUAUACCUUCCUUGGAGCUCCAAGGAAGCUAUAAGAUGAUGCACAUGUACUCAUCUUUGAAUGCACUGCAUUUUAUAGCUGAAACAGCUGUAAGCUUAUGGAGUUCAUUACAUAAUUUCUUUGUAUCUUGUCAUUUAUCUAAUUUCAAGUUAGGCUCUAUACUCAACUAAUGCUUUAUUCUGAAGCAUAUGUUUAUUGAAUUCUAACACCAGAUUAUAUCACUAUAUCUAAGCAAAAUAAACAUAUAAGUUCAUAAAUCAUAUAAGUGCGCAAAUGGAAAACAGACACAGAAGGUCGCCAACUCCUUGUUAGUUAUCGGUCAGAGGGUCAAACGCUAUUUCAUGCCUUACAAUGUGUGUGUACAUGCAUACAUGUGUGUGAGUGUGUGUGUAUACAACCGAAGUGACAAUCUAACAUUUUCAAGUACAGUUAUUAAAGUUUCUUUGAUUGAGUGACAGUGCAAGGGUUCUUUUACAGAAUAACAAAAUGCCACUAAGCUAGAAUAUUUCCUAAGAUGUGGUGGACCACUUCCCAGGUGUUUGUCUUAGUUGCAAGGGAUUGCUAGGAAUCAUUCAUAACUCUGGUCAGUCAAUCUCCCUCGGGCAUUUGCAGCUGCCUUUCAUCUUAAAUUAUUGUGUAUGAAUGAGAUGGACUUCUUGUAGACUUCUCGAAUUUGAAAAGAGUGUGUUGUGCCAAGUAGAGAGGUGACUAUACAAUGAUCACUUUGCAUAUUAUAAUAUCUGUAAAUAAUGUUUCUGUCAGCCUACCAAAGAUCCUACUGCACCUUUUGAGUAUCUAUUCCUUACACUGAACACAUAGCAUCAACUUCCAACUUCCCUUCUAUUCAGUGAAAAAAACUUUGAGUUUUACAUUUUCAUGCUUAGCCUUCAAGAUCAAAUUCUAAACUGAAAAGUUUCUGUAUUGAUUCAUGUUUCAUUUUUCAGUUUUUAAUUACUCAGCAUAUUUAAUCUCUUCACCAUUAUCACCACCAAUCACUAGAAUGCUUAAAUUGUAUUUAUUUAGUUUGCUUCUCUUUUUUUUUAAGUAUGAAGUUGUCUUAUUUUUAGUCUGCAAUGUUGUUACAUGGAAUGAUUCCAAUCAGGAAUUUAAUCUUAAUUUGCAACUUCGUUUGAGCAGUUAUCACCAAAACAUUUUUUUAAUAAUUGCUUUAUCUCAUUAACUUUUUAUACAUAGCAGCAGUAACAUUUUCUAUUCUAUAACAAUUAUAGUUUUAUAGUGAAUUCUCAAGCGUUAUAUUAUUUGGAUAAUUCUAUAAUAGUUGCAUAAUGUAUGAAAUUUAUUAUCUUCAGGUUACAUGGUACUCUUUUUGAAAUAGGUUUGUGUUAGCAGUAAAUCUGUGUUUGUUGUCCAUGGUACAGAGCCAAAUGAUAGCAAAAAAUUUCAUAAACUUUAAUAAUCUUGCACACUGAUGAAGAAUUUAUGAUUCUUUUUGUUUUCAUUUAAUCAUAAGCCUGACAGUUAAAUUAAUAAUGUAUAAAUUAUAAUUUAUGAACGAUUCUCACAGAUUCUUUAAAAUUUAAUUUCUCAGUGUUUAAUUUAUUAAACUCAAGGCCUAUUCCUAUAUUAAAAUCAUUUUCUGUACACUUUUGAUCUGCAAAGAGUUUGAUUUAGAAUCAAAUAUUCAAAAACAAAAAUAAUAUGGUUUAAUAAUUUAUCGUAUGAUUAAUUAGUUCACUUAAACUGAUUGCAAGUGUUGUUUUACAGUUGGAAGCAGUUAAAAAUAUUCAUCAAUUUUUCAUUUUCUUUAAUUUUUGCUUUUUCCUAGCUUCAGCCAUUGGACUCUGUCCAUGUUAGGAUGUUGCCACGUUCAAAGGCAGUCUAUUACAACAGUGCUAGACCUUAUUACUUUUAGUUUGAUAACUAUUUUGUUGCUCUAUAUUGGUUGAAUCACUGAGUUAAGCUUUGUGCAAUUACACUAGUAGUUACAUAAACACAGACAUAGACUCAUAUACGCACACACAUCUAUUCCCCCCCACUCUUUAUAUGUAUAUACACACACACACACACGUAUGACGUCCUUCUUCAUAGUUUACGUCUACUAAAUUACACUCAUAAGGUAUUGGUCAACCUAACGUUCUAGCAGAAUACACUCUAGUGCCAUGGAAUCAAAUGUAGAUCCACCUGGUUGUGAAGUAAAUCUGGCCAGUUUUCUUAAUAUACAAAAUCCCUUAUACGAUAUCUUUUACUUAUUUCUUUUUGUUUUAUUUAAUCAUAAGCCUGACAGUUAAAUUAAAUUUUAAAGAAUCUGUGAGAGUUCUUCAUAAAUUAUAAUUUAUACAUUAUUAAUUUCUCUGCAGCCAUGUUAGAGCACCACCCCCAUCAUCAUCACUGUUUAGCGUCUGUUUUCCAUGCUGGCAUGGGUUGGAUGGUUUGACUGAGAACUGGUAGGCUGAGAGGCUGCACCAAGCUCCAAUCUGAUUUGACAAGGUGUCUACAGCUGGAUGCCCUUCCUAAUGCCAACCACUUUGUGAGUGUAGUGGGUGCUUUUUACAUUCCACUGGCACAGGAGCCAGUUGGACAGCACUGGCAUUGGUCAUGCUCAAAUGGUGCAUUUUGCGGCACUGGCAUCAGGUGCCAGUGAGGUGCCACUGGCAUCAGCCAUGCUUAAAUGGUGUUUUUUACAUGCCACCAGCAUGGGUGCCAGUCAAGCGGCACUGGCAUCGGCCACGACUAUAAUCUCACUUGGUUUGCCAUGUCUUCUGAAGCACAGCAUAUCUCCAAAGGUCUCAGUCAUGCUUCACCACCUCAUCCCAUGUUUUCCUGGGUCGAUCUCUUCUGCAGGUUCCUUCAACUGCUAGGGUGUGACACUUCUUCACACAGCUGUCCUAAUCCAUACACAUCACAUGACCAUACCAGCACAGUCAUCUCUCUUGCACACCACACCUGCUGCUUCUUAUGUCCAACUUUUCUCUCAGGAUACUUACUCUCUGCCGUGUACGCACACUGAUAUUACACAUCUAGUGGAGACUGUAGUAAACAUUUGCCCUAGCUGCCACACAGUGAAACUGAACCUGGAACCAUGUCGUUGGAAGCAAACUUUUUACCACACAUCCACACCUUAUGUUUUGUUUUAUGAAGUAACAAGGAUUAGGUUUUGUUGUAUGCUGAGCUUUCCAAAGUCUUAUGUUAUCUACUCUCCUUCUUUGUAUAUUUUCUACAAAUAUCCUUUAAGCUUCUGCUGCUAAGUCAUAUAUUUUUAUCUUUCUUUUAUGUUGUUUAUUUUAAAGUACCUAACAUUUUCCUUUUGUGUUACAUAUCUACAAUUUAUUGGACCAUUUAUUGCCAGUUGGCAUUGAAAACAUCAACUAUUACCAUAUAUCUAAAGGUAAACAUAAUUAAACAAGACAGGUAAUGGAUAUAUAAUUACUACUUGAAAAAUAUGCUUGAAUACCUAGAAGAUGCCAUAGCAACAAAAUAUCCUUCAGUCUUUUUUAGAGGUUCUUACCACUCUAAAUCAGUGACGUCGUGAUAUUCUUUUCCCAAGCAUCUGUAAUGACUAUUGUUGUUGUUGUUGUUAUUAUUUAAGGUAGCGAGCUGGUAGAAUCAUUAGCAUGCUGGCAAAAUGCUUAGCAGUAUUUCAUCCGUCUUUACAUUCUGAGUUCAAAUGCCGCCAGGGUCAACUUUACCUUUCAUCCUCUUGGGCUUGUUAAAUUAAGUACCAGUUAUGCACUGGGAUUGAUGUAAUCACCUAGACCCCUCCUCCAAAAUUUCAGGCCUUGUGCCUAUAGUAGAAAGGCUAAUUAUUAUUAUUAUUAUUUCUUGUCUUUUAUCUUAGUAGAAAAAAAAAGAUAUGUGAUGUGUUCUUUAUCUGUAAUCAUUCAUUUCAUCUUUGUGGUGGUGAAUUUCUUCUACUUGCUGUAGAAAAGCACCUCCACCAAAUGUUCUCAAAAUAACAAGAAAGGCAUAUCCAGAAAGAAAGAGAUAUCUGAUCUCAGAAGUUUAGAUUUUAAAGGUGAUGUGACUCAAGCUUGAAAUAAUAGUGAUAUGGUGCUUUAGCAUAGAAAAUGGUUACUAAAAUGAUGUCAUAUUUCUUGUAUUAUAUGUGAAGUGAGAUAAUAGAUGAACUUUUGAAUGGGGCCUUGUUGUCAUCACUUCCCUGCGUAGCCAUAGAGUUAAGACAUCCGCUUCCCAACUAUUUGAUAUCAGGUUCAGUCCCACUACAUGACACCUUGGGCUAAAGUCUUCUACUUUACCUCUAAGCCUACAACAGCCUUGUCAGUAGAUUUGGUAAAUGGAAACUGAAUAAAGCCUGUUGUGUGUGUGUGCAGACACACUACCACAUACUAUCAAGUGUGUUUGUUUGUGUCUCUUCGUCUUGGCAUCACAUGGUGUUGCAGAUGAGCAUCACUGUCAUACAAGCAGUAUCAUUCAUUCCCAAUCAUCUAUGAAAACAUCUCCAAUUGUGAAGAGAUAUUACACUGCUAGAAAACGGGUUAGGGUCAGCAACAGGCUGUAUAAAAUAUGCCUCAGUGAAUUCUAUCUAAUCCAUGCAAAUAUGGGAAAGUUAAAACAAUGAAGAUGAGGAAUUCUAAGAUAACCUCAGCUAAGAACAGAGACCAAAAUUUGAACUAAGCUCUCAAAGCUGUCAUCUGUAUUUUUAAUCAAUCUCUGAUUUAUGUCAUUUUGAAAAUUAUUUCCAGCUAUUUCUAGGUUUUUAGAUGUAACUUCAUUGAUGAAAAUGUCUUUAGAACUAAAAUUGCUAUUUAUGAUUUUUAAAUAAAACAAAUUGUUUUUGUUAUGCUCUUUAAAUCAGUAUGUGUGUUUGUGCAUACAAUUGAAGUUAGUAGCUUUUUUUUAUAGCCAUUUGAACAGCUAUUGGUACUUUAAAUUACUAUUUACAUUGCUACUUUGACAACGCAAUCAGUACUGGAGACGGAACUAUUAGUCUAUCUGCAAUGUAAAGGGAUUAGAAAUAGAUUAAGGAAUUGCUGCCUUUUAAAACUAGCAAUGGCUGCUUUUUCUUUUUCUUUUUUUUGCUUAAAAAGGUAGGAUGUAGGUAAAAAUAUGAUGCUGUAUGGGUGUGAGUGUGAGAUAUUGACAGUAGCUAGAUAAAACUGAGUGGAGCAUGACUUGAUAUGUAAAAGAAUUUGGAGUAAAUUAACAUUCGUUGGUGAUAUGUUAGGUAUAAGAUGGUGAGAAAACUGAUAGGUUGCUUGGAGAUCUAAUAUGAAUAUGAUGCUGGCUAUAGGCUAAUUGGAAGCUGGUAAGGGUUGAAAUAAAAUAGUUGCUCUUGAGGAAUUUGCAAAAGGUAACUAAUAGAAACACUAAUGAAGAUCCAUGUAACCAUACAAGUUUUUAAAAAUCAACAAUUAAAAGGCUGAUGGUGUUGAUAUCCAAAUAACUUCUCUUUCUUUCUCUCUCUCUCCCUCCUCUGUUAAUUUGGCAAAUUGUACUAAUAGACAGUGUCAUGUGUUAUUUAUACGCCAAAGUAAAAAUAUUAUUUGUAAUGUUCCAUUUUGGUAAUCAUGGUAACUACCUGCAUAAAAAAUUGGCUCAGAGAACCUUCUAGGUCCAAUAAAAGUAGUUUCUCAAAUCACAUGGCUUCUGCCCUGAGUGCAGUUAUUUUUAUUUAUAAUUGAAUACACCAAGUUAUAGCGUAUAUCAAAAUGAAACAUUCUGUAUAAUAUCAGAAAGUUUGUGAAUUUCCUUAUAGGUGUUGUUUUAUGUACCAUAUUAAAUUACUUUUCCAAUAAUACCUUGCCAUGAGAAAUUCUGUUAUAUUUCUGGUACAGCUGACUCCUGAAGAUUUUUCAUACUUUUUUUUUUUUCAUAUAAAUCCACAAUAAAGUAUUGUUAAAUACUAAAAUUACAUUUAUUUUAUUACUUUUGAGCUGAUUUAUUUUCAAUAUAUGACACGAUUUUGACUUCAGUGGCUAGUUACCUUUAUUUUUAUACAAAAGGAAGAAAGUUCUUAACAAAAAAUAAAUUCACUGAAACUUACUAGUGAACCCAAUUAAAAAUAUUUAGUAAUAUUUGUAUUAAAUCAGUGGUUCUCAACCAGAGUCUAUGUGGCCCCUAAGGUCCAUAUAAGAUUUUGGGGGGUCCACUCAACAAAAUAGUAAACUGCGGAUCUACAAUAUUAUUUUAAGGUGCCCCUGAAGAAAUUUUGCUUUAGAUGUAUGUAUUGCAAGAAACAUGUUUCUUCUUGAAAAGCAAAAUAGGAAUUUUGAAAGAAGUUUCUAUAAAACUACUUUUUAAGCAUUGAAUAGCUAGUGAGGCGGGGCCACCAGAAUAAAAUAACAAUCAAAGGGGUGCAUAGAUAAAAAAUGGUUGGGAACUCCUAAAAAGAAAAAUUUUGUCAUGCAAGAAUAUUUUGUUUGCUGUUAUUUUUCAGCAGCCAAGAGAGUUUGCAAUUUUUCAUGGAGUUAAAAUGUUAUGUUGCAAUGUUCAUACUUUUCCUGAGAACAUGAGUAAUAUAAUCUGAGUUUUAUCUAGCUAUCAGCUUAGACUAACAUUUCUGGUGUUCUGUGGAAAGAACAAGUAAUAUUUCCUACAGUGCUUACUUAAUUCAUCAUUUUUAUCCCCAAUGAUUAUUGUUAUGAUAUAGUAGAACAACAGUAUACCCAAAGGCAAAUAAAUGGGACCCUUGGCCAUAUCUCAGCAUGACUGAACAAGCAUUACAAGCUAGAUAUGAGACAGCUUGUAUAAGUUGUUGAAGAAAGGCAACAUGCUAAAUUUCAUAUCAAUGUUUUUGAGACAAAAUUUUUAUUGUAAAACUAAAUACUCAUUUGUAUAAUUCCCUUGAGCUGGAUAUGAGAUAGACUUGUAAUUUUAUGUAAAUAAGUCUGUUAUGUAAUAGAAAUGGUUGAAGCUUUAUCAGAUGCUGUAUUUACUAUCUGCUACUGCUGCUAUAAAUACCCUUGUAAACCACCACUUUUCAGUUUAACAGCAGAGUGGAAAUUAAAGCCUUAUUUUAAUUGACUUUCCUUUUGGAUUAUUCUUUCUUCAAUUUAACCCUUUAGCAUUCAGAUUAAUUUAUCAAAUCUAAUGCUUAUUUAUCCACAUUUUAAAAAAUUAACCACAUAGUACUUUGUAGCUUCAAGGUUUUGAAGAUGUGAGUGUUUAUUUUUAAAAUAACAUUGUAGGGUGGGUGUGAGAGACUGGAUUUGGCCACUUUCAACAUAAAACAGGUAGAAUAUUUGAGCUGGAUAUGGCUGGUUUAAAUGUUAGAUGGUUUAUUUACUAAAAUUAGUAUGAAAUGUAGGCCACAAUCUGAAAAACUUGUAGUUCAACAGCUCUUCAACCUUCACACAUGUUUUUAAGUAUUUUCUAUUCAUCUUUCCAGAGUUACACUUUAAAGGAACUAAUGACAUUGUAUGAGAUUUUUUUCAAAUUCCAUUUCCCCUCAAAAUGAGCUGGUAGGUAUAUAUGCCUAUUUAAGAUGUCACCAUAACUGGUUUAAUCAAAGAGAAGCAUGAGAAAAAUAUAUCUAAAUUAAAAGUUGUUUUGAAAUUUAAUAAGACCCCGAAUAAUAGUAGAUAUAAACUUCCAGGUACAUCUGUAUUGCUUUCAUAACACCUUUUAGGAAGUGGAUGAUAUGAGUGUUAUAUUGUUGCCAUCCGGGAAACCAUGACAUGAGCCCUAGGAUCUAUUUAAAAAUUUACUUUUGCUCCUACUACCACAACAUAGGAUGCCUUACACUUUAUGUGACCCUUCAAACUCAACACUGUUUGAACAUAUCUUCAAUUUUCCUCUGAAACUGUUGCAGUGAUGAGUAAGUCAACCUGACUUUCCUAAGGUAGAAAGAAUCUGUUAAGGGGGUACAUCUCUAAGGGAUGAACAUUUAGUCAAAGAAGUUGAACUAUUGCAAUCAAAUGCCCCAAAUGCUGACAUUUGUUUUCUCAAUGUUUAAGAACAUACCAUAGCAGUUAGGGAAUGAACUCCAUCAGGAGAUAUAAAACUGAAGAUAGAUAUAAGUGUGCUCCAACUAAAAUACCAAUAUUCCUAAAAAUCACAUUGACUUAUCUACCCUGGCUCUUGGCAAAGCACCUACACAACCACCCAAACAAACAUUACUAAUGAACUCCUUGUGAACUUUAUACUCCAUCACUCUACUCACUUUAAAAUAUCUAUUGAAAGAUAUUGAUCUGGCAGUAAUAAUGUACUAUGUUGUUUUAUAUUUUUGUUGUGGGGAGGGGAAUGUAAUAAUUUUAUGUAUAUAAUACUGUAUUCAACAAACAAUAGAUGCUAAAAUUACUACCUGCUGUUGCUGCUAUAAAUACUUUCCUAUGCUAUUGCUACUAUUUACCAGUUGAUGUCAUCCUGAUCUAAAUUGACUCCUAUUUUGGAAUAUACCUUAUUUGGCCUAAAAAUAUAAACAUUAUGUCCUAGGCUUUAGGAAAUAAGCUCAAGGAUCUCUGUAUGUUGAUGAUUUUUCUGUGUAUAGGGGAAAGAGCAGCAUUUCAACUUUGUGUAAUCUAUAUACAUAUUUAUUUCAUAUUUUCCAAAUAAGGACAUACUGUACAGUAUUGUCAACUAAAGUGAUUUUAGUAAUACAAAUUAACUUGGUAAUAGAUUUCCAUCAUUACUUGGGUCUAAUAUUUGUCUGAAAAUUCAUUUUCUAACCAUAUAAACAAAAGUUCAUACUAAAAUGCUGAAAAUAUUAAACAUUCUAAGUUUUUAAGUUACACACAUUAAGGAACUGACUGUGGAUUAUUACUCUAGCUCUAUGAUUGAUAAAGGUUGGAUCUAUGAAACAGGCUGAACGUUGGACUUAAAACCGAAGUUAGUAGAGUGGUAGUUGAUAAAAAAAAGUUAACUGGCUGUGGACUAAAUAUAAAUUGUUAUACAAUGUGUUAAAAUUUCCUCUUCACAAAUAUUAAUUUGACUGUUUUCUACACUGAAAAUAGUCCAAUCAGAUUUAAGGGUUUCUACCAAGGAAUAUCUAGUAAAAGCAAAUUUCUUUCUUAGAACAAAAUUAAUAAAGCUUGGAUUUGGACUCAUGGUUUAACUCUUAUUUUAUAGAUACAAUGUUUCUUUCAUAAAUUUAGUAGGGAUAAAUUGUUUGUAAAUUCCUUAAUAAACAUAACUAACACUGUGUAACCAUACUUCUGUUAUUAUAAACUGCCUUUAUUUCAAAUAAUUUUUUAAAUAAUGAAGAAUUUAGUAAAUUAACUUCAUUAAGCUGGGAUCAGGAAUAACUUAGCAUAAAAUUUUGAUGGAAGAUUAUGAUUUAGACCACUUUAAAACAGUAAGUUUAUAGAACUUGGAAUGGUCUCAGGCAGGUUAAAAAAAAAACACUCAGUAUUGUUAUUUUCAUUUAACCCAGACAAGUUAGUGGUGCUAAAACAUUGUCUGAUUAUUCAUAUUGGUUAUGUAUGUUUUGUGGUUUUAAUCAAUAUAAGAAAUAUGAUUAGUCUAAUUACAAAUAGAGGAUUCAAUGGCACCAUAAAUUGAUGAGUUAAAGGCCAAGGUUUUGUUUGCCAAUUCCAUAACCCUACUUACAACUACAGUUCAUACCAAAAGUUUAUUUAUAAGACCAUCUCCAGAAAGAAAAUGUACUAAACUGGUUUUACAAUAUUUAUAAAUGGAUAUUUAUAUAUGUUGUAUGACGUAAUAUAGCAAGUGACUAACAGUUCAUUAUAAUACUAUACUUGACUAGUACUUACUAUAGUUGUAUAAACUUAUAGUUGACCAUAUUUGUUGUAAGUCAAACUUUAGUGACAACAAAGAAAUAGACCAAUGUGUAAGGAAUUUUGUUGGCAUCAUAGCCAUUCAUUUGCAUUCUGAUUACCUAAAUAUUGUCUACAAGAAGAUAGAUGAAGACAAGAGAAAAAAAAAAGACAAAUUAAUUCCAUCUUAGCUAUAAUGGAAAGACUGCAGAAGUAGAUAGAAAAAGUAGUUCAUCAUCAUGAUGAACAGGCCAGAGCAUAUAUGUAUUCUCAUGUGACCUGUUGUUUUCCAUAAACCCAGUAGGAAAACAAAAAACUGUGUUUGAAAACACACUUUACAGUUAUUUACAGACUGUUUAACCAAAACUUCUAGUAGUUAUUUAUUGGAACACAGUCAUAAUAUUCACUUUAAACAACAAUGAAAUAUGUGAUAAAAUAUAUUUAAAAUUUUUGGAGGUUGCUUUUUCUCUUUGUGAUGUAGGUUAUCGAUUUAAAGAAAUUCUUAAUGGUUUCUAUAAAAGAUGCAUUUUACCUCUAAACUGUGAGCUUUUGAAACAUAUUGCUUUUUAUACUUUAUACUCUUGCCCUCUCUUUCUAUCAUAGUUUUGUUUUUUUUUUUCCAGAUAAGAUUGCAUUAAAAUUGCUUUGGUGAGUUACCAGAUUUAUCAACUUAUCUCUUAUUUGAAUCUUUUUACCUUUAGUCUUGUAGGCAAUGAACUUCACUUGAGGCUUUGCUUAUGUGUCUGAAAUUGGUAUUGGGUGCUUUUCAAAAGUAGAGAUGAAUUGCUACUACUUGUCUUUGAGAUUAAGCAGAUUGUGAAUUCAAAAGAAUUAACAAAUCAAAUCCAGUAGCUAGUAUUGUUCCAAACAAUGAUACUUUAGGCAUUUAAUGGUCCUUCUGUCUAGCAAUAAAGGUGCUUGUGUAGAAGACAUUUACUUCAACAUUGUUCAGUAUUCCACAUUGGCUGUUAAGGAGCUUAAUUCAUUAUCAUCUAACCCUUUAGCAUUCAGAUUAUUCUGUCAAAUGUAACACUUUUUCAUUCACGUUCUUUCGAAUUAAUUAUGCAUUAUCUUGAAGCUUCAAGAUUGUGAUGAUGUGAUUGUUUAUUUUUAGAAUGACAUUGUAAGAUAGAUAUGAGAGGCCAAAUCUGGCCAGUUUGAACAUAAUACACGUAGAAUAUUUGGGCAGGAUACAGCUACGUGUGAAUGUCCUCUUUCCAUACUGGAUGCACAUGCCAUGUGCUUCUAGGCAGUUCUUAUUUAGGGUUAUUGCCUUCCUAGACUGGUCAAUAAAUCAUGUCUUAGUCAUGUUCUGCUUUUGACAUUGUUUCAAAGGCUCAACACCCUUCCUAACAUAACCAACAGGCUGUUCUGGAUGCAUUUCAUUGUCACCAGUGCAAGAGAAGUUGUCAUGUUCAUGACAAGAUUAAAGAGUCCCUUUUUUACUUAUUACUGUCUCUGUUCAUUUAUCAGCCACUUACUGAGAGGUAUUGGCUGCAUUUUUUUUAUGGCACCAGCACUAGAGAGGUUCCUUUGUCUCCUGUAGAACUAAAGAUUUCUCUCUACUCUAUUGUCUACCUUCCAAGGUAAACAUAGCCAAGACAGUGAAAGUAGAGAAGGAAGGGAAGAGUGAGUGAGGAAGAAAACAGUGAUAGGAGUGAGAUGUUAGAGGAGUGAGUAAUAGAAAAGAACUAGUAAUAACUAUGUAUAGGUUAUUAGUGUGGAGAAUAAAUAGAAAAAAAAGCAGCAUAAAUAGAAUGAUGGAAUUACAGAAAAUAUGAUUGAUGAUAAGAGAGCAUGUUAGUAGAUAGUAAUAGAGGUGGGUAGUUGGUAAUGGAGAGCUUUGAUGUUAUCCUCUUUUACGGAGGUGUCAUGAUGGAGGUGAGAUAGAGAUGAAUAUGCAGCUAUAUGUUAUUGUCAUGUUAUUCUAAGUCAACAGAAGUUCAGAUGUCCCCAUUUCAAAGACACUGGUUCCAGUAUUGUGGAAAAUUGGACUGAGUUGGUCAAGUGACAACCAUAUUUUUUCUAUGGCUAUAAAACAACUAGAAAAACUUAGCUUUCUGCUGUGUAAAGUGGUGAUUGUUUUAUUUGUGUUCAAUUCAAAAACUUUCAGCAGACUGCUCUAAACAGUAUUACUUUUGAUAUAUCUUGUAUAACUAAGAUAACACAAAUAUAAAUAAUUUCCACUUAGGCUAAAAUUACUGAGAUUGAUACACAGAUUUAUUAGUGCUAAUGACUUACAGCUAUAAUUUCAUUUGAUUAAAGAUUAUUUUUAACUCACUACAUUAAAUAUGGUUGCCUGUACUUAACUAAAUGUUCUUCAUGUAGGUGAUAAGCUUGAGACAUUUAGCAGUGACAUUGUUUCAAAUAAUUGAAUCAAUAAAUUAUCAUCAUACCAAAUCUAUAUGCGAUUUCAAUCCUUCUGUAGUCUGGUAUCUAUAUGUUGACUAUUUUUUACCAAAGAGUUCUGAUAAAGUGGAAACAUCCAGAAUUACCAUCAAAUUAGACUGUCUCCCUGUCCACAGCAUAUCACUAUUGGUAAAUUGAAGUUCCAGAGUUUCCUCCCUUCUGUUUGUUUUUUGAGAGCAGUUUUCAUUAAUGCUUAUUAAUUUUCAUUACAUAUAUAAUUUCAGUUGAUUAAAAAUUGUAAUUCACUGCAUUAAUCGUUAUAUUUCUGUUAAAAGAAUCUGCUUUUGGUUCAAUUAAUUUUGAAAAUUAUGAAAAAUUUAAUAAAAUAUUUUACUCAUUAUUAAACUGGUCUUUGGAACAUGAAAUGUUAAAGGAAGGUUUAAUUUAUAUCACUUUAAAUAAGUUUGUAUCAUAGAACCAGGGGUUGGUCUCACACAGUUUAGUAUCAAAAGGAUUAAGUACGUUAAUGCACAUUUAACUACAUAUAUAGGUUUCUUUAACAAAAAAAAUUGGACUUAUUUGCAAAUAAUGUGCAUUUGUGUGUGUGUGCAUGUGCACUUGCAAGCAUAUUUAUGUGUUUUUAAAAAGUUCUCUUUGUAAAUGCUUAGUUUCAAAUUUGGACAUGCUGUACCUUGAGAAAAUUUCUCCAAUUCAUGCCUCAAAUUGACCAAAGCUUUCUGAAAAGAAUUUGGUUAAUGGAAAUUGUGCUGAAACCCAUUCUGUGCCAGUAUGCAUGUGUGUGUGUAUUUGUUUAUGUAUACCUGUGUAAAACAAUGCAUCAAGUUACAGGCAUUUUAUAUUAAAAUAUAAUUUAACCAUUCAGUAAACAAGGAUCCCUAAAACAAGUACAGGGAUUGAUAUAACUGAAUUAAAAAACCCUGAAGUGAUGCCACCACAUGGCUUCAUUCCAAUGAUUAAAACUAGUGUAGGAGCCUUUAUGCCACACUACUGAUGACAUAAAAGGCCCACAAACCGAAUUUGAUGAUAUUUCUUAUAUGUUCGCUGUUUAUUCAUCUACCUAUGAGAUUUUGUAUUUGAAGCAUGGCAUUGUGUCAGGUGAAUUGAUGUUUUUUUAUAUUAGUUUCAAAUUUUGGUACAAGGCCAGCUAACUCAGAGGGAGGAGUUAAGCCAAUUACAUCAACUCCAGUGCUCAACUAGUACUUAUUGUAUUGACCCUGAAAGGAUGAAAAGCAAAGUACCUCGGUUGAAUUCACAGUAAAGACAGACUAAAUGCAGCUAAACAUUUUUCCCAGUGUGCUAAUGAUUCUGCCAGCUCACCACCUUAUGUUUAUUUAAUAUUAAUAUUUUGGUUUCUCUGGUUUUCUGUGUGUAUGUGUCCUUGCAUAUAUAUAUAUAUAUAUAUAUAUAUUAGAUUAGAAUAUUUUAGGCCACUGAUAGACUAUGGUAUGUUCCACAUAUUUAUUUAUAUAUGUGUGUGUUUGUGUGUACAUACACAUACGAGGGAUGUAUGAAAAAACAAAACAUGGUGCAAGACUUCAAGGCUCAAAAUUUUUCAUACACCCCUUGUACAUGGAAUAUUACCAGUUAGGGAGGAUUUGAGAGGACCAAAGUUCAAAUAAGGACUCAGUACACAAUUAUAAACUGGGCUCAUGAAACAAUUGAUGGCCAUUUUCAUGCUAGUAAUAAUAAAAUAUGUUAGAUUGAGAGAUAGAUACUGUAGUACCUGUCCAAUCCGAGCAUAACUGUAGACUUUGCUUAUCUGAAAAGUUAUAUUGAGGCAGUUUGCAAUAUUCAUCAAUAGAAACUCCAAGGUGUGAUGUAACUGUUUGAACAUUCUGAGCUGAGCAAUACAAAUUCAUGUUAUUGUUGACUACAAGCCAUAUGGCAUAGACUCCAUUGUUUAUGAAUAUACACUUCAGCCAGUCUUCUCCCUUAUAAAUCAGUUGUCCAAAUUUGGGCCAGCAGUAUUUUCAACCAUGUGACUGAAUUCAAGAUGUUUCUACCAUGCCCCAAAAUAUGGUAACGAUAAUGAUGAAUGUGUUUGUGCACACUCAUGUAAUUAUAUUUGGAAGUAUUUAUUUCCUCUUGAAACUAGCUUUAAGCUUUCAAAUUUUGGUGGGUUUUUUUUAUGUGUGUGUAUGUUUGUGUUUUUCCAAAUUGUUUAGCCUCAGAUGAACCUUGAAUAAGAAGGCUCGUGAUCUCAGGAGGUUUUUAAGCUGUGGCCAUUCUGUUUACAGACAUAGUAUAUCUAGGAGUACAUUAUCCAGUAUGUCCUUUCUUUUUUUUUUGGUGGGGGGGGGUUGAAAUGAUAGGAUGUAAUUUGAGAGAGAGACUUGCUUACUAUUUAUGGUUACUGCUGCAUAGAGGUUUGUCAUUGGCUUGUUAUUUUUAAGUUUUAUUGUAUUGCAGAACAAACAUGUCUUCCUGUUGUACUAAAAAUAAUAUGCAUGUUUACAUAGUGUGGUUAUUUGUUAAACUGUUCACCUAUACUUUAGAGAUAUUUCUGGCGGCAAAUAGAUUCUGAUAAAAAAAACGUUUACAUUUGACUUCACAUCUUUUUAUGUUUCAUUGCUGUUGAAUUUGAAUUUAAAAAAAAAUUUUUGUUUACUUGCUGAGGUAGGAUUGUCUAGGUAAAUGAUUCUACUAUUGGAUACCCUUCCUACUACUUAUCAUUCUUUCUAAAAUUGAUGUGAAACUUGUUUUAAUACUUAGUAAGUUGGAACCAGUAAUACAUAAUGUAGUAAUCUUAUUUAUGCAACAUUUUAAAGCGUUGAUUGAACUACUGAUGUCAUGUGCCUGUAUGUUUACAUUAUUUAUGUUCCUUAAUUCAUUUUUUUUUUUAAAUCAUAUUUAAUCCUUACAUUUUAAGGGUCUCUGAAAAUAUUCUCUUUUACAAACAUGUUUGUUAGUUAUCAAUAUUUGUUGGUUUCUUUUAUAAUUUAAUAGCUAAAUUUGAAAAAUCUGUUGUGAGAUUCAUGUAAGGUUUAAUAAGAUUUAUAUAUAUUUAGUUUUGAGCUUCUGAAAGGAUCAAAGCAAUGUUUUAUGUUAUUGCUUUUUCAAAUAAUGUUAUUUAUUUGUACAUAAUAUAUUAACAUUUGAUCUGUUGCUAUAAUAUGACACAUUUUAACUGUUAAUAUUUUGUAUCUCUAUCAUCAAUCAUUAUUUUUCUCCUUUAAUUUCUACACUGUAUGCAUCAUAUUAUUAAGAACAUCCCUAAACUAUAAACCCUUUGCUUUAAUCAUGCUCACAUCCUGAUACUUAUAUCUUUGUACCUUUACUGUUAAACCAAAAGCUGAUAAAGCCUGGCAUUCUACUCUUAUCCCAAAGAAAUGUUAAACUGUUAGAUGAAAUGAUCAUGAAUUCUGCAUAUGCUUUUCACAAACCAUGAAUAGGUGAAGCAUGUAGCCAUUAACCUCAAAAGAUCGAAAUGCUGAUAUGGGAUUUAGUUUAUUGAUCUUUAGCUACCACAAUUUCUGUGAUUUAGAGAAAUAAAACUGGAGCUAAAACAAUUUCAGAUGAUGAUUAGUAGAGGGAAGGAUGAAGCAACAGUUAAUUUUAUGUAUUCUUGUGAUAAGCUUGUGAGAACUGAUUGAUUAUGGAUUCUUUUAAACUCUUGCUACAUAGCUUUAAGGUUAAGGUGUAGAUAGGUGAAACCAAUUUGCCAGUAUCUUAUGAAUCCCUUCUAAUGGUUACACCUUUUGAUGUUCUUUGAUUUAUCUUCAAUAGAGUUAAAAGGAAGGCACUGCCUGAAACAUGUGAAGAAUGGCAUGUCAAAGGUUAGCGUAGUUUAUACUUGCACUUUAAAAGAAUAAAUAAAUUAAAUAAAAUAAAUAAAGAAUAAGCAAAAUUGCUUUAAAUGUACUGUUUGAAGUAGACAUUUUUCUUGCCUGAAGAAAAUGCUUUUGAGAACAUGCCAAAGAUUAUAAAAGUUAUACAAAACAAGGUUGAGAAUAAAAGAAGACUAAAUAAAAGAAUUUCUAAAUUCUUUUUUUUUUUUUCAAUAGAAUAAACACUUCUUAGAAUUUAUUUUGAGGAAUACAUUUCACAAAGAAUAGAGUGUGUAUAAAAUAAGAAAGAUUGGUAGAGGGAGCAGUUCCUGUUAUACACAAUGCUACAGUGAUAAUUAGGUUAAUGUCACUUCACUUGUGUAACAUAAAUGACUACUAUUGAACAGCAACUAUAGUAGUGCCAAUAUAAUGGUAACUAAGAAGCUACAGCUUAAGUUAUUGCUCUCAUAUAAUUGUGUCACCAAUUAACUUGAAUAUGGUUUCAUCUACUUAGUUUGAACAUAAAAAAUGCGUUCAAGAUUUUGCUGGAACAAGUUUAAUAUUUCCCUAACACAUGAAAUUUAAGCACUUUAACCAAAACUUUAAAAGCUGUCUAUGGUGAAACAAAGAACUGCUUAGUUCAAAAUAAGUACUUUAUAUUUCUUUAAAGAUACAGGAACUUUAAUCUUUUAUCAUUCUAAACAAAAAUUCUAAGAUCAUACUGCCAGAGAGUUUCAGGACAAGUGAGGUCGAGUAAAAAUUAUGGAGAAUUUAGAAAAAAAAUCUACUGUUAGAUUGAAUUUGAAAUUUUCAGGUAUAAAGUAGUUUAUAGUGAGGUGUCUAGAACAUGAAGCAAGUCUGGAGAAAGUGUAUUUUUAAUAUAAUUUAUUGACUUGUAAAUAUAUUGGUGUAACUAGCAGUAAUUAUAUGGUUGUAAGUUUAGAUUUGCUGUUUCUUUUUCAUGGAAAAUCAAAAUACUUUACAUGAGACUUGUUUAAUGACUGCAAAAAUCUUUGCUGCAAAUAUAAUCAAAUUCUUAGUCUAUUACCUUCAUCAAGUUGAUUGAAUAUUAAUUUAAAUGGAAAUUAUUCUAUUUCUGUAACUUAUGAAAUUUUGUGUACAAUUUUUAUAAUUUGCAUCUUACAAGUUUACUUUAAUCAAAGUAUUUUUCAUACUACCUUUCACUUUAAAUUUAAUAUGCAUUUUAAAAAUUUAAAGCACCCACUACACUCACGGAGUGGUUGUCAUUAGGAAGGGCAUCCAGCUGUAGAAACACUGCCAGAUCAGACUGGAGCCUGGUGCAGCCUCCUGGCUUCCCAGACCCUGGUCAAACCAUCCAACCAGUGCUAGCACGGAAAACGGACGUUAAACGAUGAUGAUGAUGAGGUCCAGCUCUCUAAAGGAUAAUGACAUAAGUAGAGAUAUAAAUACACAAUAUAAACAUUACAGUAUUAUAUCUUAUUAAAAAAAUUCAGAACAACUAGAAAUUCCUACACUGGCUUUUCUAUAAAAUUUGUUGUUGAAUCUAUAAUGGAAAUUAUAAUUCUUCCUUUCCUUGUAAACAAUAAAUUUAUAAUUGUCAGCAAUUAACAUUUUUUGCCACCAAAAAUGAUGAGACCUUUUUAACAUGAGUGGUUUCCUUUAUAUAUUUUUGAAAAUAAACUGUAAAGCUUGGCACCCUAGCUGACAAUACCAGGCAAAUAAUUCAUAUCUGCCUCCAGCUCUGUGAUGUGUCCAUGGCCCAAACACUAAAAUUUGUAAGUGUUAGUGUUUUAAAAUAUGCCACAAACAAUGUAGCUCAUAGAUAUAAUUAGUGGCAAAUUUGUUGUUAGUUGAUUUGCAGUACUAAAUUCCAUUUACUCCAGCAGUUAAUGUUACCUACCUGUGAUAAGCCUACAUUCUAUCAAAUGGAAGAUCUUGCUUUCAUCUGCUUCUUUUUAUAGAAACUGAAAUUGAGCAUUGGUCUAGUAAAACAAAAUGAAAAAAAAUAGUUUCAUUCAUUGUUCAUAUAAAAUGCAUUUAUAAGAGAUCUAUUAUGCCAGAAAAUAAGUACCAUUUCGAAAGAUGGUUGGUGCUAACAAUGCACAUAUGUGCUGGCAAACAACAGUUCUUAGAACUGGAAGACUUACUUAAUAUAAAAGUUGUAAAUAAUGCAUAUUUUAUGAAUAGUGGUUUUAAUAUAUACACACACACACAUAUAUAUAUUAGACCAAGAAAAUGAGAUGUUUCAUGAAUUGUCUGCCUUUGCUACACAAAGGUAAGCUAUGGUUCUUUGAUCUCUAUAGUGUGUGUGUGUGUGUAUAUAUAUAUAUAUGUGUGUGUAGUACAUACAAACACAUUACUUACACACAUUGAGCAGCCAUUAAUGGUUUAACUUUGUUUAGAAUAACAAUUUUCUAUCUGAUGUUACAUUAAUAUUAAUCUACCAUUGUACCUUAAAUGAGUAUUUCUCAGUUCAGCUAAAAUACAUCUUAUUUUAUGAAGCAUACAGACCAGUUCUGCUUUGAGUCAGCAGCAAAUGUUUUUCAUGCUAGAAUGUGGGAUUGUAAUUCAGUUGUUUGUUUCAAGAUAUACCAUGAGAUUAGCCAUUUCUUUGAGCAGAACUGGUUGGGUGGGACUAUAUAAAUUAUGUAAGUUUACUCAGCAUUUUAUAAAUACAGAAAGCAGUUUGGUAGUAACUUAUUUGUUUUGUGCUUUUUUUUUUAUUAAACUGAUAUUAAAGUCACUUAAUAUUUUUACAGCUGAAUGCUCUUCCAAUUAGUUGUUCACUUAACAAUGGAGUGAGCUCAGCUAAGUAGACUAAAACAAGCCAUGCUGGUGGCAAUUCUGUUUUUUUUUUUUUUCUGUGUUGUCAUAUGUGAAACCAUAGUGAUUAUCUCAUUUACUUCAGCAAGUACACUGGAGUCCAUGCUUUGCUGAUGAGAGCUUAAUAAAAUCAAACAUGUCUGGAGAUGUUCCUUGAUUAUACAAUAGUAGUUAAAAUCAUUGAUUGUAAGGCUUAGCAUUUGAGCAAUUUUGAGGGUUUUAAUUUUGUGUUGUUGAUAUAAAUAAGUGCAAGACUGUUUCUUUCAGCCAACUUCAUUGAGCAGUUUGCAAAGCUUGAAGGAACUCACUUGGAAAAGCUGAGCCAAAAUUUGGGAUUUGAGGCACUUUGCAUUGCAAUGGUGAUGGGACAUCUGUAAGUUAGUAACAUCCUUCAAGUGAUGUAUAUAGUGUUUCUCAAUUAUGCAAAUGUAACACAGUCGGAUGUGAACUACUAUGAGACCAUAAUCUUUGUUUUGUGUUGAUGCUUGGUGUUGCUUAGCCUCAGGUCAGUAGAUCUAUGAUGAUCUUUUUCAUCUUAGCUCUGUUAUGUCAUAUUGUCUUUUAUUUAGACAUAGUGCAUUGAAGACUACACUAUUUUUUGAACAACAGCUGGUUGCCAGCUGACAGAAAAUCUGUAAAGAAAAGGAGUUUCAGAGAAUGAUAUUAAGAAAGAUUGGCAAUGUAUGAUAAAGAGUGGAAGAGGAAAUGAUAUCUAAGAGAAUUUGAACUGAGACCUAAAGUAGGGGGUUGGUAUUAAGGUGAAGACUAGGUAAAGCACAUUCGUGAAGAUGUUAGUAGUAGUAGUAGUAGUAGUAGUAGGUAGGCCAUCAACAUCAUAUUUAGAAAGUUUGGGCCUUCAAGUGCAUUACAGAAAAACAAAACCAAAUUCUCACUACCAAAUUUUGCCAUUCUCUGAUGGAUGGCUUGGCAUGACCCCAUUCAUAUGACAAUAGUUAUAUGGAGUUUUGAGAGAAAGUGAUAUUAUUGGAGAGAUAUUGAAUAGAGUUAAGAUGAGAUAAAUAGAUGUUUGAUGGCAUCAAGGAAUACCUUUUUAUUCAAAAUAAAGUUUGUAAGCCAUCACAGUAGCUCUGCAAAAUAUGCUUAGGUAAUAAAAGGAUAGCUUUUAUUUUCUUUUCUUUUUUUUUAUUAAUUUGGUAUUCUGAUUAUCAAUAUAAAAAUUUUAUAGAAAACAUGAUUAUAAAAAGAUUAGUAGUGUGUGAAAUGAAGGUAAGGUAACUGAUAGAAAAAUUAGAAUGGGUAAAAAAUAGCUCUGGCAAACCUAAAUUAUUACAUAAAACAAGAAUAUUGAUUGUAGCUGUAGCAGUAAGACACCCAUUAUAGAGACUUGUGUGUGAUCAAUAAUCAGUCUGUAUUAUGUUUAGACUAGUUAUUGUAGCCAGAUUUCAGAGCUGUAUACCAGACAAGAGGUCAGUAUUUGUUCCAAAAUAUAUCUGGUGAGGCUUCAGUUUUUCAUCAAUAGAUUUUUGUAAUAUUAUUAAUAUUUUCUACCAUCAAUUUGUUCUGCUCUUCAGCCUACAUCAGUUAUAGAAAUAUUGGAACAUAUAGCUCUAUCUUGUCUAAACAGUCUUUUCUGAUACUAUUCUCAAAAACUACAUUUCUAAUUUUCCUUUGAAAUGCAUCAAUUUAUUACACUACCAGGUAUCCUUAAAAGCUGCAGGUGCUUCUGAUAUAUAAAUUUUUCUUUAUAUUUUCUCUUCCCUUAAAAUCUAACCUUUUUGUUUCUACAUAUUCCACUUAAUUCCUUCUCAUGUCAUCAAUACUUCAGUUAAAACCUGUUUUUUGCUUGUGAAUACAUAUCUGUGGUUCAUAAUUUUUCUUUGUGAUAGCCCAUUCCAACUUUCCAAAAGUUUGAAAAUAAAAGGAUUUCAUUUAAUGACCCCAUAUUGCAUAAAUUUAUGAAAGUGCUGGAAAUCUGUAUAUUUAUAUUGACUAUUAGCAAUUGAUAACCAAACUUUAAACUGAGGCUUGUUUAUCAUUGUUUAUGGAAUAAUGAUGGUUUCACAGUUUGAAAAUCUUCAGGAUCUUCAAACUGGAUCUUGGCUUGCACUGUGAAAAUUAUUACUGUAGAUCAACUUCCCAUUAUUAUUAUUAUUCUUAUUAUUAUUAAGGCAGUGAACUGGCUGAAUCGUUAGCACACCAGGCAAAAUGCUUAGUGACAUUUCAUCUGUCUUUACAUUCUGAGUUCAAAUUCCACUGAGGCUCAGUGGAAUUUGAACUUAGAAUGUAAAGAUAGAUGAAAUUUCACUAAGCAUUUUGCCUGGUGUGCUAACGAUUCAGCCAGUUCACUGCCUUAAUAAUAAUAAUAAUAAGAAGAAGAAGAAGAGAGGAGGAGAAGAAGAAGAAAAAGAAGAGAGGAGGAGAAGAAGAAGAAAAAGAAGAGAGGAGGAGAAGAAGAAGAAAAAGAAGAAGAUAGGAGGAGAAGAAGAAGAAAAAGAAGAAGAGAGGAGGAGGAGAAGAAGAAGAAAAAGAAGAGAGGAGGAGAAGAAGAAAAAGAACAACAACAACAUCUACAGUAAUAAUUUUCACAGUGCAAGCCAAGAUCCAGUUUGAAGAUCCUGAAGAUUUUCAAACUGUGAAACCAUAAUUAUUCCAUAAACAAUGAUAAACAAGCCUCAGUUUAAAGUUUGGUUAUCAAUUGCUAAUAGUCAAUAUAAAUAUACAGAUUUCCAGCACUUUCAUAAAUUUAUGCAAUAUGGGGUCAUUAAAUGAAAUCCUUUUAUUUUCAAACUUUUGGAAAGUUGGAAUGGGCUAUCACAAAGAAAAAUUAUGAACCACAGAUAUGUAUUCACAAGCAAAAAACAGGUUUUAACUGAAGUAUUGAUGACAUGAGAAGGAAUUAAGUGGAAUAUGUAGAAACAAAAAGGUUAGAUUUUAAGGGAAGAGAAAAUAUAAAGAAAAAUUUAUAUAUCAGAAGCCCCUGUCAUCCUUUCAGGGUCAAUAAAUUAAGUACCAGUGAAACACUGGGAUCGAUUUAACUGACUAGUCCCCUCCCCCAAAAUUUCGGGCUUUGUACCUUUCGUAGAAAGGAUUAUUAUGAUGAUGAAGGCAGUGAGCUGGCAGAACCAUUAGCAUACUGAGCAAAAUACUUAGUGGCAUUUCAUGUCUUUACAUUCUGGGUUCAGAUUCUACCAUGAUUGAUUUUGCUUUUCAUCCUUUCAGGAUCAAUAAAAUAAGUCCCAGUUGAUCACUGGUGUCAGUGUAAUUAACUCGUCCCUUCCACCAAAAGUUCAGGCCUUGUGUCUGUUGCAGAAAGGAUUAUUGGUAUUUUACUUGCUGGAUCUGGAGGAAAAGAUAAUACUCUUAGCCUUCACAUGUGUUUGAGAUGAUGCUAUUAAUGCUCUGCUUAAAUUGUUGCAAUUCAGCAACUGAAGGUAAGACAUGAGCAUGGAAGGAACUCCAGACAUCUGACAUUCAGGGGAAGAAGGAUUGGGAACAGGAGUUAGUGCAGAGCUUUUGAUUAGAUUGGGAUGUUUUUCUAAUUCAUUCCUCAUAUAUUUGGCAUAUAUAUUUGCUCUCAAUAAAUAAUAAUCUCAGUUUCAUUAUAUGUUUCUCUUUAUAUAACUAAAAUUAAAAUAAGUCGUGUAGCAUGUCACUUUAUCAAUUUUAAAAUCAACCAAUUAGAAAACUUCAAUACAAUUGCUCAAACAGUUUGAAAUAGCAACCAAAUCUUCAAAUCACAUCCUAUGAUUUUAAAAAGUGGCACUUGUCAUCUACAUAGAAGUAAACAACACCUGCAUUUUAAAGCAGUUUUUUUUUUUUUAAUGUCAUUUUCCAAAUAAUCAUACUUUGAUGGACAAUAUUCUAUGAAUACUAGCCUUUAGUACAUUGUAUUCUCUCUCUCUCUCUCACCCCACCCCCUUGCUGUUGCAACAGUUUUUGCUUUUCUGAAAUGGCUAGUUGAUAACACCAUCCAAAAUAUUUACCAGAAUAAUAAAAUAGUUUAAGGUAGUAGUGAGAUUUUUCGUCUGUUCUUAGAAAAUGCUUUAACUCAUUAGCAUUCAGAUUAUUCUGUCAAACACAAUGCAUUGUUUGGACUUAAGCAGGCAUUAUCUCAACUUCAAGAUUUCAGUGAUGUGUUUGUUUAUUUUUUAAAUGACAUUGUAGAGUUGAGAGACUAGACCUGACCAUACAGUUCUAUAUUUAAGAGAUGAGGAAUUAUGUAGAUUAUUUACAUUAGACGGAUAUUUGUCCUCAUCUUGUUUGUUGUUAACACAACAUUUCAGCUGAUAUACCCUCCAGCCUUCAUCAGGUGUCUUGGGGAAAUUUUGAACAUGGGUUCUCAUUCCUAAGGUAUUUUUCGAUAUUAUUAUUAUUAUUAUUAUUCAGGUCACUGCUUGGAAUCAAACUUGGAAUCUUGGGGUUGCUCACAAAAAUAUGUUAAUCUCCAAAAAAUAGUGUUACAUUUCCAUCUAAACUUCUUUGAUAACCCUAGAUUAUAUUUUGCUGACACAGUCAAGAUCAGUAGAACUGCAGGAAAAUAUAUGAGCAGAGAGCAGUGAGGGAAGAGCCUGAAAGGGUUGGGCACAUGGAGGGUGAUAAGAGGAAGACAGAGAAGCAGAUUAGAAUUGCUUGAGUGGUAUGUGGCAUGAGCCCAGCCAAUUCCAUUGUAUUAGCAGUAGAAAAAGCAGGAAGAAGUGACAGCAAGCCAGCAGACCUCAUGCUAGAAUAUCUGUUUUAUUGGUCCCCAACAGCAGGCUUUCACAUUGUUUCAAUUUCUCAAAUUUCAUUCAUAAGGCUAUGGCCAAUCCAAGAGCAUGGUAGAAAACAUGCUGAAGGAUUGAAUCUGAAACCGCAUCAUAUUUAAAGUUACAUAAAAAUUAUUUUUUAUAUUUUUACAAGGUUUAAGGUAGCAAGCUGGCAACAUUAUUGGUACACCAGGCAAAGUGUUUCACAGUAUUUCAUCCAUCUUUAUAUUCCGAGUUAAAAUUUCUCCAGGAUCAACUUUGCCUUUCGUCUUUUCAGAGUUGAUAAAAUAAGCAUCAUUUGAGCACUGGGAUUGCUGGCAUUGUGUCAAGAUUUGGAACCAUUAUCUAUACAAGGUUUAAAUUAUUAUACUUGUAGUCAUGUAAGAGAAUUCUCAAUAAAUUAUUGCAAAAAUUUGAUUCCAAUAUAAAAAUACUAUAACAGAUUAAAUUUUACCAGUUUGAAUUUUACUUCAGCUUACUUUCAAGUAUUAUAUAUUUCUCUUAAUAUUUUCAUCAUAUAUUAUCUGAGGAAAAUAGCAUUUAUACUGUGGAUUUUUCAGCCCUCUUUAUUUCAUUCACUAUGCUCCUUAACCCUUUUGUUAUAUUUCUGUUGAAUAACACUACCUUUGUGUCAAUUAAUUUUGAAAAUUACUAAGAAUUUAGUCAAAUAACUUGUUAUUUAGCUGAUAUAUGGGACAUUAUUUAGCAUGAAAUUAUGAGGAAACAUUUUAAUAUUGAUCACUUUAGAACAUAAAGUUCACAUCAUGGAACCAGAAGUGAUCUUGGGUAGGAUGGUAUCCAAAAGGCUAAUGCAACCACAGCCAAGUUGGAAACUAGAUACCUUCUGUAACUUUCUUGAAUUAUAUUUAGGGAUUGGGGGGUGGGUUCUAAGAAAAAGUUUGAAUUCUGGUAAAGAGAGCUGUAGUCAGGAACUAAUGGUUAACAUGUUGAACACUAAAAUAAUUGUCACAAGAUACACAAAAAGCCUUGGUACAUCUUAUUUUGGACACAGUGAAUAACUGGUGCAAUGGGAUCUCUAGCAGAUUGACAGGAAAUUGAACAUCUGAUGCACCAGGAUGUUCAUUAAAAGUGAUAUACAGGUUAUAGAAUUUGUGCAUCAGCAAAUGUUAAAGAUAAUGUGAGAGUUUUUUUUUUUUUUUUCUACUAUAUACAAGGAGACUAGGUGAAAAAGUGCCAUGAGUUGAUAGUGAAAGAUAGCUGAUGUGUGUGUAAACCAAAGAAGAUCCAGAGAAACAUGGUGCAGACAUAUCUGAGACUAUUAAACUACUCAGAUAAGAAGGCAUAUGAGUAGAAUUCUUGAAGAAAUUUUGUAUUGCAGAAUCAGCCACCUGUGUUGGAAAAUAUGUUAUUUAUAAAAUUGAAAUUAUACAAACUGCAAUAAUGAAAUCUUGAUAAUCUCUGUAAAAAGCUUGACGUAUGAUACAAUGGAAUUAAACUGAACUAGUGAAACCUAACAGAAAUGAGAUAUUGAUGUUAAGUAAAAUUACAUCUAAUUGUCUUUUCAUUGGAAUAUGUAUAGACUUGUAUUAAUUACUCUGUUAUUAGGGUAAUACAAGUAUAAAAUAUAUUCAUAUGCCUACUAAUAUCAACCUAAUUAUGUCCCUUUCUAAAAUAAGCUCUCUUUCUUUCUCUCUCUCUCUCUCUCUCUCUCAUAUACAAGUUAGGGUUAGAGAUUGAUUGGUUUGUUAACCUUAUCUUGACUCAAGGUAGUCUUUAAUCAUCUUUUCAUGCCAAUUUUUUUACAUAUCUAUGUAUUUCUUUGGGUUGGGAUGAACUGGAAAUUCACAGGGUUGAGUGAGCUAUCUCCUACACCAUUACAGUGAAGACAUGCAUUAAUUUUAAUAGUAUUUAACCUUUAUUCUAUAAUUUCUUUCCCUUUGAAACUCUGUAACCCUUGUCCAAACAGAUUAUUAACACAUUUGUGAAUAAUCAAUCACUUUGAAGAAACACUUACUAAUGCUUAGUUUUUUUUUGUUUUUUUUUAAUCAAAAUUUCAAUAUAAUUUUCAACAAUAUAGAACAAAGUCUGUUUAAGAUGAUGGCAAAAUAAUUUUGUUCACUUCUGAAUAUAUCAUUUUUCAAAAGAGAGCAAAACUUUUUGAGAGAACAAGUAAAACAAUGAGAGAACCAAAAAUAUUAAAAUUAAAAUACAUAAAAAAUGUUAAAGACCAAAAUUUUUUUUAAAUUCACAUGCAGAAAACAAUUGAUACAUAUGUUAUUACUAUUUAUUCUCAAACAGGCCCUAAAGAGUAUCCCCUAUAAUGGAAGAUGUUUUGGUCAUGACUGACCUGUCUUAUUUUGAGAUAAGUUUACAUUAUAUUAGCCUAUUUUUAAGAAAGUAGGAUCUGUUUCCAGGUUGGUUUGGCUACUCUAGUUCUGGUGGGUUACACAUCUAUAGAAAGUCUUCCUCACUGCUGAACAUGCACAAUGUUACCUAGCUGGUGUUAACAAUCAAAUAUUGGAUCAUUUCACUUAACAUGUUGUGAACAAUUUUUGUAGUUUUUCUUUUCUUUUCCAGAUCACCAGGAUCAGCAAAUUUACUGUAAUUAGCACGGCAUCGAGUGCAGUAUAUAUCCAAAUUUUGAUGCCUUUCUUUGAUGGUUUUAGUAGAAUAUAUUGUUUAAAUUUUAAAUGACCCUUGUAACCAAUCAUAACUUCUUCAAUGAGAACUUCCAGGAAUGUAUUUAAAAUUAGUUCAUGAUAUUCACAAAAGAUUGUAUGUUAGUAAGUUUAUCAUCUCCCGGACUGAUCUUUUGUUAGUACCAUGCAUCAUCUGCCAUUAGUCCUGGCUAUAAUUUUGUGUGUGUGUAUAUAUAUAUAUAUUUAUUUAUUUUUGUCUUAUAUCUAAUUUCUGUAUGAGAUCUGGCAGCUGUCCUGAAAGCUUGGAAAUGUUUACACCUUGAUGUCAAUCACUGUUAGUUUAUAUACACACACACACACACACAUACAUACAUACAUACAUACAUACAUAUUUUAUCACCAGUUAUAGUUUCAUUGUUGCUGACAUCACAAGUACUAAUGUCUCUGCUACAACAAAAUUAAAACAUUUUUCCCUCAGUAUUUUUAAUAUACUGAGAGAGAGAGAACCUUUAAAUUUGACCUUGGGUGUAGUUGACGUCAAUCACAUAUCAUAUGUCACUAUUGAAAAUCAUGUGAGAAAAAUCACUCAAACUAGGUAUUAUAUACUAAAAUUGCAUGACAAGCAUUACAAAUAAUAAUUGUGAAAUGGUUUUCUAAUGGUCAGCAUAAGAAAUUUCCAUUGCAGUUCAAUAUAUAAAUCAAUAAAAUAUUGUUUGAUAAGCAAGAGAACACUCCCAAGAUAUCUCAUGUUUGAUUGUCAUCAAGCAUGUAUCUUGAAAGUGUUUUCAUGAGUUAUUUCUGUAACAGCUGUAAUAUUGGAAUGAUACUUGUUACACUGAUUAUUGCUUAGCAUUUUUGAGUGUACUGUCUCUUUGAUUUCUUUAGUUUCCUAAAGAAACACCUUCCAAAAUAAUGUAGGCAGGGAACAAAUCAGGGUCUGCUCAGAAUGCUCACAGCAAUGAAAUCUAUUAACAGCACUAAAGAACCAAGUAGUAGUGUUUAGUAUAUGCUUGUCUCAGAAAGAUGUUUAUAGAGUCCUUUAAGCCAUUCGCAUUUAAACCAACCAUGUCUGACCCAAAUAUUCUACUUGUUUCAUGUUCAAACAGACCAGAUCCAACCUCUCACACUUAACCUACAAUGUCACUAAAAAUAAAGAAUCACAUAAAUGAAAUCCUGAAGUUGUGGGCUAAUUCAGGAUUAAUUCAAAACAAUGUAAAUAAAUAAACAUUACAAUCGACAGAAUAAUCUUAAUGCUAAAGGGUUAAGGAUUUUAUCUCUAUUUCAUGGUAAUUGAAGUAAGGAUGGAUAACUGUUUCUUGAGCACAUUGAGAAGCAUGGCUAAGCCAGUGAAGCAGAAGUCAAUUCUAAGUGCUAACUACAUGGGUACCUGGUUGUUGAACAAAUAAAUGAUUAAGUUAGCUAAUAUUUUAAAUGGGAUUCUGCAUAAUUUUGUAGUGUAAGCGCAGGAAUGGCUGUGUGGUAAGUAGCUUGCUUACCAACCACAUGACUCCAGGUUCAGUUCCACUGUGUAGCACCUUGUCUUCUACUAUUGCCUCGGGUUAACCAAAGCCUUGUGAGUGGAUUUGGUAGAUGGAAACUGAAGGAAGCCUGUCAUAUAAUAUAUAUAUAUAUAUAUAUAUGUUUGUGUGUCUGUGUUUGUCCCCCCACCAUCGCGUGACAACCACUGUUUGUGUUUAUGUCCCCGUAACUUAGUGGUUCAGCAAAAGAAACCGAUAGAAUAAGUCCAAGGGUCGAUUUGAUUGACUAAAGAUAGUGCUCCAGCAUGGCCUCAAUCAAAUGGCUGAAAGAAAUAAAAGAAUAAAAAAAGAAAAAGAAUACUUUUUUUUUUUACUUAAAAUGUUAUUAUAAAAGAAACUAACACAUGUACACAUACACAUGUGUGUAUGUGUACACGUGUUAGUUCCUUUUAUAAUAACAUUUUAAGUAAAAAAAAAAAAAAGCAUGUGUAUGUGUGUACAAAACAAUUGAUCACUUUAAAGUGCCUCGGGGAAGAACAUAUUGUAGGAACCCCAUGAAUUUCCAGAAUUAAUAUAAUACCAGCCAGAAUCUUCAGGAUCCUAACUGGUAUUAUGAAUUAUCAGUAAAUAAAACUCACAAAAAAAGGAAUAUAUGCCAUAAGGGAGAUGAGGAGAGGGGACAUGAUUUCUAGUAUUUUAGGCAGGUUCUUUUGUCUAUGAAUCUCAUUAUAGAAUUGAUGGAAGAACUACAGAUAUGUAUAAAUUUAUCAUCAUCAUUUAAUAUCCAUUUUCUAUGCUGACAGUCUGACCAGAUGCAAUGAGUCACAGGGCUGCAGCAAGUUCCACUGUCAGCUUUGGCAUAUUCCUAUGGCUUGAUGUUCUUCCUAACACCAACCACAUGAUUCAUAUUUUUUUUUUUUUUGUGCCAACAUCACUAGUGAGACUGAUAAGUCACUUGCCUGAUAAAAAAAAAGAACUAGGUAAAAGGGAAAACUUUCGUUACUAAGUCGAGGGGAGGUGGCUUUAUGCGAAGUGUUGAAAGGGACAAGCAUAUAAAAUUUGAUAACUGUUAUGAAGUGAUUCUGAAGAAAAAUUGAGAUGUGAGUGAAAAGCAGAUUAGCAGAGCAUAAUUCUUUGAAAGUCAUGGUGCUAUUAAUAUUUACACAACAAUUAAGAAGACUUAUGGUAAAGAUUUAUUGUAGUUGAGGUAAUGAGCCGAAAAGUUUUAAUUAAAUAAAAUUAGCGUUUAUAUUCUAUCAUCAUCAUCAUCGUUUAACGUCCGUUCUCCAUGCUAGCAUGGGUUGGACGGUUCGACCGGGGUUCUGGGAAGCCAGAAGGCUGCACCAGGCUCCAGUCUAAUCUGGCAAUGUUUCUACAGCUGGAUGCCCUUCCUAACGCCAACCACUCCGUGAGUGUCGUGGGUGCUUUUUACGUGCCACCUGCACAGGUGCCAGGCGAGGCUGGCAACGGCCACGGUCAGAUUGGUGUAUUUUAUGUGCCACCGGCACGGAAGCCAGUCGAGGCGGUGCUGGCAUCGGCCACGAGUCGGAUAGUGCUUUUUACGUACCACCAGACCAGGGAUCCUGGCUGGUUCAAUUCGAUUUCGAUUUCGCUUGCCCCAACAUGUCUUCACAAGCAAAGGGGUUGGCAUGGGUGCCUGUCGUACGGUCGCAUUGGAGUAUUUUACGUGCCACGGCCACGAGUCGGAUAGUGCUUUUUACGUACCACCAGACCAGGGAUCCUGGCUGGUUCAAUUCGAUUUCAAUUUCUAUAUAAACAAAUAUUCUUUUUUACUAAUUCAUAAGAGGCAUUCUGGUUUUAUGCUGUAGCUAUUUUAUAUUGUUGAAGCUGGUCAAACUGGGCAUUGUACAGAUGUUUAAGGAUAGACUUCUCCAGUGUCGACUACUGUGUUAUGUGUGUGUGUAUCAUCUAUGUUUCCAUGCAUGCAUGGGCCAGGCAGAAUUCACUGAGACAGAUUUUUAACAGCUUAAUUCUCUUCCUAUCACCAAGAAUCAAGCAAGGUUAUACUUCCCCAUAGCUGGAUAUGGUUUUACAAAACACUGAUAAUGAAUGGCACCACUUAUAGAACAGUGACACUCAUUUACAACCAUCAUGUUGUUAUGUCAAAGAAAUGCAUACACACACAAUUGAAGAGUUUUAUAUUGUAGGUACUUGGUGACCUCACCGGUGCUGGUACCAUGUAAAAAGUACCCAGUACACUCUUAAGUGGUUGGCAUUAGGAAGGGCAUCGAGCUGUAGGAACCAUGCCAGCAUGGAAAUGGGAAUGUCAAAUGAUGACAAAUAAAUAUAUAUAUAUAUAUAUAUAUAUAUAUAUAUAUAUAAUUUCUGUCUAACAAGUCUUCUUACAAGGCUUUGGUGGAAGACACUUGCCUAUAGUAUCACACAAUAGGAUUGAAACAUGAAACUAUGUAGUUGGACUGUGAAUUUCUUAACCACAUAACCAUGUCUGCCGAAUACAUUGUAGCAAAGUGAAACGAGAUGAUUAAAAAGUUUAACUGAGUAGAAUGUAUAAACCAUUACAAUUGCAAUGUUGAAUCUUUGUAAAGGAAAUAUACCAGUUCAAGUAUAUACAUUUUGAAUUCUCAUAAAACCCUGGACCAAUAGGAAAAUCAAUAUUCUGGCAAUGAUCAAUAUAGUAUGUUUCACACAAGUAUAUUAGUAUAUUUCUAGCAAGAUUGAGCAAAGAAUUAACCAUACCUUUUUUAUUUACACUGCCACUCAAUUAGUACAACCACUUAAUGCAAAUCUAAGAAUUGCGGCAUUUUUUUUCCCUAAGUAUAUUACUUUUCUAUUGUGUUAGGGCAAUAAAGAGAUUUCUGAGGAAGAUCUAGUGAUGGCUGCUUCUGUGUAUAUAUAUAACUCAUGCUUGCUUGCAUUUCAUUUAAAUAUAAAUUCACCAUUCUGUUUCUUAUGCUGUUAAGAGGUAGCCAAUAUCAAGGCCAAAUAAAAUGGUGAGCUGGCAGAAUUGUUACCAUGCCGGACAAAAUGCUUAGCGACAUUUCAUCCAUCUGAGUUCAAAUUCUGCUAAGGUCAACUUUACCUUUCAUCCUUUCAGGGUCAAUGUAACUGACUUAUCCCCUCCCCUGAAAUUGCUGACCUUGUGCCAAAAUUUGAAAUCAGUAUUAAGAUCAAAAAAAAAAAAAAGGCAAGUUGAGAAAUAAUUCACAGAUUUAUCUAAUCCAAUAUCUCAGAGAAACUGAUAUGAUCCUCUUGUAGCUAACUCCCUAUUGUAUUAAAUUUAACCUUUUUGAUACCACCUAAGACCACUUCCAAUUGUAUCAUAUAAACCUCCAUCAAAAUUUCAUAUUAAAGUACAAAAUGCCAGCUUAAUAUUGACAAAGCGUUUUUUCACUAAAUUCUUCAUUUUCAAAAUUAAUUGAAAUAAAUGCAGUGUAUUUCAACAGAAAUAUGCUAACAAAAGGGUUAAGAUUUCUGCUGCUAUUUAUCUGUACAAAAUUUGACGUAAAUUCUUUUGGCAUUUCAUAAAAGCUAUUGUAUUUCUCCUUACCCUGCUGUUAAUUUAAAUAGAAUCAAUAGUUGCUACUAGUCAAAACCGUAUCCACUUGAGUCCACCUAUAUUUGAAGUAGUGAUAUCAAAUAACUAGUGCAAUCAGGACUAACUAUUAUUGAUCACUCACUAAAUAUAAACCAUAUUUUUAUCUUAAAAUUUCAUGUAUCUUGAUAUAUUACCUAUCUUUUGGUAUAAUUAUAGAACUAAACUAUUUUCUUUUGUUAACAAUUCAAAUGAUGAUCUUCAUAGCCAUAAUUCACAUCCUGUCAACAAAAUCUAAUUAGUUUAUUUCUUACAAAGAUAAAAUUUUGAGGGUUAUUUUUUUAUUGUUACCUUAUUUUUUGUUUCUAGUUUCACUGAUGGUUAAAUUUAGCAGUAUAGAUUCAAUUAAGCCUUCUUCUGAAAUAGAAUUAUUUUUUGUUGCUUUUUGUUCCAUUUUAUUCAGCUGCAGAUUUAAUUCAUCAAAAGCAACAAUAGCAUCUUCACCUGAUUCCUUUGGAGGGUAUUAAUAUCUAAGGAUAUUUGCUGCCUCUGAUUUGUGUUCUUGUUUCACAACAAUAUUCUUUACUCCAGUUCUACAAGCACUUUAAUUGACAAUUAAAUAUCACUGGUCAGAAAAAAAUUAAAAAUUCCUCUCUUGAGGUUAACAUUUUAACUUGCCAUUAAUUCAAAAUAACAUUAUGAGAAAUCAGGUAACCUGAGGAAAAUAGAAACCUAAGUAGAGAAUAAAUCUGGUUUUUAAUUAUGAUUUUUGUUUGUUUUGUAACUUCUGUUAUUUACUGCAAUCAUAAACAUUAAAGACAUUUCUUUUUUGUGGUGUAGGGGUAGUCAGUGUUAUUUGUAAAAAAUAAAAGAGAGAAAGAAAAAAGUCACAAAUAUUGAUUCUAAUAGAAUUUGCCUGAAACUCCUACUUUAUUUUGUCUAAACUGCAAUCAUUACAGUUACUGGCAAUUCUGGAAUUAUUCUUUAUUGAACACUGUUUAAAAGCUUCUGUAAUUUUUUUUUUUUUUUUUAAUGAUGAAAUAAUGCAACACUACUGCUUCUCAAAAGAAAAAGAAAAAAAAACUGAGACUAAUGUAAGAGUUUACAAUUACAUGCAUUUAGAUUAUGCUGAUCAAUAUUUAAUCUUCUUGAUUAUUCUGUAAUUUGAUAUUUUGAGAUGAUAGAAAUCUUCUUUCAUAGAUAUGAAAAGCUGUUUUUAAACACUAAGCUAUAACUUUUUUCCUGCUCUCAGAGUAUAUUGUGUUAUAUAUUAAAUGCAAUAUUUAUUUCUAACAUUGAUGCCUUCAGUAAUGGAGUGUUCACAGAAUCAGUUUCAUUUUUGCUUUCUUUUUCUUUGUCUUUUACAUAUUCCCAUUCCUUUUAAAUGUAAUGAUGCCUAAUAAUUACUGUAUGUCAGUUGGAAAUAGGACUUUUUUUUUUAACUCCUAAUGCUUAUUCUAAAUAAUAUGUAACUUCAAAAGAUUUCUUAGGUAAAACUAGUUUCUAUGAACACUUAAUGCAACUGGUGCCUUUGUGUUGUGCAGGUCAUGAAUGGAUUGUAUGUGUGUCACUACUGUUUACCAUUACAAAUAAAAUAGUACAUAAUAUAGGCUAUUACUAAUAAAAUAGUACAUAAUAUAGGCUGACCUAAAAAUAUGUUCAAAGCUAAAAUAAAAGUUAGAUCAUGUGCUAGAGUCACACAUGGUUUGAUGUUUCAAACUGAGUAAUUAUGCAUUAUUAACAUUUCUUCAUCAGUACCAUAAUUUAAUUCGGUAUCCAAACAAGGUUGACUGGACUACAAUAUUGUUUUGCUACAAUUAUUUUGAUGUUUUGAAUAGUAACUGAAUUUUUCUGCAAAUUAACAGAGUAAUAAAAUAAUUUUGUAAAUACACAUAUGUGGGAUGUUUUUCUCUUUUUUUUUAUGUAUUCUGGAGAAUAAAUGAUGAUAUUACAGAUUAUUAUGGAUGGCAACACAGACAUGAUACAAAUUAUGCUAAGACAAUAAUUAUUUAUGUAUUUAAACUAGAUUUUCUUCUCUCUCUUACUUCUAACUAGCUCUCUCUCAAGCCUACAGACAAGGAAGACAUACGGACAGUUUGUUUCUCUUUUUUUUUUAUGUAUUCUUUGAAGCUCAUUGUGAUAAAAGACAAUAUCACAGAUUAAUAUAGAUCACAACACAGAGACAUGAUAUUAAAUUAAGCUUAAACAAUUAUCUCUUUAUCUACUUACACUAACAUGCUGUCUCACUUAGUAAAUGCAGUUGCUCAGUAACAUGAGCUUGCCCACUACGAACACUUUCUGUCUUAAGUAUGACCAGCUGCCAUUACUUUAUCCUGACAGUGAGAAAUUUUAUGUGAUCACACGAGUGGUCCUGACUAGAGUGCCUUGGAACAUAGUUCUUCAGUCAUAUUAAAGGCAACCUAACUAGAGUAUUUCUACAGAGUGGAAUAUAGACUUGGAAAACUACAGUAAAGGUAGCCUGCCUAGGAGAGUAGUAACUGAAUUAAAAAUCUGGACAGAGGAGAAAAUAAUUCUAAAAGUUGUAGCAAAGGCAACCUGCCUAGAAAAACAGUAACUCUACAAACUGACAGUGUAUAGAGAGAACAUUUUAGACUUGAAAGGCAACUUCUCUAGAGUGGGUGGCUUGCUAGAAUGCAUCCAAACUAUACUGUAAAGUGGAUGGAGAUAGGAACAGCAUCCCACCAAUGAAACCAAGCCAAAAUCAUGACAAUCACGAAUGCAGUGAAAAUUUCUAAUUGAGUAUACAGGACAAUCAUUCACUAUGUCAAUACUGCUCACUGUAGUGAAGUAGUCAGGUGGGAAUAUUUGACGAUGCGUGAGAAGCUUUUGACCAUUAUCAAAUGAUUGCACCAACUUUCUACUUUUUUAAUGUAGAAAACAGAGGUGAAACAACCUAACCAUGACUGGGAACUUUAUUCUUACAAAAUUUCUUGGCUGCUACAGUCAACAUUGGCACAGUAGAAAGUAGUUUAGGAGAAAUUGCAAAGAUGUUUAUGUGGAUGUAAGUAGAUGUAUACUGUGCAGAAUAGAGGGUGGGGUUUGACCAAUGUCUUCACCAGCAAAGAACAAUGGAUAGCAAGAGCAACUGAUAUUAAGGAAAUGUGAGAAAAGUUAAAUUUAAACUAAUAGGUAAUACAACAUCAAAAGUGAUCUCUUUAUGUCUUUCCAAUAAGGACUAACACAUAAACAAAAAGGACUAUUUCUAUAGAGUACCUGGAUAACAAAUGACAGCAGCUUCAUUACUUCAGCUAAUGGCUUUAAUGGACAUAUUGCAUAGCACUGUGAUGGCUGCUCCAGUAUCCAUGGAGGUUAUGAUACAUGGAAUGAAGAGAGAUCAAGGCUCCUAACCAUUUGCAAUGCUAACUUCAGGAAACCUGCCAACCACCUGACUCCUAAUUACCUACCAAACAGAUGAAUAUGCAAACCAGGUUGUCCAUAACCACCAAGAAAUGGAACAGACAGUUGAUUAUGAAUACUAAUUCUGCUAAUAGAAAGUGUAAAGUACAAAAUGAUGGAGCAUGGAGAGAUUUGGAAUAAAAUAAGUAGCGUGUCUACAGGUUUUGGAUUUCUCAUAUGAGAGAGUGGUAUACCAAUAAAUUUGUUAAAUAUUUAGUAUGAUCCUUUCAGAUAUUCUAUGAAGCAUAAUUUCACUCCUUGUAAUUUUUAGUGUGUAUUUUGUUUUUGUUUUUUGUUGUUUUUUUAAGAGUGGGGAUGUUCAGAAAAAGCAAUUUAAAUUUGUUAGUUAAACAAGAUACAGAUUAGACACUCAAGCAACUAUCUGUAUUACUAACUUCUUCAUUCAAAUAUUAUCAUUUAAUUUAAUCAGCAGCAUUUUGUAAAACAUCACAUGUCCAUUAGAUUUUGUUAAUGAGAUAGUGAAGAUUAAUUUAAAUUAAAACCAUAUUCUAAUCUACAAAUAUGUAAUUUACAAAAGUAAUUUACUUUGAAAAAUCAGAAUUUUAUAAUAUAUCAGCAAACUUUAUAAUAUUCACUGGCUGAAAUGGAAAUUACAUUUUAAUUACUUAAAAAAGAAAAUGUUGGUGAAAUUUUCAGCCUGUUAUUUUUAAUGUUAGCAAAAUGGUUAAUAUAAUUAGAUAACUAGGAGAGGUAAUUCAUUGAACUCACAUUUAAGAAUUAGAAGCAGAAAUAUCUGUACAAAUAAUUAAGAGAAACAACACUUGUAAAUUCUGAUGUUAUAAUUAAAUACAUUCAGAUAGUAUUGUUGCUUUACACAUUUUCUGAUUCCACAUAAAUCAAUACCCUUUGACCUUUUCAUUACUAUACACCUAACUAAAAUACACCCCAACGUCUUUCAAUUAAUUUCCACAAUAAUUGUGGUUUAGACUGGUUUCAUAAAAUAAUUAUGACACAUUUUAUUUAUUAAUAUAUCAAUAUGAUGUUUCAAAUAAAACAAAUAUUUCUCUCAUAAGUCUAUUAUGAAAUUCAUCUUCUGAUAACUGGUAAGUAAAGGUAAAAUAUUAAUUGAAUUUAUUACCAAUAUUAUAUUAGGAAGCUUACUAAAAUGCUCAUAUUUUUAGUAAAUAAACCCUGGUUAUGACCCAGUUUGUCCUUUCCUCAAGUUUAUAUUUUCUGUAACAAAUAGACUCUGAUGCAUUAUAAUAGCUCUUAAAACCCUAUACCACAAAUAUCCACAGGUGUCACUAAAUUUUAAAAUGCAUGAAACCACAGUUUUAAUAGCAUUGUUGUUUAAGGCUUCUGGGUGAGAAACAAAGUUUAGUAUCAUUUAAGAAUGAACUUCUUGUCAAAAGACUUCCUAUUUGCACCAUGAAUUUUUUUUGUUUUUGUUUUUAUCAAAUAAAUUUCUCUAGAUGUUUUCUUACUUUGAUUUUCAACCAUAAUGGCAGUUUAUACCCCAACCAGUGAGUUAGAAUUUAAUAGCUUUAAUUGAUUACUUAGCUUGACAUCUUUUCAAGCACAGCAAACCGUCAGGAGUCUCAGUCCCUUAUCAUCCCUUCUGUGAGCCCCAACGUCUGCAGAUCCUUUCUCACCACUUUGUCCAAUGUCUUCCUGGAUCUACUCCUUCCACAUGUUCCCUCUACAUUUAGAGAUUGGCAUCUCUUCAUGCAACCAUCUUCAUUCACAUACAUUACAUGCCCUCUUUUUCUAAUAGGAGUUUUGCAACUUCCAAGAUAGAUAUUAACUGGAGCACAAACUCAGCAUUGAGACAGGAAAGGAUGUAAAUAUACUUCUAAUGAUCUUUGUAUAAUCAACUUAACUGUAUUCAACUACUUUGGCAAGUGAAAGUAACAUGAGAAAGAUAAUAACCACAUUCACAAUGUUCACCAACAAACAUAAAUUGCCACAGCAAAUUUUAUUCAAAUUUAAGCAGCAGUUAUAUUUUUAUAAUUUUAACUGGAAUAACUAUGCUUCAUCAAGAUCUAAUUUCUAACAGGAUUGAGAGAUUUACAUAGAUAAAGCACUACAGGAAUUUAAAAGAUAAAUACUAGAAUUGGAGGGAUAACAGAUAAGUUUGAAAGAGAAAUACUUUAAACCAUUCUCUUUCUGGAAAUCAUUGUUUUCACUGCAGCUGUCCAGCAGUGUUUACACACUGGAAUAUUCAAACAUCCUGUUUCAAGUUCACCAUAUGUUAUUUUUUACAUAUAUUUUUUUUGUUCUAUUUUCUGCUUUCAAAAAUUAAAUUCAAAUUCAGGGUCGUUAUUGCUGAAACUAGAGCUUUUCUAGCUUUACAUAAUUUAAAGAACAGAACAGUACAUAAUAGAAAUACGAGGUGGUGGUUUGGAAAAAUAUCAGAAAUAUUUGGAAAACAAAAUUCUUGUUUAGAAAUGCUGAACAUCAGCAUUGUUUUAACAUCCACUUUUCCAUAAUUGCAUAGGUCAAAUGGAAUUUAUUAACCCUUUCGUUACCAAACCGCCCAAAGCCACCUGAAAAAAAUUUUGGUUAAUGUGACCAAACCGCCCAAACCCGCCCGUAUUUACCUAUUCAUGUUUAAAUGAGAAUAUCAGAGCAAAUCUCUUUAGUACAUUCGUGAAAACACGUGAUUAUACUUCGUAAACAGUUCAUCUACAGUUUUGUACAACGAUCGAAGUGUAAUUUUAAUUCUGUGAAUUUUGGGAGAUUUUUUUCCGAAAUUUGUUCCUAUUGUGUUUUCAAAAUUUGUAAUUCUGACAAAAAAUGGAUAUGAAUUUCAUUAUAUCAAGCAGCGAGUCAGAAUUUGAAGGAUUUUCUACUGAAGACCUUGAUAAAUCUAAUUCUAUGACUGAAAAAAAAAAGCACGUGGUAUUUGAUAAUGAAUCUGAUGUUUCAUUUUCUGAAAGUGAAAACAGUGAAUCCAAGAGCUCCGACAGCGAUAAAGAAAAUGAAUUAGCACCUGAAUCAAGUGAAAAUUUAAAAACUGUUUCUUUCGGUGAUUUUUCUGAAGAAACUGAACCAAGCCACAGACUUUCCCAGGAGAGUAAAGCCUUAGACUAUUUCUUUUUACUUUUUCAAAUGAGCCUAUUUGAAAUCAUUAUGGCGGAAACGAACUGUUACGCUAAAUGUAAUCAAAGCGAAAGAAAGGAUAGUUAGUGGUUUCCAACAACCUUAAAUGAAAUUAAGACUAUUUUGCCAUAAAUAUUAUUAUGGGUAUCAGAAAGUUACCCACAAUAACAAAUUCUAUCAUAAAAUUUUGUUGUAUACCCAAUUGAAUAUUAGCUAAUAACCCAUUUUCUAUAGCGAUGUUUGAACAAAAUUUUAAUAAUUUUAUAUUUUGUUGAAUUUACCUGUAUCUACCUGCAAUUAGAGUCACUUUGUGACAAAAAUUAUAGUAUAGAAUUGGUUGAGAACAUUUCAUUGAAUUAUCUUCCAAAAUUCAUGUUAAUAUAUUGAUAAAUAAAAAAGUUAUAGUUGUUUAAUGAAACCAGACUAAAUUUGAUUAUGUUAGAAAUUAAUUGAAACACAUAAGGGGUGUAUUUUGGUCAGAAAUAUAGUAACAAAAGGGAUAAGGUAGAAUUUCUUUGGUUUGAUGUCCUUCUUUUGCCCACUCUCAUUUGUUUCCAAAUAAGGCAAUAUUUCUCCAUGACUGGACAUUUUUACAGAAGACUGGAAAUGGAUGACACCACUUGGUUCAUUGUGACACAUAUUUACAACUAUUGUGAUGUGAAGUCAAGAAGGUGCAAACGUACCACAUUCACCUACGACAAGCUUCUUUCAGUUUCCAUCAACCAAAUCUACUAACAAACCCAGGAGAGUAAUAGAAGAUACAAAGACAUUUACCCAAUGUACCAUGCAGUAGGACUGAACCAAAGCAAUAUAGUUGGGAAGCAAGUGUCCUAACAAGACAGCCAAUGUGUAGCAAAUGUUUUAGCUAGUGAAAUUAUUUAUUAUCAUUUAUGCAAUGACCAUAUUUACAUCAAUAUUUUCAUUUAAGUAUGAAUAUUUCAAUGCAGGUGGUGCCAGACACUUAGGUAGCCUACAAUUAUAGGCAAUAGUAGAUGACUUGGUAAUAAAAACAUUAAAUAUAUUCAAUUUAUCAAAUAUGUUGUUCAUUCAUUUCAAUAUAUUUAUCUUUUCAUCAAUUUGCUUCAAAUUAAUUUGCUUAGUUUCUUUAAAGGGGAGGUUUAGUUGAUUGCCUCGACCCCAAUGCUUAAACUGGUACUUUAUCAGCCUCAGAAGGUUGAUAAAGGUGAAGUCAGCCUCAGUAGGUUUUGAACUCUGUAAGUAAAGGAGUAGAGUACUGCAAAGUAUUUUUCCUGGGGUUCAGCCCUCUAAUCCCCACCCAUUAUUUAUUAUAAUCUGGUCAUAUGAAUGUGUUCAUAUUUUGAAACAAUUUUCCAGAAAUAACAUAAUUGAACAGUUUAAACUUCAUGUGAUAUAUUUAUCAAACCACAACCAUUGUUGGUUUCAAAUUUUGGCACAAGGCCACCAAUUUCUGGGAGGGGUUACUUGAUUACAUCAAACUCAGUCCUCAAUUCAUACUUAAUUUAUCGACCCUGGAAGGAUGAAACAAGUCUACCUUGACAGAAUUUGAACUCAGAAGAUAAAGACAGAUGAAAUGCUGCUAAGUUUUUUGCCCGGCAUGCUAACAAGUCUGCAAGCUUGCUAAUUCAACCACAACCAUUAUUAAUGUGUUAUAUAAGGUGGUAAGCUGGCAAAAAUCGUAAACAUGCCAGACAAAAUGCUUAGCAGUAUUUCAUUUGUCUUUAUGUUCUGAGUUCAAAUUCUGCCAAGGUUGACUUUGCUUUCAUCUUUUCAGGGUCAAUGAAAUAAGUACCAGUUGAGAUAAUCAAUUACAUAACCCUAACCCUUGCCCAAAAUUUCAGGCUUUGUACUUGUAUUAAAAAGGAUUAUUAAUGUAUUAUAUUGAAAUAUAUUUUUCUAAUUUGUGUAUGUGAUUUCCUUUUUUUCCAGAUUUCAAUGUAUUAACCUUGCUAAAGACUCAUGAGUGCAAACAAAAGUUGAUAGUUUAGGUAAGUUAUCUUAACAGUUAUUUAUGAUUCACCUUAUUUUCUCUUUCUCAUAAAAAAUAUUGAAAAAAACAGAUGCAAUCAAUCUAAAUGGGCUAAGUACUGGACCAUUGAUCAAAACUUCCAGUUGGUCUCUUUGGCAAAGCAUAUUAAUUGUCCUAAACUAAAAUAAUAAAUAUACAGCUCAACUGAGUUGCUAAUAUAAUUAGAAUAAAUAUAUAUCUGUAGGCAUUGCUUCUGUAAUUCAGACAGUUGUCUGAAUUUUCAGAACAUUCUUGAAUUGUUUUUGUUAUUUUUUAAUGAAUAAAAAUAAUACAAAAUAUAAUUGUAAAAUAUUAUAAAGAAAUAGAAUUGAUUAUUUCUGAAAUAAAAAAACUUUUUUUUUAACAAGUGUUUUAUAACAAUUUCAAUCAAACCAGUGCAAUUACUUGAAUAUUAUAUUUUUAAAAAUCUUCAAUUAUUCAUUUUCUACAUGUCAUAGAUUAACCAAAAUGCUGUGUUUUAUUGUGUAAGACUGGAACAUAUUUAUUUCACAUUACAGCAGAAGUACCUUCCUGGAAACUAAUGUUUUUAGAUACUAAGCAAUAAUGUGGAUUUUUUUUUAACUGUGAAUAUGAAUAGGGAUUUUCUCCCCCCCCCCCAUGUGUAUUCCACUUAUGAAUUAAAUCAGACCAAUAACAUUUUUACAAUCUUUUUUCCAAUGUUUUAUUAAAUAACUCAUUGUUUUACACCAUCUGUUGCACUUACAAGUCAAUAGAUAGGCUCUUAAAUGAAAUUAAACUUGUUUCUUUUCUAUUGCAAGAUUAUUUUAUUUCAUUGCUUAUAUUAUUAUUAUUAUUAUUAUAUAUUGUGAAAGAAAGGAUAUAUGAGAGCCAGAAAUCAAAGAAGGGACACUAAUAAAAACAUUGGUGUCCUUAGUGUGUAUAAGAUACACACACAAUGGUGCCACAUAAAAAGCACCCUGUACAUUCUGUAAAGUGAUUGGCAUUAGGAAGGGCAUCCAACUGUAGAAACCAUUCCAAAAUGGACUAUGGAACCCAGAGCAGUUCCUGGCCUUGACAGUAUGGAAAAUGGAUGUUAAAUGAUAAUGAUGACAUAUACACACAUGUAUAUAUGUGUGUAUAUGUGUACAUAUAUAAAACCAGGUUAUCCCCUGCAACUACAGUAUUUACUUUUAACCCACUUACAUUACAGUAUAACAACACAAUGUCAUGUCUGAUUCAAACAAAUGCAAAGCAUACAUCCUUAGCAAAGUAGUUAUAUAGACCAGCAAUUCACUAUAUCUAACAAUGUAUUGGAUUGUCAUUAUACUCUUGUUAAACACCAAAUAAUUAGACUAACACAUGCCUUUCAAAUCCACUUUGUGUUCUUGUAGUGGCCACCACUUUAAAUUCUUGAACUGGGUUGGUAAAUUAAAAAUAAUAUGUUGUCACACUACACUCCACAGAGCCAUGCACUUCAAAUGGUGUAGGAUAUCAAAAUAAAGCAUUUGUUUUGUUUUCUAGACACUCUAUGAGUGGGUUGACUGCCUACCAUUAAAUCUUGCAUAUUUGUGGUAUGGAUCUUUCUCAGCAAGUAGAACUACCAAGCUAUCCUGAGAUGUUAAACAACAAAGUCAGUUCUGGGCUCAAAAUUCUGGAAGACCAAGAAAGAUGAAAAUGAAACAAAUUGACAUACAUCAUAUGUAAUUUAAAUUGAGAGUAAACAAGCACUGCUUUGUGGAUAAAUUACACCUAUUUUAUGUUUAUAAACAAUAACUUUGUAAUAGUUUGCAGUACAUCAUGAGUUAACAUUAUUGGUAGAUUCCUGAAAAUGGUGACUAUAAGUGAUACAUUGCUGUGACAAAAAGGAAAAUAAGACCAGGUUAGAAUAAAUGUUGAUAAUCAUCACUUGCACACUAAGCAUAGUGAUGUACUUUUAUACUACAUUUUUCUUUUACACUUUUUUCAUUUUUUUAAAUUCUUUUCGACAACAUUUUGAAAAUAUGAAACUGAAUACAGGAAAAUUUGUUAAAACUGAAAAAUAUUUAGUAAUGUCAUUAUAUUUAGGCAUUAAACUUCAAUAAGAAAUUGAAUUACAAAUUAAGAGUGUCUGAGUAGUUAAAUUCUAAAGAUACAUCAUGGGUUUAAUUCUGCUAGAAAUUACCGAUUUUAAAAUUUGUAGAGAGUAAAAAUUCUUAGCAUCCCAUACAAACUUGUCAUUUUCAGUACCAUAACAUAUUACAAAUUUUUUUUUUUAAAUUACAAAAUACUCAGCCAUUGAUACAAUUUUUACCUAGUUCAAGUAAAUUUGAUACCAGUCUGCAGAGGUACAUUAGUAAUGAGCCAGUGAAUAGCUUUUAUGUAUUCACUUAACCUGUGAGAAACAGCAGCCAAAUUUUCCUCAAACUACACCUUACAGUCUUGAAUAGGAAGAAUAUUUUGGGUAAUGUACUCAUAAAUACGCAAGUAAAGGAGAAGGGUUUUAGUUAGAACACAUUUGAUCACAAGUCUACUUAGGGCUGAUUUCAGGCAAUGACAACUGCAUCAGUUUUUCUUAGAAUAUACCAAUUCUGCUUACCCUAGCAACAACUCUCUUUUCUUUUUCCUUGUCACCAGCCACUUAAAAUACAAUCUCUAGGGAUCAGUGCUAUAAUUCAUUAACUGACUUCUAUUCACAUACUGUAGUUAUGGAUAACAAACACAGUGAGGCGAAGUCUACAACAUUAAAACUUUAUGCACUACAUGACCAUGUCAAGAAAAAAAUAUAUACCCACUGACAAUCAAAACCUGUUAUAUGACAAUAAAAUAAAAAAAAAUUAUGAAAUAUGGAAGAAUGUGCAAUAAUUUCAAACUAGACUUAAUUCUCAGUCUCCAAGUCGUUCAAAUAUACAUCUGCUCAAACUGGACAGACAGAGGACAUUUAACAAUGCAGUUAUUAGUCUCACUGUGGCAGCAGAAGAGGAUAUCUUGGAAAAUAUUAAAUUUUAAGGCUUCUUGCUAUUGUUUAUACUUAUUCUCUUGAUUAAAUAAUAUUGGUUUGUAAUAAAGAUUAUCUUAAAAUGAA